Molecule: long non-coding RNA, 90688 nt
Filed under: Ananas comosus (pineapple)
Lineage: Eukaryota; Viridiplantae; Streptophyta; Magnoliopsida; Poales; Bromeliaceae
Description: long non-coding RNA (ACOM_LNC032268)
Rfam family: tRNA (bases 54165-54248)
Source: RNAcentral
UUUUUUUUGAUCUAUACUUUAUUUUAGUUGAAGAUGAUAUUUUUCUUAGGUAUAUUCUAAUAUAUUUACUAUAGGGAGUCAUCAAAAAUAUAAAACAUAUCCUAACCUGUAAUUUGAAUUAGUUGAUUAUCUCUAUGGAUUUAAUUAAUAUAUUUUAUGCAAUUCACGUAAUUGUAAAUUCAUUAUAGUAAGCAAUUAACCUAAAUUUUGCAUAAGAAGAGUCAUCAAAUGAAUUAAAUUAAACAAAUUGAAAUGUUGAGUGCUAAAAUCAAAAUUUUCAAAGUUUAGGUAGUCUAAUCAUUUUGGUAAGUUUUAUACAUUUUUACCAUAUAUAUAUAUAUAUAUAUAUAUAUAUAUAUAUAUUAUGCGGCAGAAGAGUAGCCUCAUCAACUUCUUUUAUGGUCAUUGUCAUUAUAUUUUUCUAUUGUUUUAAUACUCUCAAGUUUUCUAUUUGGACAGGUAACCUUUAGUUACUUCGCAGUUCGCAAUAUGAGAGUUUGUUAGCAGUUCAAAAUAGAGAUGUUGGAAGCUCAUGUUUUGCUGUACGCGGCCGUUCUGGUCGCACUAUCUCCUUACCUUUUGCGCGAUUCUGCAGCACAUAAAACUACCGAUCCAUCUGAAGGUGAUCGUAUUGCGCUUAUUCCCAUUAAUUUCUGCAAAACUAUCUAUUUACACAUAUGCCAAACAUAUGCAGUUUCUUACAUAAAAAGAACCCUUAUUUUAAAUUUGGGCGCGGUCCCUUUCUGUAGAAACAAAUUUUCUGAAACAGGUGUAAAUGAAGUUUUUAAAGAGCAUAUAUGAAAAUUAACAUAUUGCAAGGCUAUGUAGAUCGAUAUUGCUAUUAGUUUUGCUGUGUCUCCUUGUCAGACGUGUCAUUGUUUUUGUAAAUGAAGUUUUUGAAGAGCAUAUAUGAAAAUUAACACAUUGCAAGGUUAUGUAGAUCGAUAUUGCUAUUAAUUUUGCUGUGUGUUUCCUUGUUAGACAUGUGUCAUUGUUUUCUUUUGUGAUGCAGUCAAUGCAUUAAGCGCUGUUAGAAGCCGCUUAAUUGAUCCGACGAACAGCCUUAAAACUUGGAACAGUGGGGAUCCGUGUUCGUCAAAUUGGAGAGGAGUAUUUUGUUAUAAUACUACAAAUGAUGGCUAUCUGCAUAUACAAAAAUUGUAUGACUAAACCUCCCAGCUUUAUUCUUCAUUCCUCAUGUCUCUCUCUUACAUUUUCUUUUCUGCCUGAAUUUUGCAUUUCUUUAAAAAAAAAAAACUGUAAGCAUACUACUGGAAUCUCAUCUUAUAUAGCCAUAACUUAUAGUUUAGUUCUCUUCUUUGUUGCUGAUACUUGAAUUCUUUUGCCCUGCUUAGACAGUUGCUGAAGUUGAAUCUUUCUGGAAGUUUGGCACCUGAGCUUGGUCUACUGUCUCACUUGAAAAUACUGUAAGUUACAAUACUUUGACUCCCAUGCAUUUAGCUAAUUUUGCUAGUUUUUCAUUAGAUUCCAAAAGUUCCUCAAAUUAAUAUGCCGAUGGCCACGAUAUUAUAUCUUAUGUUUUCAGUCUUUUUCAUCUUUUUCCCCAUAAUUUUUGUAUAUGCUACUUUAGUGAUCAUUGAAUCCAAUUUUAUCCUUUGAAGGGAUUUUAUGUGGAAUAACUUAACUGGAAGCAUCCCGAAGGAGAUAGGCAACAUCACAUCUCUGCAUCUUUUGUAAGUUAUUUCUUCUAUAGGUGCCCAACUUCUGCUUUAUUUUUUGCUUCUUUUAAGUUCAAAUGGUUGAUAACACAAUGCAUUCAUUUUAGGAUCAGUAUGUUCAAAUGUUACGCCCUUAUUUUAUACGUACAUUUUGCAAUUGAUAUAUUCUUUCUUCAUCCCCUGUAAAGUUUGUUGUUCCUUGGCAAUAUUUUACUUGCUACUUUUAUAUGCAGACUUUUGAAUGGUAAUCAGCUAUCUGGUUUCUUACCUGAAGAGAUCGGCAACCUUUCAAACUUAAAUAGGUUACAAAUCGACGAGAACCAAAUAUCAGGACCUAUUCCUAAAUCAUUUGCUAACUUAAGGAGUGUUAAACAUCUGUAAGUAUCUCUUAUUGUCCUUUUCCUUUAGCUUUUGCUUUUAAGAAGCAUCUUUUUAAACUCUCCGCAUUUUGUUCUUUUCAGCCACAUGAACAACAACUCACUAAGUGGGCAAAUCCCCCCGGAGUUGUCUGUAUUACCAGUUUUCCAUUUGUAAGCAGAUUUCAACUUCCAUGUCCUGCUAUUUGUAAAACUGAAUUAUUCAUUCGAUUUCGUUUUCUUAUUCUGGUGCUUUUUUCGUGGACUUUGUACAGGCUAGUGGACAACAAUAAUUUAUCUGGAAAUCUUCCUCUGGAAUUCUCGGAGAUGCCAAAUCUGAAAAUUCUGUAUGUUCCUACAAUCAUGAAUACUUUGAAAACUACAUUAUUUAUGAGUUGUAGUAGCUUUUCCGUUAGUUUAAAUUUAUACGAUUGAUGCUUCUGCAGCUGAAAUAGUCCAUAUUAUUACCUAACUUAGCUCUUAUGGCACUGCGUGUCCACAUUAAUUCUGGCGUGAAAUGACACACAAGAUUGCCUUGAUUGGAAAAUCCAUUUGCUUUGUGAUUUGGCAUUUAGAUUUUCAAUUAAGAGUUAUAUAAAUCUAUAUUGCCUUUGCAUUUUGCAGUCAGCUGGAUAAUAAUAACUUCAGCGGUACCUCCAUCCCUACUUCAUAUGGCAACAUAUCCUCACUUCUGAAAUUGUGAGUGCCCUGUACUUUCUUUACAGGUUCACUUUACAUUUAUGAGUAACUAUGAUGCCUACCACUUGAUGAUAUUGUUGCUCAUUCUUUUUUUUCCCCUCAAAUUUUCUUUUUGAUUAGAAAAUGAUAGAAUCGCCUAUUUCCUUGUACCAGGAGUCUUAGGAACUGCAGCUUGCAAGGAAGUGUUCCUGACCUCAGUCGGGUACCUCAACUUGGAUAUUUGUAAGGAUUCCUUCCUAAAUGUUACUCAUGUGAAUGAGAAAAAUGCUUAAGUACUUGCUUCAAAUAUGAUGAUAUCUCUUUGCUCUCCUUUUAUUUCAAUUUAUGGUUCUUUCACGCAUGGCUGUGCUGACAAGUGAAAUGCUAUACUCUUCUGUAGAAGAACACCUAUCUAGUUUUAUAAUUUUUUCUUUUCAUUAUUUAUAACUUCUGUUGAUAAAAGCAAACAUGUUCAAGGUGGAUUACCGAUCAUUCUCCUUGUACAACAUGGAACAACUCUUGGAAUUAUUUGUAUAUACAGGAUAAAUGUUUUAUGUCAAUUUCUUGGAAAAUUAUUGAUUAAAGGAUGUUGUGUGUUUCAGAGAUCUUAGUCGGAAUCAGCUGAACGGACCCAUACCAACUAAUAAGCUUUCCACGAAUAUCACAACCAUGUAUGGUUUUCCUAACUCCCUUUGCUUUCGUUUUUCUUUUUUACUUUUUGAUUUCCUCAUGGCUUACUAAGUUAAACUUUCUAUGACCUGUUUAAUGCAAGCAGAUUAAUGUUAUAUAUUCUUUUGCCCAUACUAUGAUUUAGCCAUAGAUUCUUAUGUUCUGAUAUUUGAGCAGUAUCUUGUCACACAACUCGCUUAAUGGAACUAUUCCUGCAAACUUCUCAGGUCUUCCUAACCUGCAAAUUUUGUAAGUUUUUCAUCUAUCGAGCAGAGUCUUUAUUAAUAUGCCAUUAUAUAUCAUUAUAUGCCUUAACCUAGCUAUACUUUCCCUUACACUGGAAAAACAGUUUAAAAAGAAACUGUACACUGAUAUAUUUGGCUUGGCUUCUAGAACAACUUUUCUACUCAGAGAAGUCAUAGCUAGGUAUUUAGCAAACCAAAAGUCUGGAGCUUUGCUAUUGCGGGAAAGCUAAAAUGAGCUUUUAAAGGCCAAGAGUAGAUGCUCCAAUAUGAAGGAUCUGCUUCUGCUGUAGCUUGAAGCGGCUAGAGAGGAUAUCAAUGAAAAAGCUACCAGUGCUUUUCUAAACAGCCACUUAAUAGCACUUGUGCAAAAUCUCCAAAUGGGCUAAAUGGGCCGGAACGAGUAAUCAAUUAUCUGUGGCAAAAACAAUGAAGAUCCAUGCACAUUAACAAGUUUGAUAUACUAUAGUAAGUGAAAAUAAUAAUCUCUGUUGCUUUUUUGCAGGUCUCUCGAUAACAAUCGCCUCGAUGGCAGUGUUCCGUCCACUAUAUGGAAUGAUAUGACUUUUGUUGGAAACAAGAGUCUUACACUGUACGAGCAUCAUACCAGAAAAUUACUGUUUUAUGAAACUUUUCUGAGUAGCUAAAUACUUAUAUUGAUAAUGCAGGGAUUUCCAAAAUAAUUCUCUCGCAAAUAUCCCGAAUGCUUUCAAUCCUCCUGCGAAUGUUACCGUCUUGUAUGUCUUCCUUUCACAUUCUGUCCUUUUAUUUAUCAAUUAAUCAUUUUAUAGUUUUAAAAUUGCUAUACUCGUCUGCAGUUAAAAUGCACAACUCUUGAAGUCCUAAUAUGACUUUAAAUAGUUAUUUCGAUAAAAUGGAUACCAUUAAAAUAUAUGCUCUGAUAGUGUAAGUUUCUCCAAAUAUUGAUGAGAUGCUACUAGUAUAUGAACAUUAUAGUUGAUUAAAUACUUAUGCACUGCAGUUAUAAGUUUGAGCUCUAAUUGCACUGGUAAACACAGUGGACAUUAUUGACCUUGUCAAGGGGGAAGAAAAUCAUAGAGCCCUACUUUGUUUCUAUGCUUGUAUUACGGCUUCCGCUAACAUUUAGUGUUAAGUUGGAAUAUGUUGGGGCCCUAUCUGAAUCUUUCAAUUCAAUUUGAAGCUCUGGGAAGUGUCAUUAAUCUUCUAGUAAAAAUUAGACUGAAGAGUAACAAAUAAUCGCAUAUGACCAUAAAACCAUUAGAUGGGUUCCUAUUCUCAUUCUUGCAAAAAGAGAUUGUUUCAUCAGUGCCUGAUCUGAGUUCUAGUAAUCUUUAGUAUAUUCAUGCCUUUUUUUUUUAUCCAAACUAAGCUUUAUGAGGGGUCAUCAUGAAUAAGUAAUAAUAACACUAUUUGUGCUUUUUAAAAAAAUUACUUUUAGGUCUAUUAAUGACGUAGUAUACCAACGUAAGCUGCUUCCCUUUUCCUUUUUCUUUUUUUUUUUUUGUCAAACAGGCUAUAUGGAAACCCGGUAUGCACAAAUGCACAGGAAUCCAUCAUCCAGUUUUGUCAGCCCCAGAAUGUGGAGCAAGCAUCUGAAUCCCCAACUAACUCCACCAGAAGCUGUCCUUCAUGCCCGACAGAUAGAGAUUAUGAACGUAACCCUAAUUCUCCCAUGCCUUGUUCAUGUGCUGUCCCACUUGGAGUUGGGUUUCGGCUAAAAAGUCCUGGAAUUUCAGAUUUCCCUCCUUAUAUCAAGGCCUUUGAGAUAGACUUAACAUCUUUACUAGACCUGUUUCUGUAUCAGUUGUACAUUGAGCAGUAUAUGUGGGAAAGCGGUCCUAGGCUAAAUAUGCACUUGAAGUUAUUCCCAAGCAAUACUAGUCUAUUUAAUGAAACUGAGGUUAUGCGGCUCCAAGGCGUUCUUGCUGCAUGGGAGAUUACACUUUCAGAUGUUUUUGGACCAUACGAACUUCUUAACUUCACUCUGGGCUCUUAUGGUAUGUCCUAUGAACCAUCAACAUCUAAAGACAUUUAGAUUGUCUUUACAUGAAACUAUAUUUCUCUUAAGUGCUCGUGUGGCCAUCACAAUUAUUCACGCUAGUGAAUUAUUCAAACAAACGAUAGUCAUGCCUAUUCAAACAAUCUUUUUUUUUAAUUCACUUUUCUUUCUCUACCUGAUUAUUAAUAUUAUAUGGACCUUCGCCAUGUUGGUCUGCUAACAGUGGUUGCUGGCUUUUUAUUGCUAACACAGAGAUUCCAGGCUCUUCAGCAUCGGGGUUAAGCAAGGGUGCGCUAGUGGGUAUUUUGAUGGGUGCAAUUGCUGGUGCGAUUAUUCUGUCUGCAACUGUUACUGUUCUUAUUGUGAGAAGGAACUGGAAAUAUCGGACAAUUUCAAAAAGAAGCUCAUGUAUGUCCUUCUCUUUUCCUUGUUAAGAACCUCGCCUGCUAAGUACUGCUUAAUUAGAUGGUUUUCUCUUGAAAACAGCCAUAUUACUCAAAUAGGAAAUCUGCCCUCGCAUUCUUCUCUGUGUUUAGUCUUUAAUAUCUUUGCAUUUCUUUCACUUCUCCUUUGCUCAGGAUUAACAUUAGUUUCUAGUAAUUACAUACAAACAGGUCACAAUUCAUGUAGAAUCUUCAGUUUUAUCUCUUUUUUUAAAAUAAAAGCAGCCAAUUGCCAUAAUUGUCGAUACAUUCUUAAAGGAUUACAUUCAGCUUAGAACUGCUGAACUUUCUUAGUAGUUCUUUAACCACGGAGCUAAUAGCUGAACUCAUUUUCCACUGGCAGUAUCGAAAUUUUCCAUCAAAAUUGAUGGUGUAAAACGCUUCACGUUCGAAGAAAUGGCAACGGCAACAAACAAUUUCAGCGACUCAACUCAAGUUGGCCAGGGCGGUUAUGGGAAGGUAUAUAAAGGUGUGUUAGCAGAUCGUACACUUGUAGCAAUCAAACGAGCAGAAGAAGGAUCGCUGCAAGGUUCAAAAGAGUUCUGCACGGAAAUAGAGCUGCUUUCGAGGCUGCACCAUCGUAACUUGGUCUCUUUGGUGGGAUAUUGUGAUGACUCAGAUGAACAGGUAAUCAUAUCUUAAGACUUCCUAAUGAUUUAGAGCAAGAGAAAAGUUUCUAGGUUCUUUACUUCGAUUAAUUUUAAAGUUUUAGAUUUGGGUGUUUUCGUUGUUUAGACCAAUUAAGUACAAAAAGUUCUCCAUGAACUAAUUCACUUCAGAGUGUCCUUCACAGGGCAAUCCUAACUGCUUAGAAUCAAUUGCCCCUCUAUCCAUUUGCAUCUAUUCGCCGACUGGUCGUCCUUCUCAAACAAUAUAAAUAGCACUGAAUGUUUAGAAUAUGUAAAGCCUCUUGCAUCCAUAUAUUUAACUUUGCACUAUCACGAUAAAUAAAUGCUCGAGGAACAUGCGGUUUUAGAAUUGUAUUUAUUGUUUUCUAUAUUUGUUUUGAUGUCAUUGUAUGCGUCGCAGAUGUUGGUGUACGAGUUCCUGCCAAAUGGUAGUUUGCGUGAUCAUCUUUCAGGUAAGGUUAUCAGCUUGGUUUCAUUUCAUUCUUUUUCCCGCAAGUUUAUCGCCCUUUGCAUACGAAGCGCAUUUUGUCUCGAGAUAAAAGAAUACUGUGAUUAACCUAAAAUCAUAAGGAAUUGAUUUUGUGCUGCAACAAUUAGUAAAAUCUUUAUUCUUUAUUUGCAGCAAAAGCGACCGAGCCUUUGAAUUUCGCUAUGAGAUUACACAUCGCAUUGGGUUCGGCUAAGGGUAUCCUCUAUCUACACACCGAAGCAGAUCCUCCGAUAUUCCACCGUGAUAUUAAAGCCAGCAACAUAUUGCUGGACUCGAAGUUUGUUGCUAAGGUCGCCGAUUUUGGUCUAUCGAGGCUCGCACCGGUCCCAGAUGUUGAAGGAGUAUUACCUGGUUAUGUAUCCACUGUUGUCAAGGGCACCCCUGUAAGUGUGGCUUAUAGCUGUAAUUACUUAAGCUGAUUAAAUGUUGACUUAAACCUCGGAGAUUGAUCUUCGGCUCACAAUAAUCCUCUUUCGCAGGGUUACCUCGAUCCGGAAUAUUUCCUAACUCAUAAGUUAACCGACAAGAGCGACGUUUAUAGCCUUGGCGUCGUGUUUCUGGAAUUAUUGACGGGGAUGAAACCAAUUGUGCACGGCAAAAACAUUGUUAGAGAGGUUGAGAACUUGAUUUCGCAUACUCCCUUCUUAAAAAAACCUCAAUGUUACAUAUAUUUAUAUACAUAACCCUACUUACCCUUCUUACGACCGAAACAAUAAUGAUCACUCCUAACAAUAACUACUGUAUUCUCUACUUGUAGGUGACCAUGGCCUGCCAAUCCGGUAAAAUGUUCGAAAUCAUCGACAGCAACAUGAGCUUCUACCCUUCAGAAUGCGUCGAGAAGUUCUUGUCGCUCGCACUCAAAUGCUGUCGGGAGGAGACCGACUCGAGGCCUUCAAUGUCGGAGGUGGUGAGAGAACUAGAAUCUAUAUGGAGGAUGGUGCCUGACGCCAACGUUUAUCCGUCAGAGUAUUCAGAAAUCAGUUCGAAUAAGAUGUCCAAAUCCUCUUCGACAUCUUUGAUGAUUGAAAAUCCUUUUACCUCGUCGGAUCCCUCUGGUAGCGACCAUGUGGAUAAUAAUAUACCUAGCGCGACAGUCGCUCCGCGAUGACGAAGAUAGCUCGUUUCUUGCGUGAUUGUGUAAACAUGUUACGAUCUGUACAUUCUGAAGAUGAGAUAACCCUAAUUGGCAUUCUUAUGUGGAGAUAACCAUGCAUAAAUAUAAUCUAACAUGAGGUUCUGCAUUUACAAUCUAGGUCAUCUGUUAAAGGAAGCAGGAAGAUGUCAAAAUUAUGAGCUUUUAUUUUCUGCGUCACCGCACUGGAUCCAAACACAAAUCUGAGAAGCCUCCUGGUAUCCAUUUUAUCUGAACUUCAGACCAUUGAUUCACAUUACUCUGCAUACAUUAUUUUGUGAGAGAAAAAAACUGACCAAAGAAUGAAUAAUGGCAAAGUGAAAAAGUGCUACAAGGUGGAAAAACAACCAUAUAUGUGGCUUUGCAGCUUAAGCCUAACAUAGCUCGGAAUUGUCGACAUCUGUUAGAAUCAUGAUUUUAUCAACAUAUUUGCUGAAUUUUGUAUAGUUUCUAUGUCUUAUAGACUCAGAUACCGACCGCAGUAUCGGAUUAGCAUUAAGAAAACCACGCAUACACAUCAAAUGCUAUUGAUAUUGGUGUUGCUCUUCAAUUUUCUGCACCUCUUUAAGGAAGUGCCCAAAAUGCCGAAAAACAGGGCGGCAGAUCAAUCACUGUAGGGAACUUCGACAAUUCAUCUUUUGCCAAAACGGAAAAAGAAAAAGCAAUCUGAAUCUCGUUCUGUGAUAUGAAGCUCAAGUGGUUUCUGGGCCAAAAAACAGAAGCUCAAAUUUUUUUUUAAAAAAAAAUUAACAAGAAACUGUUCUCCAUACCAGGUCUAGUCAAUUUGUGUUCCUAAGAGAAAGAAUGACCAAAUUAGGCUCGCAAGCCGCAACAUCAACACCACCACAUACUAAACAAGGCACGGAAAUCAUUACAUAAGCAAAGCAAAUACUCGCAAUUAGCUAAGUAGUCAAUUGUCCAGAAGUUACACUCUAACAUACAUAAAGUCGAUUAAAUAACAAAAAAAAAAAAAGGCAGUAACUCUCAGUGUUGUUCAUAUUUGUCAGAAGAUCUCCUAUCCAUAACAUAUAGAUAGUAGUCUCUCUUUUUCUUUUCUUUUCUUUUUUUUCCUUUUUUUUUUAUUUUUGAAAGUUCAUGUAGAUCAUAGUUAACAGUAGAAAACGAAUAGAAUGAAUGUUGUAGGAUUACAAGAACACUACCAGGACUCAUGAAACCAUGAAGAUUUCGACCCCGUCAAGAAAAGAUUUCCACUACUCACCUUAGCUAGUUAUGGAGUCCCACUCCAUGCAUUCUUUAGUAUCAAGAAGCUCAACGAUCCGCAUGCAUGGAUUUGCACAGGUAGAUUCUUGAAGAUUUCCAGGUAAGGAAAGGUGACUCUCUACCGCCCCGUCUUUGCCCGUUUCAUGCCGCUGUUGCCGAACGGAGAAACACUGCCGCUCGGGUGGGGGCUCUCCUCGCGCAUACUCGAGUUUAGCAUAGCCAGUUCUCGCAGCUGCUGCUUCUUGUAGUAAUCCUGUGAUUCAUCCUGUAAAAGAAUUUGUCGAGAAUUUCAGAAAAAAGCUAAAGCAGAUGCGUGAAACCGAGACGGUGACAUCACAAGCAAGAAGGUAGAAACAAAGUAAGAUCAAAUAGGAAGGGCCAAUGAAAAAGAGAAGUUAUUGAAGCAAGGGCCAAUAAAAAGGCUCAUUUUACUAUUCAGCACUUACUAGGAUAGUAGAUUUAUCGCAGAAAUAUUCACCAUUGUUCUUUUCUCAAUCUGAAAGUAUGCGAAAGAUGUAAAGCCUUUUUGUAAAAGGUAAUGCAUCAUUCAAUCUGUUUCAAAAAUAUAACAAAGAAUCUGAGGUUUGCGAUGCGCAAAGUUUCUUAAACCAAUCUCUACCAACUAAACAGUUUUCUCGUAGGCAAGUAUCUGAACAUUUUCCCUCAAUUUUUUUUUUUUUUUUCUGACACAGUGCUAAAGCACACAAAGUGUAUUCAUUUUACAUUCUCAGGCUAAUAGGCAAACAUUAGAACAAGUUGCCGUUCUCGAAGAUCGAACAAGAGUAUAGGUCAGAGUACAAAGCAAAGAAAUAAAAAAAGGUGAAAGGAUAUUUGGAUCACAAAACUGUUACCACUGGUUUUAGCAGCUCUUCUAUAAUUUCUUGUGCUUGUCUCAACCUUGCAUCAAUAACAUUGGCAGGUAACUCGGCCUCAAUCAAAAUAUGCAGUGGAUCAUUCAAGUGUUCAUAACCAGGUCUACCCCUUAGUUUAUCCUCCUUCAAUACAGAGAAAGAGAGAGAGAGAGAGAGAGAGAGAGAGAGAAUGACAACAAAAUUUUCAGCCACAUGCUGAAAAGAAGUAAAAUAAGCACAUAAUAUUACAAAAAAUUAUACGAGAAAAUCAUGUAGUGCUUUAAGAUUCCUAAAAUACAAGGCAGAACACUAACCUGAUCAAGCAGUUCAAAAGAUCGACCCAGCAAUGACAUACUUAACUAGUAAUUUAAAUGCUAGGAACAAGAAACCUUUGUUCAAAGCAUAUAUACAAAAUACUAGCGGAGAUCAUGGCAUGUGCACCUAUCGUCCCUUCUUUCUGUUUCUUAUUAUCUUCAACAUAGUCAGUUUUGGAUGCUUUCAAACCUCAUAAUCUCUCUUCUUCUUCUUCUUUUUUACAAGAAAUCUUUUUUAAUAGCAUGGCGCGGAUGAGGAGAACAAUAUGUGAUAAUGACUAGAGUUGGUUUUCGUUAGUAAAACAACUAAAUAUGAAGAGUGCCCUGAAAGGGCCAUCGGAGCUUACAUAUGUGAAAGGAACUAGUGUUUUUAUUAAUAAAAAGGCAGGAUAAUCCCACAUAUAUAAGUUUUUCUAUGUAAGGAGUAUGCUUUUACUUAAACUGCUGCCAAAGUGAAUAUUUGACUCCAAAAACCAAUAUCAUCUGAAUAGAAAAUAGAAAAUUUCAGUCACCUUGCCAGGAUCUUUUAUCGAGCCCUUUCCUCUAAUGUAAACGCGACAACCGGUAGAGGCUUCGACUCUCUUCAGCGAGUUUCCCCUUGGCCCGAGAAGCCGUCCGACAAAAUUGAACUGGAUCGCAAUAUAAACAAAGUAAGAAGAAGAUUGAAACCAAUAUCAUAACUGGUCUCUUUUCGGAACAAAAAGGCGUACAUUUGGGUAAGCGUCCACCGGAAUUUCUAAUCGGAGAAUCUUCUUCACAAUGUAGGAACUCGGGCUUGGCGGUGCUCCUCCUUGCCAUUCCAUAUUCAUUCCUUGAGGAAAACCUAGCCUCUGAUAAACAAUUAAGAAAAUGGUCUUUGUUACGGGAAGAAUCAUUGUAAUCUAGUUAAGAGGACAACUUUUAACACAUGUAUGAAGUGCACUAGAACAUGCGAGCUAACUAGUCAUUUUGAAAAUAAAAUGGCAAAAGAAAAUUAAGAAAAGACAUAUCCAAAGUGGAGAUAGUAAAGGUAAAAAAAGUAAAUAUGAGGUAGCUUAUUAAUAAGAGAUCAAAUUUUUUAGGCAUCGAGAGCAAUUAGGGACUAAUUAGGAAAUUAACCUCAACAUUUUAUAGAUCUAUUUUAUUGCAUUAAAUUGAUUUUACAGUUCACAAGAGGCAAUUCUUCUGAUGAUAACAUGCAUUUUUACAUUGUACCCAAAAAGAGAAAAACAUAAAGUAAUGAGAAUUGUCGAAAAUUUAUAAUUACCUCCUGGGGGAGGCCGCUCCAAUCAGAAAAACCGUUCCCAUUAAGAUUCGACAUAUGAUUCGAUGAAGACAACGGACUCGGGCUUCCCCGUUGCAGCCUGUCGUAGUCCCCAAAUCCAUGGUUUGGGGUCAUUCCCGAGACUCUCAUGAUCUCUGCUAGCACAUAAUGUAACAUGGAAAAAUAUAUCAUAUAUUGGAUAUUUUAGGAGAUUGAACAAUGCAGAUUCAAGAUAAAGCUCUAAAGAUCUACAUCCGAUACAAAGUGUUAGCUAUAAAUAUAAUUUGCCGAAAUCAACAUAAGAAUCACGCAAGCCAAAGAUCGUAGAAUGUAAAUGCCCAAAUAGUUAAACUGACGAAUGUCCAUCACAUAGAAUUGGAAAUUUAACAAAACAGUUUCUUCAGCUAUCCCUACUAGACCACAACAGCUAAACCAAACUAAAACCUGUAAAUAGAAAAGAUCGAAAUAAAAAUAAGCUGACUCGCAACUCAUACCAGUAUCUUACCUGCUAGCUAGAAAUGCGAAAGCAUCUUCGAUACGGUAGAAUUAAAGCAUGCUCACUUUUUGUAGUCCAUGGACUACACUAAUGAGAGUAAGAAUAAAAAAAAAAAACAACUAUGAAGGACUAAACACAGCCAAUAUACAGCUCGAAUAAAGAACCGGAAACAAUCAGCGAUAAGCAUUUGCUGCACUUGUUUCCGACUUGUUUUUUUUUCUUUAUAUUUCCAGUUAAAUAUUCCAUGCUUAUUUGAUAUUGGGAGCCAUAGUGAGUUUCCAACCUGUUUGUAUGAGCUUACCACAAUGAAUCAAGGGAUUCGCAAAAAUAUUAGAUGAAUCCUUUUCUCAAGAAAAUUUUCUUACAAUGUUAUAUUUAACAUAGCUGUUACUCCAUGAUCUACACAAGGCAAGCUCGGUAAGGGCGCAUGGUCAGUCGACAGCAACCAUUGCAAAGCAUUUCUAUGAGACCAUUUUCUGCCGAAACCAUUCUCUGAAAAGCCUUCAAAGUUGUAAGUUCUAUGAGUAAUGACACAUUACUCCAAUGAAAGGCCAUGUUUCCAUCAUCCAAAUCAAUCUUACACUAUUCUGAACUGAUAAUUAAGAUCAAAAUGAAUCAGAUUCAAAAGCAAUAGUUAGAUACUAAAGCAAAGGAAGAGGAGAAAAGGUUGAAUGCCCACUUUAUCCAAGUUGAAGAAUAUACUAGAAUCAAAACAUCACACCAACAAAUUAAGAUCAUAAAAAGUGAAAAAGAAGGCAAAAAAGAACUACAAAGCAUAAAUAGAUAAAGAAAAGAAUGGUCAACACAGAGAGUGUGGACAUCUCAGGUCUCUCAGGAGCAAAAGUAAAACAACUACAAUGAUCAAAUAGGAAUCCCAAUUCUCAAACUUGAUGCAAGAAGAUACACUCUUUGAAUGAAAUCAAACAAACAGAAACAAAAAUUACAGCAAAAAUCAAGUAGUAGAAGAAGCAAAAAAGUAACAAAAUAAGAAGGGGAAAAAAAAAAAGAAGAGAAAAACCCAAGUACAAAGAAUGAUCAACUACUCAAAACAACAAUUCUAAGCAAAACCAGAUAGAAAUCAAAGUAAAGCUCCCACCUUGAUUCAACAAGCGGCUACAUAUUGGAAGAACCUGCAUGAAAGGCCCAAGCUUUUGAUGCUCUGCUAAUAGCUCAGCCAAGUAUUGACUACAAACCAAUAAAAAAUUAAUAAUAAUAAGAAAAACCCAAGAUUCAGGAUCACCAAACAGCAUCUAAAUCACAAAAAAGUGAUGGAAAAAGGAGCUAUUUUUGAUGCUCCCAAUACAUCUUCAUCUACCUGCCUAUAUCUUGUGUGCUCCUUAUCUGUGGGGAGAGAACUCUUGCAGGGGAGAAGUUGUGGUUGUAUAAACCAGCCAUGGUUGUAGAAAAAGGGAGAUGAGAAGAGAAAAAGGAGUGGGGAAGAAGAGGAGGAUGGAGGUGAGGUAGUAGGAACCCAAAAAAAAAAAANGAAAAAAAAAAAAAAAAAAAAGGUGCUGUUUUUAGGUGCAGGGGAGGAGGAGGCUUACAGCUCCCUUUCUCAAUGUGGGCAACCUAGCAACCCCAUAUUAAUUUGCUCUUUUGUUUUCUUUUGUUUUUCUUUUUUUAACCCCAAAAAAAAAAAAAGAAAAAAAGAAAAAAAGAAAAAGGAAACCCAUGUUAACUUGUUGUUAUGCUAAAUGGGAACAGUAAAAAAUUAAUGGGUUUCACCAAAUUAUGUGGCUCUGUGUGUUUUUGUUCAGCUGCUUGAGUUUAAGGGGGGAUCUCUUGUGUCCUCAUGUGACUUUUCACAGCAUGAGAGAGAAAAAUGCACACCAUGUAAAUUGCUAUGGACUUGUGUUUAGUACUCUCUAUUAUUACUUAAGAUGUGCUCAUUUGUACUUUACAGGUAAAUCUAUGCGCGGUAUAUUAGUAGCUUAAAAUAAUAGUAUUUGGGUAUCCUCGAUUCCUCGUAUCAAUACUCUUUUUCGUAUUCAAAAAGAUUAGGAGUUGAAUUUUUAGAAAAUAAAUCUUUUAUAACUCAAUGCGUAGAAUUUUAUAGUAUAAAUAAUCUGCGUCAUCCGAUAUAGAUGGCACGGAUUAAUCCCACUAAAAUCUAGCAACAGGGUCAAUGCUACGCAUGGGAGUUGUACACAAUUGGAGCCUGAAUUUCUACAUAUCUUGUUGUACUUAAAAAGUUUGUGAGAGGUCUUUUCCCUCAUCAAAGUAAUCUUGCUGGCAUUUUUAAAGAUGAAAGGCUUUUUUCCUAACAAUUGACUGCAAAAAGAGAAAAAAAAAGUAAGAAGUGAUAUCAAUACAAAUACAACAGAUGCUCAAUUAGUAGAUCUUGUUACGCACGAGCGCACAAACAAAAACAAAAAUAAUAAAUAUAAAAUAAAUAAAUUAUAAAUAAAAAAUAAAAAAAUAUACAGAUUUACGUGAAAAAAUUUUUACUGGAAAAAUCACGGGCGAGUAAAGAGAAAAUUUUAUUAUCGAAAAAAAAGGAAUACAAUGUUCGGAGUACAACCAAUAUCUAUCUGUCGCCUCGAGGGCAAAAAAAGAAAAAAAAAAAACUCUUAAUGGAUUGUGAUCCGAUCCAUACUGUGGGAAACGGAGCCGCCCGCUACCCACCACAGACAUUCAUUUUUCUUUCGCAAAUUUAUUUUCAAAUGUCGCACCGCGAAAUUAUCAGUGAGUCGAAGUUUCAAACUGAAGUCGAUUAUCAAUUUCGAGCCACAUCUAACAUAUCUCUUUCUUAGGUUUGGUGUUGGCUAAUGUAUUAAGAAAAUUAAGUCAUAUAUAUGACCUUCAAAAUAUAAACAUAAGGAAUUAUUGUCCACGAACGGUGGUGAUCUAUAGAUGUUUUCAUCGACUUCUUGUACUGCAAUACUCAUCAUCCGUUCGACCAGUAGAUUGAAUUGGUACGAUGGUGCAAACAACCAUUUCAUCGUAAAAGGUUUACUUCAAAAUAAUAUACUAACUUUAAUGCAUAUAUAUAUAUAUAUAUAGAGUCCGGCUACUAUACUAUUGAUAGUAUCAAGCCCUUGGUACUAUUAAGUUUUCUGCCGUUAGAUCUACCCUUUGAUCAUUUCCACCCGUUAGAUUACACUAUUAAACCAACCACCCACUCAACCCUAGGGGACCACUAUCAAUUUAACCGGGGACGACUAUCAUCCUAACCGCACAUCCUUUCAUCCAACGGCCGAAAACUCAAUAGUAACAAGGGCUUGGUACUAUUGAUAGUAUAGUAGCAUAAUUCUAUAUAUAUAUAUAUAUAUAUAUAUAUAGUUGAGCUAGAAGACUAUCGAUAGUAAACGAGCUGUUUUACUACCUAUUUGUUUUCGAUGAUAGAGCUUCCAAAUUGACGAUCGGCUCCAUUGAACAUGAUCUAUACCACUUGAAGUGUUUAGAAAUCAAAUUUCAAAUCUUUUCGACAUCAUUUGCCUAAUGAUCAAAGGGUUUCAAAAUUUGUAAUUUUAAUGGUCGAUAAGAGGCGUUUUCUCGUUUAACGGCGUAAAGAUAUCCAAAUCAAUUGAAUUUUUGUUAGAAAAUUCUUUAAACUAUUUAAAACAAGAUCUAUACUCUUGAUCUUGAUUACAAGACUCCUAUCAUCAUUUUUUAAAGAAUAUUCAUUUUCAGCCAUUCAUUUUUCUGUUCACUUGAUGGAUAAAAGAACAAUAUCGAAAGUGCGUGAAAUUUGAUUUCUAGGUAGUUUAAAUGGUUUAGAUCAUAUUUAACGGAGCCGAUCGUCAAUUUGGAAGCUCUAUCAUCGAAAACAAAUCGGUAGUAAAACGGCUCGUUUACUACCGAUAGUAUUCUAGCUCAACUCUAUAUAUAUAUAUAUAUAUAUAUAUAUAUAUAUAAGAACUAAGCUGAAGUACUAUCAAUAACACUAAGUUAUUGAUGCUAUUAGUUUUUUAGUUCUUGGAUUGAGAAAUGUGCGAUUAGGAUAAUAUAGGCUCCCUAGGGUUGAGUGGGUGGUUGGUUGAAUAGUAUAAUCUAACGGGUAAAAAUAAUCAAAAGGAUUAAUCUAACGGUAAAAAACUUGAUAACACCAAGUAUUUGGUGCUAUCGAUAGCAGAGCAGCCGGACUCUAUAUAUAUAUAAAAAGACAUCUUGUAUACUUAGGUCUACAUUUUUGCGAAAUUAUAACAUACACCUCACUAAUUUUAACCUGUGAGAGGUUUAGUUAGGGUAUAAUGUGGAGAAUUAGGGUUCUAGAGGCAUGCAUUGCGAUGAUUUGUGUCUUCUUCAUGCACUCUUUGAGGAGACAACUGUACAAAAGGGAUGAAUGGUUGAGGAGCAAAGGGCCAUAUGCAAUUGCUUGUUGUAUCUUGGGCAUUAAAUGUCCUCACAUGAAAUAUUUGGAAAAAGGCUCAAGCUACAAAAAAAGAAAACCUACACUUUCCCCUCCCUUAGUUUCAUGAGUUUCUUCAAAAUUGUCACAAUUAAGUUAACCUUUAGUUAGUUUCAACUAUUUGAAAUGUUCUUUCUUUUUCUUUUUCUUUUUUUUUCCCUCCUUUCAAAGAAGAUCAAUUUCUAGGUGAAAAAAGGCAUUGAAGAGAGAGUUAAUAUUGAGGGAAAAAAAAUAAUCAUGAAAUGAAGGGAAAUUUCUAUCAAUCANAAAAAAAAAAAAAAAAAAAAAAAAAAAAAAAAUCUUUACCACUUGCAAUCCUUCAAUGUAGAGGGAAUAAUCACUUUUAAUGACUAAUCUUUUGCGUUACAUACAUACCAUUAAGCGAGAUAUCAUGGGGUUCGAUUUUGAGUUUGUCAUGACAAAGACGGACAAGAUCUAGUUCAUCGGGCGUGAAAAUAUCAAAAAAUUUCGAAAAAGAGAGAAGAAAAAUAAAACACACUAUUUACGUGGUUCGGUCACUGACUUAUGAAGACGUAGCAGAGAUUUUCAUUAUAAUUAAAAUGAUGUACAAAAUAUGUCUCUCUUGCAAAAUCCUAAUUUCAAAAAUAUAUUCAUAUUGGCGCACCAAAUUAAAAAAAUAAAGGGUAUACUUAUAAUAGUAGCUAUCAAAAUGGUGUACAAAAUAUGUCACUCUUGCAAAAUCCUAAUUUCAAAAAUAUAUUCAUAUUCUUUCUCAUCUGGCACACCAAAUUAAUGAAAUAAAUGGUAUACUUAUAAUAGUAACUAAAUCCUAAUACGAUUAGGAAUACAAAUCCAUUAAAAUUAAGAAUAUCUUAAUUAAAUUAGAUAUAAUCUAAACUUAAUAAGAUAACCAAAACAUAAUAGGGUUAGAAAAUCUUGCAGUUCUAAAAUUCGAAACAUAUCUAACAAAGUUGAAUCUCUAUCCAUUAAUUCGUUUCUCCCUAUUAAAUAAAUUGAAAUACCAAUAUAUAUGCAUGAUAUAUAUAUUAUAUGAUAUAAUGAAUUAUAAACAAUAGCUUAAUUUGUGUUACAUUCUUAAUAUUAAAUACAUUCCUAAAUCAUUUCAUAUCGAAUCUAUCUUCUUAAGUUCUGUGAUAUCAGAGUCAAUUCCAAACCUACUCGACUCCCUAGAUCAUUUAUCUAGCGAUCGAAAGAGUUCAAAAUCAACGGCUGAAAAUAAAAAUCUCACAGAAAGUGAUGAUAUAAUACUAAAAUUUUCAAUCAGAAAUACUAAUUUUGCAGUAAAUAGCAUAAAGGAUUUUCUAUCAAAAUUUUAUCUGAUUUGAAUACUUCUACACCGUUAAACUUGCAAACAAUAUAUAUCAACCAUUAAAAUUGUAGAUUUUGAACCAUUUUGAUCGUUAGAUAAAUGAUAUCGAAAAAUCGCAAUAUUUAUUUUCUAAAUACUUUAAAUAUACUGGAUCAAAUCUAACAGAGCCGAUCGUCGAUUCGGAAGCUCCAUUGUCGAAAACGGCUUAGGAGCAUGUAAGCCUCUGUCCUCCUAAUAGCACACAAAACCUACUCCAAAUUCCUGUAUUAAAAUCUUACCCCAUUAACUAUCCCUGUCUCGUUCAUCAUCUAUCAAAUUUCCGUACGUUUAGUCCAAACGGGUUCCAAACUCAUGACAAAAUGCCAAAAUAACAUAAUGAGAAUGUGAAAGGUAUAUACAAGUGCAAAAAAAGAAAAAGAGAAAGAAAAUGUUGGAUUGAAAACCAGUUUUGGAAAUGAAAUGGAGAGCCAUGGGGAACAUGAUGCAGCAACAUUUUCUUUUUUUUCCUCUCAACACCCACCAUUGAAUUGUUUAAUUUGUGCACUGUGAGUAGCUAAGUUCCAAAAGAGUAUCACCACCAUAUACUCCUCAACAUAUAUAGAGGCAACAUUAGUACAAUGAGAGUAAAACAAGACUCAGAUAUCAAUUGUUUUUAGCACCACAUAGUAACCAGCCACACUGUCAAACACAUGGGGGUAGAGAGAGAGAGAGAGAGAGGAGAGAGAGGAGAAACUAUUAAUUUCUCGUAUCGAGUGCAAAAGUACACAUCUCAUACACUGCACUCGUAAAUUCUAUUAUAAAUGUGCUACCACUAUUUAGAAUAGUUGGCAUGUAUUCUCUAUAUACCUCAAAAGUUAUGUCCUUAACAUUUCUAACUUUAGAAUAUGUGUGGCCAAUGAGUUAGAAUCUAACUUAUUCGAUACAUUUUACGGUUCCUAAAAAAUAUGAAUGUAGAUUUCUUUACAAAUCAAAUAAUGACUUUUUUUGUGCUAUUAAUUCUUCGGAUGACUCGAUUCUUUAUAUAUAGCUUCUUUCGAUGUUGCAGAUCACGACUGUCGAACUACAGGGUGCGGCGCAUGAAAAUGUACAUAUACACCGGGUGCAAACAAUAAUUUCCACACAGAGAGAGAGAGAGAGAGAGAGAGAGAGAGAGAGAGAGAGAGAGAGAGGUGAAACUAAAGAGCAUAGGAUUCUCUUUGUGGUGUAAUAGAAAAGUAUACGGCAGUGCACGUUGGAGGAGGGGGGCAGGGGACAGAAAAUGUGAAGGAGAUUGCCACAAUGGGCCACUGCUUCCCCCAACUAAGAACUUUAUUGAUUCACACACACACACACACACACACACACACACACACACACAUAAACACACACACAUCAUCUACACCUCAAACAUAAUAACUGGAUCCUAUGUGACUCUCUCCCUCCUUUUGUUGGAGCUUGUUUGGCCCUUAUUCUCAUGAUUCAGCUUCUGACUACUUACCAUACAGCAAUUUACCACUGUAGCACUCAAAGUAGUUGAAAUUUUUAGAGUUCAAGUUGGAGAGAAAUAGAAAUGAGAUUCUGAGGUCGAAAAGUAUAUGCUGCUGUAGGGUAUAGAUUCCAGAUGGAUUUUCUUUUAGUGUUUAAUCUUUUAAAAAUACUCAAUUAUUCAAUUAUUGGAAAAUACUGAUCAUAACACCAAAUGAAAUUUGACAAUAUUCAAUUAUUUGCGAAGGCUCCAAAUAAGUGAUAUAAACAGUGCACAGUCAACUUCCUUCUUAUUAACUAACAAUGCCCUGGUAAAAUUUGUUUUAGACGCCAUUAAACUUAAUCUAAACUAUUUAAACUUCUUAAAACCAGAAUUUUAUAAUUUUUCGAUAUUAUUUAUCUAUUAUUUAAGUGGACCUAAAAUUGACUAUUUUCAAUGACUAACGUAAGGUGAAUUUGGAAAGACUUGAUCACUAGGCAAAUAAUGUUAGAAAAUUUUAAAAUUCAAGUCGAUUGAAGUUUCAAUACUGUAGAUUAUGUUUAACAAUGCUGAUUGUUGCUUAGGAUACAUCUUUAUUGCAAAUAAUGCAGAAGUAAAUGCAUCUAUUUACUUCUAGAAGUAUUAUGUAUAUAUACAGAGAGAAAUAGGCUACUGUAUUAUUAAUAGCACAAGUCACCGGUGCUUGUGGGCUUUCGGCCCUUAGAUCAAGGGAUGUGCGGUUGGGAUAAUAGUGGUUCUUUGGGGUUAAGUGGCUGGUUCAUUAAAUAGUAUGAUCUAAUGGAUGGAAAUAGUCAAAGGGAUAAGCUUCACUACUGAUUUGGUUGCAAGAACGGGAACGCACCCCUGGAGGAAGCGCUGGAAAGCCGCAUCUUAUAUCCUGCUAAGCUAGUAAUAGAUAUGACGACAGAAAAUCCUAUAGCAGAAAACGGUUAGGGUUAUCAAUAGUAUAAUAGCCGGACUAUAUAUGGUACAACACAUAAAAUAAAUAAUUAAUAAAAUAAACCAUUAUUGAGCACGAAUGUAGGAGCACUUGUCACACUACCUACCACCCCUCCCAAAGCUUUAUUUAGAGCUCAAAAAUAGUGUGAGUGUUUCCUCACCGGUCACUGCCUUGUGUGAGCAGUAGUGAGAAUGGCCAAGGAAUGGGAACUCCCUAUUGCAACAGGUUGUAGAAUCUUUCCACAACCUAGACACGUGGCAAUGUUCCAUUGCUUCUUGUAGUGGCGAAAAGUGUUUUGUACACUUCCCCUUACUUGCAUGCUAUUGGUCGGUUCACUUGAUUGAUUGAUUCGAACUAUACAUCGAGUCCACAUGACUAGCGGUUAAAAUUAGUCUCUUACUUUUACCAUUUAUUUUUUUAUCCAUUCGUAACAAGUAAAUUAUACUCCUAAAAAUAAAUAAUAGCUGGAUCUGAAUAAUAAAAAUUACGUGCUCUGUAUAAAGAAUUUAAUCAAUUCAUAUAAAUAUCUAGACAGGGCACGAGUGUCACCAUUUCAUGAUUCGUGUAAAUCUCUUGAUAUUAUAUUUGUACCUGUUAAAUUUUAUAUGUAUUCAUAUUCGUUUAUUUUUAUCAUUCCAAUAGUUUUUAGAAUAUAAAUUUAGUGAGAAUAUGGCAUCAAUUGCCGCAUGAAAGAUUGAUGAGACCAGGGUGAUCGCACCGUCACAAUCAUUUUUUUUUUAUUCGUUCUUUUUUUUUUUCCCUGCUAGGGAUUUUGGCGUGAAAACUAUGUGGUCUCCAACGACGAUCUGCCACGUGUCGGCGUCGCAGUAAAUUCUUGUACAGCUUCGGGUGCAGCGGAUCCUGCGCGUCGGAUCAAGCGCUGCCCCUCCAAUUCUUCCCAUCUCCUGCGGCGAUUACGAGGAGGGCGCACGUGCGGCCUUGGCCGGGAGCGGGGGCCGCGCGCACGAGCGGGCUCGAGCCGCUCGAGAUGGGCCACGUUCGCCCUUAAUGGGCCGUUAAUGGGCCGAUAAUAGGCCGUUAAGUGGUAAAUGCUGUGGGGAAAAGGCCCGUUGGAUUUUAUAGGAUACAAUGAAUGGGCCCAAAUUGUACGGGAUAGUCCCGGUACUAUCCCAAAAUUGCAAUGGGGCCUCUAAUAACUUUCCACUUUCAUUUGUAUUAUUAUUAUUAUUAUUAUUAUUAUUAUACUUUAGUCCCUAACUUUUGUAUGCUAAAAAGUGUAGCAAAUUGAUAAUUUUUUAUUUUACAAUUUAGUUGCACUAUUUGGCUUAUCGGACUUGGUUGAAAUAUCUUAUGAUUAAUUGUUAGAUAAAUAAGAGACAUUGCACAGUUUUUUGGAAUAAAAAAAAUGAAAGGUUCGUUUGAAUAAUUAUAUUAAAAUAAUUUAUGUUUCAGAUAAUUUUCGUACUUUUUUACCAAAAAAAAAUCAUUAUCCGAAUUGGGAUUUGCAAAAACAAAAAGUGAUAGGGACUAACGUGCAUAAUCUCCUUCUACCAAAGCGAAUAGCCAAAAGCGAGAGCCCGAUCGAUCGAAACCCUACCGGAGAAUCCCGAUCCCUUCUUCUUCUUCUUCCUCCUCUUCCUCUCGUUGACGAUGGCGAAGCUCUUUUGGUUGGAGGCGGUUCUUCCGCUGGGGAUCAUCGCGGGGAUGCUGUGCGUGAUGGGGAACGCCCAAUACUACAUUCACAAAGCCGCUCAUGGACGGGUUAGAUCCCCUUUUCUCCCCCUUUUUUUUUUUCCAUUUUUCCGGAUUUUUCUGCUGAAUUUUUGGUCUUGGAUUCUAUCCGGUGAUUUUGAGUCCGAAAUGUGAAAAAAGCUGAGAUUUUGGGCCAAAUUUGCAGCCGAAGCAUGUUGGGAACGAUGUUUGGGAUGUGGCGAUGGAGAGGAGGGAUAAGAAGCUCAUGGAGGAGUACUCCUCUGCUGGAAACUAGGUUGGUCGAUGCAAAUUUGUUUCCUCUUGCAUUUGUAAUCGCAUUUUUAUGUGCAAUUUGAUGUGAAAUGGGUUCUAGGGUUAGGGAGAAAUUGAUGUGUUCUAAUGGAGUUUCUGUAACUAUGAAUAAGCUAAAUACAAUCCAGAGGCCCUUGUUUGUUUAAAGUGGCAAUUUUUCGGGUAACUUAGGGCUCAUUCCACGUAGAUUUUGAUUUGAUUUUGAUUUAUUUCCAUUGAAACAAUGCCUUUUUCCCUUUACUGUAGGUUCAGUUUACUUCAGAAUUAUGUUUGGGCAUUGAUCGCAUUGUCAACUUCAGAAUUAUGUUUGGACAACAUUGAAGCCCUAGGUAGAGGAGAGAAAAUAAUCAGAAAAUGAGAGAAAUGACUUUUUUUUUUUGGUGUCCUCCCAGUAAGUUCAAAUAUUUGAGUAGGAAUUACAAGAAGUUAUGGGAAAAAAAUAUCAUCAUAUACUUGACACUGAAGUUCAUCAGCUAUAAGUUCAGUAAAACUGAAGAUGUGUUUAUGAUUGUGUUCAUCGCGUAAUUUGCAAUGUUAUGACCAGGAUGCAGAGCUAAUCUACAGGCUUAUUCAUGUCAUCGUAUACUUGACACCAUUACAUGUUGAAAUUUUGUGAAUGAACUAGAUAACGGUAGAGAAGAAUGGCAUGCUUUCGCUUAAGCAAGAAUAAUGUGAGGUUCAAAGGAUAUUGUGAGCCAAUCUUUGAAGGAUAUUACCUUUCGAGGCCAUGUUUGGUUAUAGUUAAUUUCUAACAGAAAUGGUCCAUCUGGGGUAAAGCUUCAUAACUUAGAUUAUACAUAGGUCAAGCAUGUCUAGAAGGUUCGAUGGUCCUAAGAUUGAAAACCCAUGAAUUUUAAGAUACAAGAAGAAGUUUCGAGGUCCAAAUGAGACAUAUUGUUAUCACCUUGUUUCCUCCAAACUAAAUGAAUUGCUCUGUGCUUUUCUUGACUAUAUUAAUUUCAAGAUUAAUCUCAUUUCCUCUCUUGCUCUGUGUUACUUUUCUCAUUUAGUAAAAGCAAAACUAUAUGCGGUGUAACGUCUGUUCCUUUUUUUUUUGGCAGGAUUUGAAGCAUGGAAAUGUUUAUGUUGGCAAUAAAGCUCCUUGGAGAACUCACCGAGAAGUGUAUGAGCUUUAACGUCCUCCUUUUGUUAUGUUACUUUGUGUUUUUUUUUUUUCUUCCUGCUUUUACGUGUUCGACAACUCCAAGAAUAAUACUGAUGGCAGAUUGGAUGGAUAUAUUUAACCAAGCUUUUGCUUACUCAUUGUUAAACAGUUGGUCCCUUAUGAACUACUUUUAAAGGAUCAAGUUAUUUGCUUGUUAAACACUAUUUUAAUCUUGUUGCAGUUGCCCGGUAUGUAAUGAAAAAGUUGCUAGUUUUUAAAAUGGCUUUACUCAAACAACCUGCUCGCUAAAGCUAAUAUUCUGUUCAAAUUUUGUUCUGUUGUAAACUUUAUGUGUUCAAUUGUUGGGUAUGACCUAUUAUAUCAUUAAACAUCCAACAAAUUUGAUAAUAUCGGUUUGGACUUAGUGCACAUUUGGCUGAAUCCACUUGGAUAAUAUAUCUACAUGAAAUCAAUGAAAACUGAACCUAAGUAGUUAUUUGUUCACCAGAAACUAAAUCAGAUUAUGAACUUGAUGAAUACAAGGCCAGCAAAAUAAAUCAGUAUUUAUUAUAAUAGUUAUUGUUGAAGAAUCAGACAACGAAUUACAAACAGUUUUACAAUGAAUACAACUUCCCAUGCACAAACAAAUCAAUCAUGCCAGUUUGAGAAGGGUGUUAAUAAAGAGUCAUAGCAAAUUCAAGCAAGCCUUUGAAUUGUAUAAAAGAUUCCUCAUUGAAUCACCUUUGUUUCUUCUGGUGGAGUCUCUAAGCCAUGUUGUUUCGGAGAGUGAGGGCUAAUCGGACUCCCAGACCGAACACUGGGAUUUGGAGAUGAUUGUCCAUUAGGAUUAGAGGUUGGAGACGGAGGGCUCGGUAUGGCGGAAGAGUGCACAUCAUGAGCUGUAUGAAUUGGUGAGAGAUUGGGUAGCAUUUCGAUCGGGUCAACGUCGUCGACCUCUUCGAUGUCCUCCUCGUCAAAAUGGACGACAUCCUGCAUGGUAAGUUGAUGGAACUCCACGAUCUCGCGGAGGAAUCGGUUCUCCCGUGCAUAUAAAGAGUUCUCGUGCGCCAGCCUCGCCUUCUCGGCUAACAGUGUUUCCAACUGGAGUCUUAUCUGGUUGGAGAUCGAAAAGAAGGGAAAAGGUAACUAAGAAGCAAAAUGUGGAACGAGCUAUAGCAUCACUUAAGGGCUUUGUUUGGCUGUUCGAAGUAGCACUUUCAAAACAUGUCUCCUUCGGAAAAGUAAGUUUAACAUCAAAGAUAGAAUGAUGAAGCUGAUCAAGUGAUAACUGCUAAGGAGGAGAAGAAUAUGAAUGAUACCAGAUCAUCAUCUUCACUGUUGUUACCCUUUUGGCGAUUCUCCCGCAACAUCUUGUUCUCCUCUUCGAGCUGAGCACAGCGCUCUUUUGCGAAAGCAAGGUCGGCUUUCACCGUUUUCAGUUGCCGCAAAUGAAGUUUGGCUUUCGCAGCCAUCGCAUAAGCAGCCUGCAAAUAGGGAAGAACCAUAGGUAUUUUUUACCCUAAGAAGAUUAGAAUCUUUCAUAUCCUAAAGAGUAAACAUUGGAAGAAUGUUUCUAAAAGAGUUCAACUAAAGAACAAACACUAAGGAUUGUAAUUUUUCAUGUCCAAAAAAUCAUUAAUCCUAGUAAUCAAAGUACUUUGCUAAACCAAAAUGUCUGGAAAAAAAACAAGAAACAGAUUAUCUAAUGCAAUCAUUCUUUGUAACUAAGCGACACAUGGUUGCCACCUUACGUCGCGAGAAGCUUUUAGUUGAGUCUCUUGUUCGCUUUGAUUCGAAGAGAGAUUCGGCGAAUCGACAUCCAGAUUCUGUAAGUUGGAACUGCUGUUCUUUCUUCCGAUCUGUAGCUUUCUUGUUUCCUGAAUAAUAUCAGCAGUCCUGUUCUCCACCAUUGUCAAACCCUCCUGAUAUAAGUAAAAAAGAGGGUGAUUUUUCACUUGGGAUAUGAAAACAAGUUAUGAAACUCAUAAAGAUAUGAUAAUUUAGUGAUUAAGAUUAGUAAAAUUACUGGCAUAUUGAAGAAAUAAACUAGCUUUUACAGAUUUCUGAAAGAAAUUACUUCGAAGGCAUUUCGGAUUCGCCCCCCGAUAUCUUUUAUUGCUUCUGAGCCUCUCUGGAAUGCAGGGCUUUCCGGCUUUCGGUAACUUUCAGAGGAUGAGUUGGAUUGCAGAUUCUGUAAUAGAAGCCAUAAGAGCGAAAAAAAACACCCCAGUAACAGGUUAAUCGAUCGUGAUUUCACUAUUUUUGAGAUUUGAACUAUUCGUCGAGUUAAAUACAUGAUGUUUCUCACCUGAAAACUUGUCGGUGAGGUACGUGUUUGAGGCUGAUCUGUGCCAUAAUCUCCAGAUUUAUUCGGAACACCAUUGUCAUUAUCGUCUUCGAGGAUUGCUUUAGCUUUCCUUGCCAAAACACCCCAGAAUCCAUGCUUUGGCUCGGUUAAGCUUUUCAUUGAUGUGUACUCAACGGUGUUAGACUCCUGCGCAUCAACACACGGGCAAAACAAUCCAGUUUCAUGUUAAAAGCAAUCUUCUACAAAUCCAUUUUCAUAUGAAAGCAGUUCAUAAUUUCCUUUCUAUGAUCAAUCAAAAUUGAUUCAUCACUCACAAAAUUCAUUUUUUUUAAAAAAAAUAGAAAUUAACAUUCAAAGUUAUAUGUAUAAUAGAGAUUGUCUCAACCGUGUAGGAAAUUGAACCUUCGUGCUCUUGAAGCUUAUUACCAAUAGAUCGAUUUGAUUAAAAAUGUUCCGAUAGACCAGAUUUUGCCAGAUCGUGAUGAGAGGGUCGGAGAAUUGGAGGGAUUGAGCCUGCACCUGGGAUAGCCUACGGCGGCCGGAGGCGGCGGCGACGGAGGUGGAGUUGCCGUAGGCAGAGGAGAACGAAGCGGAGUGGCGGUGCGCCGCGGAGGCACGAAUGGCCUGGGCUGCGAGCGAGGGUGACGACAAUGAGUCGCCGUCGGGAUCGGGGAAGGAUCGGCAGUCCUCGACGAAGGUGGCGGACCGAGUCAUGACGUGCUUCCUCCGGUACGCCAUGGCCGGCGUCGCGGUGGCAGAGCAGCCCGGAGGCGGCGAGGCCGAGCCCUCUUUCUCUCUGGAAUGGGAAAGAAAUUUCCGUUUAUGACAAUAAAAUCGUUAGGGACGGUUUAUUUUAUUUUAUUUAUUUUUCUGAUCUUAACGAAUUCUUCCUCUUCUUUGAACUACGACUUGCCCGCGUUUUUUGGGCGAGGAGGCCGGAUCAAUGCUCACUUCGCUCUCUAAACGAUCGGACAGAUCAGAGCCGUUGAUCGCUAAUUUGGGCCGAUACGGCCCAAAGGCCGAGAACAUAUGGGCCAAAAUUGGCGACAAUUUCAAGUGUAAAAAAGUACGACACAACGCAACUGCAGUGUGCGCUCCUUUCAAAAUCAUGGUGUAGAGCAACUAAUUGUUAGCAUUGUGGUAAUAAAAGGUGCAUGAGUUGCUGAUGCUCACCUAAAAUGAUCGCCGCCGCGGCCCUUCUCCUCCACCGCCGCUGCACGGACGCGGCCGCGCGAGGCCCGGGCGGUGCAUGCGCUGCUCGUGACCUCCGGCGCGCUCCGCUCGUCCCCCUCCGCCCUGACCGCGCUCAUCUCCGCCUACUCCGCGCUCUCCCUCCCCGCGCUCGCCCUCCGCGCCCUCGUCGCCUCCCCUCUCCCCCCCAACCUCGUCUCCUUCAACGCCGCGAUCACCGCGCUCGCCUCCCACUCCCUCCCCUCCGCCGCCCUCGACCUCUUCCGCCGCCUCCGCCGCGCCCUCCCCGACGAACCCCCCGACGCCUUCUCCUUCCCCCCCGUCCUCCGCGCCUGCGCCGACCUCCCCGCGCCCCACGCCCACCUCCACCUCCGCGCCCUCCACGCGCUCCUCCUCAAGUCCCGACUCCACCGCGACCUCUUCGUCGCCAGCGCCCUCGUCCGCUCCUACCUCCGCCUCCGCCUCCCCGACGACGCCGCCCACCUGUUCGACGAAUGCGGCGGCGAGGCGGGCGCGCUGGGACCGGAGCGAGUCGGGGACGUCGUCCUCUGGAACGCCCUGCUCAACGGGCUCGCCCAGCUGGGCCGCUUCGGGCCCGCCCUGGAGUGCUUCCGCCGGAUGCUCGGCGCGGGCGUCGCCCCGAGCAAGUUCACCGUCACCGGGAUCCUCUCCGUCUUCACCGCCACGGCCGAUUUGGGGAGCGGGCGAAAGGUCCACGCUUUCGCCGUGAAAGCCGCGCACGACCGCGAGGCCUCGGUCGCCAACGCGCUCGUGGACCUCUACGGCAAGUGCCAUGAGUUGGGGGACGCCACAGAGGUCUUCGCCUCGAUAGCCGACGACGACAGGGACCUCUUCUCGUGGAACUCCAUGCUCUGCGCUCUGCACUAUUCAGCGGACAACGUCGGCGUCCUGCGGCUCCUCGCGCACAUGCGGCGCUCCGCCAUUUGGCCCGACGCCGUCACGAUGGCCGCCGUCCUCCUGACGAGCGGCAUGUUCGGCAACAACGGCGGCGGCUCGUUGGACGUGUUUGCCGCCAAUGCGCUGGAGGACAUGUACGCGAAGAGCGGCGCGCUGGAGGACGCGCGGCGCGUGUUCGACCGGAUGCCCGAACACGACUCUGCAUCGUGGAACAUCAUGAUCGACGGGUACGCGUCGCACGGGCGCGGCGGCGAAGCACUACGGCUGUUCGAUCGGAUGACGGCCGUCGAGAAGCUGGCGCCCGACGCGGUGACGCUGCUGGGGGCGCUGACAGCGUGCAGCCAUGCAGGGAUGGUGGAGGAGGGGCGCGCAUUGCUGCGGCGGAUGCGGGAGGAAUUCGCGGUGGAGCCCGAGGCAGAGCACUAUGCGUGCGCGGCGGACAUGCUGGGCCGGGCGGGGAGGCUGGAGGAGGCGAAGCAGGUGGCGGAGAAAGCCGGCGAGGCGGGGGCGUGGCGGGCGUAUUUGGCGGCGUGCAGGAUGCAUGGGGAGGCAGGGAUGGCGGAGGAGGCGGCGAGGCGGAUGCUGGAGUUCGAGGGGGCGGGGAGUGGGGGGUGGGUGUUGCUGGCAAACGCCUACGGCUCGGCGGGGAGCUUUGAGGGGUUGGAGGAGGUGCGAGGAGAAAUGAGGAGGAGAGGCGUGCGGAAGGCGGCGCCGGGGUGUAGUUGGGUGGAGGUGGGGGCCGUCGGCGUCGGCGUCGACGGCGCGGCGGCGGGGGAGGGGAGAACGGUGCAUGUGUUUGUGAGUGGGGAUAGGGAGCACCCGGAGAUGGAGAGGAUAUAUCAGAUGCUGCAUGGGCUUGUAGGGAGGAUGAGAGAGUGUGGCUACGUCCCCGAUUUAAAUAUUUAAACUAAACUUUACAAAAUUUAANGAUGCUGCAUGGGCUUGUAGGGAAGAUGAGAGAGUGUGGCUACGUCCCCGAUUUAAAUAUUUGAACUAAACUUUACAAAAUUUAAAAUUUGAUUCGUUUCUUACUCAAAAUUUAAUUUAUUUUUUUCAAGUAAAUCAUAAAAAUAUUUAGUUAUUUUAAUUAUAACAAUUUGCAUUAAUAACGCGCAUCCGACUUCAUCUAUUAUCUUCUUAUAUCCAUUCCCUCCCCCGCCCUCACCUUCCCGCCUCAAUUAUUCUAACCACCUCUCCCUCUCCAUGUCCCCCGAAAAAAUGUUCAUCCCUACCCCCCACUCCCCCCUCCUCUCCCCCAAACCCUAUUCACCCAAUCCACCCUCUUCACCUCCUCUCCUUCCCCCUACAAUUCUCAUUCCCUUUCUCCGAUCCCCGCCCCGUAUGAGCCUCCGAUUCAUCUGCAAAGCCGCCGCCUCUGUUAGCGGCUCCGGCGCCGAGUACCCCGGUAAAGCUCUCAAUUUUGCUUCCUUUAUCACUUCUUCCUGUACAAGAGUGACAAGAGUGAUGCUUAACUCUAGUUCUCUUCAGUGGGACAAUCCGCCGAACAGUUGGCAGGCGAAAGCCACGCGAAGCCGAAGAUGCGACGGAAAGUCGCAGGGGCCGAUCAGGAGGAGUUGCUGGAGCCGGAGGCGUUGGCCGAUCCCGAUAGCUGCUUCUAUGAGUUCAAUGGUGUUAAGAUCCACCACAAGGUUUGCCACAAUGGGGCCAAAGAAGAGGAGGCGGAUGCUGGGAAGAUUGGAUUGCCCCUGAUUCUGUUGCAUGGCUUUGGGGCCUCGGUGUUCUCGUGGGACCGUGUGAUGAAGCCGUUAGCGAGGGUGGUCGGUUCGAAGGUUCUCGCCUUCGAUCGGCCGGCGUUUGGGCUCACCUCGAGGCUGAGCUAUUUUGGGCAGUCGGGUAUUGGCGGAGGCGAUGCGAUGCCUUUGAAUCCUUACUCGAUGGCUUUCUCUGUUCUUGCGACGCUCUCUUUUAUUGAUUUAUUGGGUGCCCAAAAGGCCAUUUUGAUGGGGUAUGAUGCAUUGUUCUUUGUUAGUAUGAAUCUAUUAUUUUCCUUAUACGCAAGUUAUGCAGAUCUUACCUGAACUCUAACCCAUGUUAAAGUUUUGAUUUUUACUUAACACUAUGUUUGACCUGAAGUACUUCUGUAUCAAAUCUUGCUACUUAAUAGGAUGUUUAUAUCGUAUUUGACGGAAACUAUUAAGUUCUAACAAAACUUGAUGGAAUUUUUCGAAAUCUAACAUGUUGUAGGGUUAGGAUGUAAGAAUCAUAAGUCUUAAAUGCACAAAAGUUCAGAUAAGGUCUGGGAUUUGUUUAGUUUUUGUAUUAUAGAAUUUGGCUGCCCUGCUUUUUGAAUCUCUAUAAAUUGAAAGGUGAAUUGGGGUCUCAGGCAUUCAGCCGGUUGCCUCGUAGCAGUUAACACAUACUUCGAAGCGCCUGAGAGGGUUGCCGCACUUAUUCUUGUUGCCCCAGCCAUUGUUGCUCCCUUUCUCAUGCGAAAGGAGAAUCAGGUGGACAAGGGAGAGAAAAGAAAAGAUGAGAAUUCAAACUUGGAUUCGCGUGAGAACCCGUUUGUGAGGAUUUGGAGUGCCUUUUGCCAGUUAUGUAUGAAUCUUGUGGGGCUUGCUCUAAAAAUGGUGAAACGGAUGAGAGAUAUGGUUAAAACACUUUACGCUAGAGCUUUGUCGGUGGUUCUGCGAUCAACAUUCGCUGUAAUGCUGGUAAGCAGAAGAAAUAGAAAGACACUUGAUGUUUUGAAUUCAUAAAGCAUAGAUCCCAUGUAACAUCAAUUCUUUGUUUCACCACCAUUAGAUACUGUGAGGUAGAAAGAUUCAGUUUCUGUUUGGGAAAUUAUUGUGUGCCUGAUUUCCCAUUCACUUGGUGGUUUAAUUGAUGCAAUCUUUCCUAGUAUGGCAUGAGCAUAUACUUUUGCUUUAAUUUGUGCAAUUUUUUGCCUAUAACUGCAGUGGAAUUAUGAUGGCUUUUUUGGUGUGUCACAGAUAAGAAUGAUCAUUGAUAAGUUUGGUAUUGUGGCGAUUCGAAAUGCAUGGUUUGAUGCAAACCAAGUAAACGACCAUGUCCUACAAGGUUAUACAAAGGUGAGCUCUCUCAUUGAGAAAUCAGUAGGGCUUGACUUUGAAGAGAGAUUUAGGUAAAAUAGGAGUUUUCAUUUGGAACAAAUUCUAUUGUGCAGCCAUUGAGAGCCAAGGGUUGGGAAACGGCUCUUUUGGAGUAUACUUUAGCUAUGAUUUUGGAUUCGGGAUCGAAACCACCAAUUUCUAAAAGGCUAUCUGAGAUCUUAUGCCCUGGUAAAAGUUACAAGCCUUUUGCAACUAAUUUACUUUGUUUAUUUGUUAAUAUCUACUUAUCCUGAGUUUCUUACAUGUGAAUAAAUAUGAAAGCCAUCCUAUAUGGCUAUCAAUGCUAAAAGUCUGUUAAACAGGAAGUUUCGUUCAUACACGUGAAUAAACAAGUAUGCUAUUGUUGCUCAUAGCUGAUUAAUACUACAUUUAUCCAAUUCAGUGCUGAUAGUGACCGGCGACACUGACCGACUUGUUCCUUCAUGGAAUGCCGAGCGUCUGUCACGGGCUAUACCAAACUCCACCUUUGAAGUAAUCAAGAAUUGCGGCCACUUGCCUCACGAAGAAAAAGUCGAUGAAUUCUUGUCAGUUGUUGAAAGGUUCCUACAAAGGGUUUUUGGUGUGCGAAAUGAAGAACUCUUUGAAGCAGCAGCGUGAAUAGAAUCUAUACCUAGGAAACCAGGUUUCCGGAAAUAUAUUAUGAUUAUCCUAUUUGGAGAAUAAAGAUAUUGCUCAAAGUUCAUCCAUUAAUCAAUUCGUUAUCCUGUAAUAUCGAAUUGAGCCGCCAAAGAUGGAUUGGCGAGCAUAAGUUGUAAAACAGGUGUUUUAAUACUCAGAAGUAGCUACCAAAUUAUGUAUUGUAAGUAGAAUAUCUGCCAAAGAAUUAUACGAACGCAAUUAUACUGUAUUCACAUUUUCUUGCUAAUGGAAAAUCACCAAUUUACAGUGCAUCCCGUAUUUGGAUGCAAUGUAUAGAUGAUUCCUGUACCAGUGAAAUAUUCGAACUAGUCCCUGAACUUCCCUGAGCAUUUCACUUGUAACUUUCAGCCCCUCAACUUUGCUACGAUUUUUAGACUGCAUUCAGCACUCCCUCUGCCAUCCAACCUCUGACAACACAUGCUCUGCACAUGAUCCUUCUUAUGUAAAAUGACUAUUGUAUCCCUUUUUAACAUGUAAAAUGGCCUUUUCUUUUAGUUUAUUUGAUAUUGGGGUUAAAAAUGGCCGUUUUACAUGAUGGGUGUCACGUGCAAAGCACAUGACGAUGCUCGAUGGCAAUGGAGCCAGAGAUGUAAUUGCAGAAUAUAGAAAAGUUCAGUGAUUGAAGAUGUUUAAGUGAAAAGUUUAAGGACUAUAUUUCACGAAACUACAAGGCUAUUGGUAAGUUUACUCUUUUUUUCUUUUUCAUAAGCUAUUGCUUAAUUGCUGUAAUAUUUACAAGAAAGCAUAUGUUUUCUUGUUACUGAGAAGCCACAAUUGAAAUCAUCCUCUGAAGCAUCUUACAGUUAAAAGAUCAGAAUGGAGGAUCAGUGGAGACAGUGAGGCUUCCACCCCCAAGAUCAGCAGGGAAACUCGGGCCUGAUAAGAAAUCGUCGCCAAAUAUCAUAGCACCUGCAGCCAAUGCUCCAGCGCCGAGGCCCAUAGUAAAGCCUGGUCCGGUGGGCCCAGAGCUUUGGCCUGCAGGUCUACUUGAUGGCAUAUUUAUGUAACUCUCCGGCAACCGAGCCGUUGGUGGGAAAGGAGCUGGGAGGAAGCCGGUAUAUGAGGGCGGCGGUGGCGGCGGUGGAGUCGGAGGCCGGCCGUAUAAGCUCGCAUCUGAUGCCGAUGAUGGACUCGGGCGAUUUAAAGGGUUGGUAUAUGGAUAAUUGCGUUGGCUGAAGCCCCCAUGUUGGCCUAAGGCCGGCGGAUGCGGUUGUGUGGGGUAAGUGUAUACUGGCCCAUCUUCUAUUGCUAGUGUGAUUCCAGUCUUGUGAUCUGAGUAUGUGAAGCCCUCUUGUGGACCUGCAAAUUUGAAUUAGUUAUCUGAAAGAGAAUAACUUAUCUAGAGGCAUGAAUCAUGUUUUAACUACUAAUGUGACAAUUGAGUGAACUGAGUUUGAAACUUAGAGAUUAUAACAGAAAAAUCAGUAUUACUAUUUUUAUGUAUGUUUCUUUGUUAUCUCAGGUAAUCACGCUUGCUCUAAUUUGUAGUUUAGAAAUUUAAACCUGUGUUUGGCAUCGUUUCUUCUUUUAUGUUUUUUCUUCAGUAGAAAUUGGUACUAAAAUUCUGUCUAGUUGCUACAUUUCUGAUCUCUGAUGUUGUUGGUUUCUUUGCAAUGUUGCCAUAGUUCUUUCAGAGAAAGAAGUAACUAUUAUCUCUUGUUUUCCACGCUAAUAACGUAAAGGAAAGCAUUGUAACCUGUUAACAGAUCGGAAAUGAAAUGAUGCAAAACAUGCUCUAAGUUGAUCGAAUUUUACUAGUGGGGCAAGACAUUAUGAGAUUUGAUCACUCUUUUUUCUUCUGCAACGCACUUUUAACAGAAAAAGAAAAGGGAAGGGUGUUUUCAGACUCAUGAUGAGUACCAAACAUCGCUGCUGUUGUUAGUAAACUAUUUGAUUGCGUAACUCUGUCGAAAUUUUCAUAUUGAAUUAACUGAUCUUUGAUAUUUGUUAUUAGGGCUAAAAGUACCAGAAUUGGAGGCAAACCUUCUCUUUCCUCAGAGAUCGAAAUCGAUACAUCAACCAACCCUUUCGGCUUUCCUGAGCUCCUCUUCCUCAACUGGAAACUCCCCGUUUCCUCGACCAGCGAUCUCGAGCCUUCGUCAUCGCGCACAAACUUCGCUAUGAAUUCCUUCAAUGGAACAACUGCAACUCCUUGAAGAUGCUCCCUUAAGAAUAUGGGCUCUCUUCUAUGCACCUCCACAGUUAAUGACAACUCUUUUAGUUUGGGAUCUCCUCCAUCAAUCAACACCGAGAACUUGGUUUUCCAUGUGGGGUUCGGAGAGCCCGACGUGUCGAUUUUGGUGCAGUAUUUGUUGUUGGGAUCGAUCCAGCCGACAGCGAACCAUUGAGGCUUCAAGAGAGAGGAUUUGCGCCGGAGGCCGCGGGCGGAUAUGAUGCAGAUUUCAAUGCAGAUUUUUACCAUAUUUUUUAGUUGUUUUUGAUCAGUUAUUUGGAAUGGAGAAAGAGUUUGCAGUGGGAACAAAAGAAGAGAACUUUUUUGCAUUGUAUGAAGACUCCUUUGCCUCAUAAGGAAGUGAUUCUUUUCCACCUCAGGAUAAAAUGAGAGGAAUAUGUGUAGCUCUUUCUAAGAACAAGAAUCUGAUGCUGAUCUUAAUGGAGCAUUAGAAACAGGAGUUAAAUUAAAGUGUAUUUUUAAAUGAAAAAUGUUUGAGGACAAUUAUUUAUGCCAUAUGUUUGUCACAGCUUAACAUGUGGUUGCGAUUGUAUUGAAUUUGUCUCACUGCAUGUUAUGAGUAGGUGUUGAAAAUAAUAUUUAAAUAAAUGUCAGAUACCAGGAAGAGAAAAAAUUAUGGUGAUAUAGAGGGUUUAUCUAUUAGUUUAAACUUUUUGAGUUGGUUCGAGCUUUUUAUUAGCGAGAACGAUUCAACAUUGUAAAAUUUCUUAAAGCUUGUUUUGGCUAGAACAAUGUAUUUAGUCAUUUUUAUUGCAAUUUAGGAUUAUAAUUUUAAGUAAAGGAAUUUUGAUUUUUUUUUUUCAAAAAAUGAUCUUUUAUAUGUGAAUUAUAUUUGAAAUAAGUAAUUUAUUUCAGAGUUGGAAAAAGAUCAUUUUUGGGACAAAAAGUAAGUAAAAGUACAAGGACGAAAUUGCAAUAUCGCCAUAGUACAGGGACUAUUCAUACAUAGCUACCGAGAAAAUUUAAUUUCUCGUGUGCUAGGGUUUUCGCACUCUUUGAUCCUCAAAAGCGACCCCCUUUCCCCCUCAAAUUCUCGCUUUAGAGGUUGUGGGAGAGCGAUCUCAGCGAUCGAUUCGACGAGGGAGAUGCGUUUCUCCUCGCAAAUUCCCCUUUUCCGAUCCAUUUCUCGCAUUUCAAUUGCAGGAAUUGGGUCUUUUGCUAGGUUUCGAUCCCAAAAUCGCUUCUUCAUCGGUUGCUUCAGAGAAAGGAGCUCUUUGGGAUCUCAAAAUCGUAAUGGGUCUCGCACUUGUUCCCUUUCUCGGGUAAUUAAUUCUCUUCAGUUUCUUUCUUUUUUUCAUUAUUUGAUGGUAAAAUUAUUGGUUAUGAUUUUGAUUAAAGUAAGAAAAAAACUAAUUUUUUGUGCCCAAGGUGACAUUUUGGAUUCAGUAAUACUUGUGUUCCAUUGGGUAAUGUUCUCCACAAGCGCCAAUUUGAUGUAUCAACGAUUUAGAAGGAAAAAAAAAAAAGGCAAAUUCCAAUUUAGUAUUUCAUUCAUUACUUAUGUUUUACUUAUAAUCACCCAGGAAUUCGCUAGAACCCACUAUUUUACUAAGCGAAGCAACUCGGUUUUAGGAUAGUUUGGAUUAAUUGGCUAUUGAGAAUCCAGCACUGAUACUCUUUUGUAUUAUUUCAAUCAAAGCUUACAUUCACGGCAUAAUUCUUCGUGUUUGAAACUCGACAUUUCCUGUCGAGGUUCGACUUUUUGAGCUAAAAAUCGAUAGCAAAUCCGAGAUUCUAACACGCCAAAUUGACUUCUUGUGAAUCUGAUUGCCAUCUGACACCUGCUGGUUGUAAAUCUGUCCUGCUUUUGAGCAACUGAGUGUGUAAAUCUAUUUUGAUUCAUGCAUAGAUGUUAUGUCUUUUCACUUUCUCUUCAUACCUGCAGAGAAGUAUCAUGUGUGCCGACCUUGUUGAUAAUGGUCUUUUACCGUUCGCUGCAGCUGCGCAUGAUAUUUUCAAUAUGCGCACCAAUCGGCGAUCGAUGGUGACAUGGGAUUCUGAUGAUGAUGGAGAGAUUACUAACAAUUUUGAUCUUUUCUAUUCUACUUCAAAAGGUAAGAACAUUUCGGACAAAGAUAUAUGUAGUGCUUAUAUCGAGAUGCUCUGUAGCUCUGGUAAUCUAGCAGAAGCUGUUUCUUUGCUGAGACAUUUGCAAAAUAGACAGACCCAUGUCAGUCUUAAUGUUUAUAACAUCCUUCUUAGCUUGGCAGCUGAGGCCAACAAUUUCAGUUUGUUCUCCAAGAUAUUCAAGUAUUUGCUAACUUCGAAAGUGCCCCCUGAUUUUACUUCUUACUGCAAUGUUGCAAAGGCUUUUCAGAAGGUUGAUGACUCGGAACUACUGCUCAAAUUUAUCAGGGAUGUAUCGGAAAUAACUUGUGAUAGAGAACCUACUGUCGUGAACAGGAUCGUGUUUGCGGUUGGUGAUUCUGGACAAAUUGACAAAAGCUUGAUGAUAUUCGAAGAGCUGAAGAAGAUUCAAUUUGACGUCAAUGUGGUCACAUUCAACACAGUUUUGGGAAUAUUGGGAAGAUCAGGUCAGGUGGAUCGAAUGCUUUCUGAGUUCACGCAAAUGAAAGAUUUGGGUUAUUCUCCCGAUUUAGUUACAUACAAUACGGUUAUUAAUUGCCUACGCAGAAUGGGGAAGUUUGGUCUCUGCAAAGAUUUUGCAAGAGAGAUGUUUGAGAAAGGUAUCAAUAUGGAUCUAAGGACUUAUACUGCAGUAAUUGAUGGUCUUGGACGGGCCGGCCAUGUUGAAGAGGCGCUCAAUAUGUUUUCGGAGAUGAAAAAGUCUCAACAGCCUUCAAUAUAUAUCUACCGUGCUCUAAUUAGCGACUUAAAACGGGCUGGGAAGUUCGAACUGGCAUUGAAUUUGUCCGAGGAGAUGAACUCAACAAGUUCGAAACUUAUCGGUCCUAAAGAUUUCAAGCCAAAACAAAAGGUCAAAAUGAGUUGAGAGGCAAGGUGAUUGAGGAGCUUCUUACGAAUCCAGGUUUACAUUUCAUCCCCUUUCACUCUGAGCUUAGUCAGAAAGAUCUUGAGGAGAAAGUUGCCUCUUGAUAGGAUCUAUGGAAAGGAGCAUAGCUCAGAUGAUAUUUAUCAGUUCUCGAUAGAUCGAUGCCAUGUUACAUAAAAUACACAUAGAAGAUUAAAGAAGGUUUUGUUUCUUCGAGGCGAAAAUGUCAUACACUAUCACAUGGAAAGUGACUUGAUUUACUGGAAAGGCUUGAAGCCGCUUGGUCUUUAAUGUGUGGUGACAUGAAUUUUGGAACUAAGUUUGAUGUUUCUAAUUGCCAAGUACAAAACUGUAGCAUGGGGAGUUAUGCAGCUGUUCCUGCUGUGGAACAUCUUUCUCAACUUCGCUACUACUCGCUCGGAUUCUGGAAAUUGUUCGGGCCUGAAGAUUACCAUCGAAAGUUUCCUUCUUAGUCUAGCUCUUCUUAAUUCGGCGGUAUUUCACUAAGAUUACCAUCGAAAGUUUCCUUCUUAGUCUAGCUCUUCUUAAUUCGGCGGUAUUUCACUUAGCAAUGCAUCGCAAUUCGGCAUGAAAGGUCCGAGAACUGCUUUACAGAGUGGAUUUUAUCUUGAUAUAGUGUAGUCACCAAGUAGGUAACCUAUACAUAUUGCAGUAGCCAAUAUUUUUUUAUUUUCAAUUGUUAUAUAUUUGAGAAAUUUUUUUUUUACAGCUCCAAAGUGGGAUUGUAGGAUGCCAUUUUUUUUUGCUGUUCAUUGCAUCUUUUGCAUGAAACAACAUUCGAAAGCACCUCUGAGAUUUCAAUUUCGAUUGUUGUAUUAUUUAAGGGUGGAAAUAAAUGCAAUUUGGAUGUUUAACAAAAUUCAUUGAACAAAUUCUGUGUGGGCACAAACUAUGUUAACUUAUACCACUACUGUUAACAAUUCCAUAUGUUGCUAAACAAAAAGGAAUAACAAAGUUCCUCUUAUUUCAAAUCUCACAAAUUAGGAUCAAACUAAAUCAGCUCAAACGGGAGAAUUAUCUAUUUGAGACUGAUAUAUCUUCUUAAGAAGGUAAGUUAAUGCAGCCCAAUAUAGUGCAGAAAGAGACUCAUACAGUUGAUUAAUGAGAUAAAAUACAGGACAUUAUUUACAUUAUUCUGGUUCCUGUUAUGUACUCAUCAGAGCAUGCGACUCGCAAAAAUAGAACUUAAAAACACUGGUGAGAAAGAAGGAAAGAAACAUUCUAAUACAAACACAGAGGAAUGGCGACAUAUAGGAUGAGCGAGCGAGCGAGCGAGCUAGCUCAUCUCUCUUAAGUCUAUAUACACUAAUCAGUAAUCGACAUACGAGCAUAACAUCCAAAUCGAACAUCAUCUUAAUGUGGAAAAAAGUCUCCAGCUCUGCAUAUGCAUCAGCUCCUCUGUGAUUACAUUCAUCAGAGGUGCCAUUAUACACGCUCAACCAAGUAUAUGAGAAGCCACUUGGUUGCGCAGGUAUUAAAGCAGUAUACCUCAAUAUAUAGAGGUUGCUAUCUAGAUUCUAAACCAUACUAGGCGAUAUCUCAAAGCACGAAUUCGUCUUCCUAUACAAAACAAUACCUGCACAUAGCAGAGAAAUAUACAAAAUUUGUCAGGAAAAAUAGAAAUGCCAAGGUUCGAUUUUCUUUGAUCAGAAUUAAGUAGCAUACGAUUCUAUCAUAAAUUUUGUUCUUAAUAAUUUUAUGAAGUGGUGGUUAGCUGGAAAGAAUCAAUAGCAAAAUUUGAACCAGUAGAGUAUACACCUACCAGCUCAAUGAUGAAGUCCUUCAGAAAAGCAUGGACAGGUACAGAGUGAUCCAUCCAGUCAUUGAGAUGAUCGCACAAAGAUGUACCCAAAACAAAAUAGCUGCUGACUCCUUUCCACACCCUCGUAGAUUCGCAAUCACACCUGAGAGUAGUAGUUAGAUAAAGGUUAGCUAUUUUAAACAAUCGUAUACCCAUUUAGAAAAAAUGUGCCUGCACAAUGGCCUCGGUCAUGAUGUUUCUCUAUCACCUUUGAAGAUAAAGCUAAAAAAAAUUACAGAAAAAAAAAAUCCUUAAAAAAGUUAUGUACUUUUAUACGGCGUAUGGCCGUAUCAUGUUACUUUACCAGAAAGCACAGAAGUGGGCAUUGCGUACUGGAGGAGGAGGAUGAAUCUGAACAUUUUGUCACCCUCUGGGUAGAAGCCAAGUUUAUCACCUAAGAAGUAAAUUCCAAGCCCUACUGGAGGAACCAAGACCAACCGUGCAAAUAUAAUAGCUACAAUAGUUCGGAACCCAAGUCUUUUGCUUCCUGGACCUGGACCUGAAAAUGAAAAAAAUAUUGUUUCAUUAAUUUUUUUGUCUGUAACUCAUGCAGAUCAUGCUUAUAUAAUGAAAAAGAAAAAAAAAAACUUUUUUAAUUUUUUUUUUCCUUUACCCUAUUUUUUUUUCUCAUGGCAAUAUGCUCUCUCUUUAUUCUUCUGAUGCUAUUUGGAUUGAUGUCUGAACAUAUAACUAAUGCCAGCUACCAACUCAUUCUUAUUAAGUUUCAUGUUCAAAUUUAACGGUCAUCUUAAAAAUUUGGAAUUAAAUGUACACUAAGAAUAAAAUUGCAAGGAUGGCGUUGCACCAAUUAAAGUGGCAUCGAUAAUACUUCCCCAAUUUCUUACCACUCAUAAGUAGAUGGAUAAUUUUUGCUAGAUAAGUUGAAAAGUGACAAUAAAAAAAAGGUAAUCAGCCACGAACACAAAAAUAUAGUUGGAAAAAAGAUCUUACCUUCAACAAGGUUACCUCCCAAGGCGAGCAAAAUACAUGGAAUCAUGGCCUCUCUGUGAACAGGAUAAUAGUACUUGUUAUUGAUGGUAGAAGAAAAAAAGAAGUGCACCAUUAUAAUUCAACCAGAUAAAAUGCUUCAAAAAUAAUAAAAGAAAAAGAACACAAGAAGACAAAAAUAUACCCGAGAAUAAGGCAGCUAUCUGUGAAAAAGAACAAUGGAGCAUCAUCCGUGAGGAUAAAAUUCUUUAAGAAUGGAACACAACCAAUAAAAAUUGCUAAAAUCUGUUGCAAGCAUACAAAGAAUUAGUUAUGAAGUUUAUUGCACCAAUCAAAUGAAAGGUUUUUGUCUUUUGUCUUAAAUCAUCCAAUGAGCGACUUCAGGAGAAAAACACUUACAGCAGCAGUAAUUGGGGGCUGGAAAAUCUGCUUAAGUUUUAGUUUCUGAACAAGAAGAUGUAGCUGGUCCAUAAUCUGAAUCAAGAAAGAAAAUCAUUAGGUUUCUGUUUAAAUCAUCCAAUCUAAAAUCAAAAGCAACAAAUACAUGCAACAAUCAUCGUUGUGAUCCUAGUUUGUUCCCCACAAUAAAAUCAACAACAAUAACUGAAGUAAACAAUCUGAUUCAAUGCCAUUUCUACAGUAGUCACAAUCAAGAUUCUGUGUUACUUUUGUUUGAGUGGAGGUGAUACAAUCUUAAUUUCCAACAACUGCUGCAUAUACAGAAACCUAUCUUAAAUGAAGUCAGAGCCAAUAUGCAGAUUAGAAACCAUCAAUAUCAGAAUUGUAGUUUUCAAAAGAGAUCCACUUUAAAAAUUAUUUAGAAUAUGUAACAAGAAAGGAAACCCUCAGAUUUUUGAAGGUGAGAUCUUUUCUUCCAAAGCAUGAAGGUAGGGGCGCGCAUCAGUAGGUUUAGUUCGGGUUGAAGGAUUUUUUGGGUAAACCAAACUGAAUCAAAGUUUCGGGGAUGAUUCAAACAGAGCUGCACAAAAAUAAUUCAGUUUGAUUCAGUUGCUUUAUUUGGUUUGAUUAUGAAACUUUUCUCAGGCUAAUAUAUAUUAAACUAUUAGAUGACAGGUAUAAGUAUGGUGGUUGUUGUCCUUUUAAUCUUCGAUCUGAAGUGGUGGUUGAGCACCCCAAUUGUUUCAUCAUCAGUGAAUGCUACUUUGUGUCACACAUUCAAACUACUAUAAAUUUGAUUAAUAUGGUAGAUUCAGAUUAUUCAGCUUUCAGUUUCAAACCAAAAACCUCACUGAAUUACUAAUAAAACGAAUAGAAUCAACUGAAAUCACUUGGUUCCGUCUUAGUUCAUUUGGUUUGGACCAAAAAAAGCACCCCCCCUACGUUAUGUAAUAACAUAUCACAAAAAGAUUUCUUACUUUUACUCUUUUCGAAGACAACGGACCAAUUUUCUGGGCCUCCUCAAGAGCUAGCAGGGGCACUUGCUCGGGCACUUGCUCGGGCACAGUAGUGCUGAUUGGGAGCUUAGUUGGAAGUUUAUCAUGCUCAGGCACUAAACUGUCAACAAAAGUCCUCGUUGGUAGUUUCGCCUCGUCGGUGCUAUCAAAUGUUUCUCCUGGUGGCGGCGCUAGCAUCUGAAACACAUAUGUGUAUAGAAUAAUUGCGCCAACCUGCCAUAAACAAAAUUUUGGUUAUGAACAGACUGCUACAUAAAAUAGGAAAGUUCCAUUUUAGUCACCAUAAUCUACGCACCAGACCGAGUUACACACUAGCAUCAACAAGGAAAGAGAGGGCAUGGGAGGGGGGUAAAAAAGAAGCAGAAAAAAUCAGUGGUACAUUCUACAGCAAAAAAAAAUUAACGGUAAAUAUUAUGUCCUUGCGAUGUAUAAUCAGAACAAGUGUUAUAAUGAGAGGGAACUCUUUUCUUUUUCUAUUUUAAUUCUAACCUCAGUCAAGAGUGUUACAGAAACCAUUUCAUGCUCUCCGAAAUAUAAAAUAUAUUAACAAGGAACAGCAAAGUUGCAGUGAUCUGCCAAACUAUUUAACAAGAGCAUAGUGUUGAGGUUGCAAAUUAAGGACCAAGGUGAACCAUACUAUAGAUCUCAUUUGGCUUGACAACUAAAACUGAGAAAAUAGUCAGAACUAAUGAUCUGGCGUAAUUAUUUUAUUAUUAGUUUCAACAAGUUUAUUUCUUUCUGUUCAACUGUGCAGUAAAAAUUUCGACAACAUCACACGCACAAACUACAAGCAAACACUCAUGCCUGGAGAGGUAUUUGACUUCAUAUAAAUGACGGCCGGAAAAACAAUACAUCCAAUCCUUACGAAGAAACAGUGCCAAGACAUACCCAUUGACCAAAUGAGAUAUAUGCAUUUCCCUGUUGACUGCACAUAGCAGUGUCACCAAAGGGAUUGGAUUGGUCACGACAUAGUGCUGCUAUAAGGACGAGAGGUACAUUCCCAGUGUUCCCUGCAUUCAAUAUUAAACAACUCAGAUUUUUAUCAAAUGCAUGCAAUCAGGGUCGUAAAACCGAAAUUUAAACACAUUAGCCACUUCUAACUAUUGAACUUGCUAUGUUAGUUACUACUACUAGAAUUGUAGGUAUUUAAGCAGAAAAGAAACAAUUAUCAACUUUCUGGUAAUAGUAGUACCCAAAUAAAAAGAAAUUAGGUUUUCAGUGGAGAGAGAGAGAGAGAGAGAGAGAGAGAGAGAGAGAGAGAGGAAACCACUCUCUUUUCGGCCUCCUCAAAAAGAAGAUAACUUACCAAUUCCUAUAUGGAUAAUGGUGAACUUGAAAUAGGGAUAAGGGGGUCGGAUAAUGGAUGCCACUAUAAGACCAAUCAAGGAGCCAGAUAUUGUAGCCAUAAUGACAUUGACUGGAAGAAACCACCUACAAACAUAAAGUUUCAGAUACAUGGGAAGAAAAUUAUUAAGGACAAGCAUCUAGACUGAAAAAGGAUCAUCCCACAGAGCCAGCAUAUAGAUCAGAACAUAUGAAGAUUAAGGAAGAACAAAUAGCUUCUUAAGACAUCAUUUAUGAUAUGGGCAUUGCAAAAUUCAACAUACAUCAGGUCACACCGUUGUACAAUUUUGGCAGGAAUAAGAUAAAGUAUAGCCUGAACAACAGUGUACACAUACAUGUAGAUGAAAAUUAACAAGAGAAUUCAGCAUACCAAAAAAAAAAAAAGAAGAAGUCAUAUGAAAUGCUUUAAACUCAAAACUAUGUAUGCAUGAAUCAAACUUGACUGUUAAACGAUAACUCGUGAAUUUGAAUCAUCAAUAAAAGGGUACAAACAUACUUGAUUGAUAAGUAUACACAACCAUAAAUAAACUAAGAUAUAGGCUAGAUCACAAAUUAGAUAGCUUAAUAUCUGCUCACUCUAGAAGAAUAUUUGAGGGGAAAAGCUAAGAGUCAUUCUUACCACCGCAACAAGUUUUGCAGAGUAACUGCUCUUCCAAGAUCAGAAAAUAUAAGACAAGGGAGAAGAAGAGAAAAGACAAGCUGCAAAAUUAUUAACAAAGAGUUUAGAAGCAGCCUGAGUGGGUGAUUAACAAAAAGUAUAAUGGAAGAAUGCAACACAUAAAUACUAUUACUUAUUUUCAAAUUAUCUACAAUCUAAUAAGCAUAAACUAUGGAACGACGGGACCAUAAUUGUAAAACUCUUCUUAACUGUUGAAAUCAAAACCACCAUGUUCCCAGGCGUCUCAGUUGCUCGCUUUCUUAUCCAUAUUAAGCAUGAUUUGUGACUGUGGCUGAAAAACAUUAUGAAAAAAGCACUAGUUCUGUUUAUGCUUGAUACCACUUCUUCAUAACAAACGAGUACUGCCCACAUAGAGAUGCAAACAAAGUACAAGCAUCACAAGUGAUCUGGAGACACUAGAAUCAUGCAUUCCAGGUGCUUUUGCUCCCAAAUAUAAACAUCUAGUCAAUCUAGAUCUGUGGCCCCAAUGCGUCCGCCAGAUUAGCACGAAAAGUUUGGGUAAAAAAGGGUUAAUUAUCAAAAGGGUUAAUUAUCACCAUCAGUAUCUAGCACAGUUAACUAAGAGUUUGAUGAUUGGUACUCGAGGUCACAAAUUCGAAGCCUAAUUGUUUCACAUCUUUAACUGAGUUCAUUUCUAGAAAAUGAACGAAGCGGGUAGCUUGCUAUCUUUCUCUCCAAAAAAAAAUUAAAGAUUAAUUAUCAGUAGCACAUAACUAUCACCCAUAAGCCUUAAUAAAGUAUAAGUCCUACCCCUCUUUGAGUCUUUUCCCUGCUGCCUAAAUAAGUCUACCUCCCUGCCCUCUUCGGAUUUGCAACUAAGGGCAUGCUUGUUUCGUCGAAACUGAACUUUGAAUUGAAGUGGACUUUGGGUUGAAGUGAAGCUUGGCGAAAACUACUUUUUUCCCGUUGUUUGUUUCGUAGUUAUGAAAGUGAAGUUUUAUUAGUUCUUCUGUUUAUUUAAUAGGAAGUGUAUAAUGUAAAACUAUAAUUUAUGUAUAAAUAAUAAAUAAUUAAAAAUAAUAUAAUUAUAUUUUUUAUAUAAAUAAAAUUUAAUUUAAAAUAAAUAAAUUAUUUUUUUAUACAUAAAUUAUAGUAAUACGACAAUAAAAUUAUAAAGUAAAAAAAAUAACACUUAAUUAAUCAAUUUUUAUCAUAUUUUAAAUAUGUCAACUGAAUAAAAGAGUAAUUAGUACCAUAAUUAAAUAUAUUUAUAUAUAACUAUCUUUACUUAGUAUAUUAUUUUAUUAUUUUUCCUUCACCUUUUUUCAUCGUAAAUUGACUUCGGCCUACGAUAGGCCGAAGUCAAUUACAUCGUUUGAGGUUGAUUCGAGUUUCGAUCGUAACUUUUUUACGGCAAAUCAAACAACGAAAGUAAUCGUUUAUGACAAAAACGACUUUCUUCCUCUCCACUUCCACCCCACUCCCAUCCAAGCAAAUAUGCCCUGUCUUGCAUAUCAGUGUCGACACAAUUAAGUACAAAAGCUUUGUGAAACCGUAAAAGUUAAAAGGUACCACUACCAUAUUUCCCAUCACGGGUUACAUGCAACAGCCACAAGUUAAAAACUCCUCCUACCCAAAAAAACCAAACUUUACCAAAACCCACGAACAUCUAAAAGCUGAAAACGUACUAAAAAAUUGAAUCAAAAACCAACACACUUUCCCCAACCUUUCUUAAUCCCAUAAUGAUAACAAGGUAAUCUCAAAAGAGGAGAACUCACCCCAUUAAGAAGCUUCCGACCGUUAGCAGGGAGGACGUUAACGUACUUAGACGCCAUGAGAAACCCCAUGAAGCACAUCGUGAACACCUUAGCGAUGGGUAGUAUAGAGUACGUGAGAAUGGACAACAGGGACUCUCCCCCACCUCCCUGGGCCUCCUUCAUCACCUCCCAUAGCGACAUCUUCAUCGCCAUCCUCUUCUCCUAAAUCCCAAUUCCCAAAUCGAGAUAAUCGUAUCUGUAAAGGGAAAUUUGCCUCUAAAUUUUGAUACCAAAAUAAUCAAAUCACUCUGAUUGGUAACAGGUUGCUCAGAAACAGGAAAAAAAGGGACUGUUCAGCAAAAGAAAAAAGAACAGAGAAAAAAAAAAAAGCUGAAAAUGCGGUAGAAAUUGAAAACCCAGAAAAAAUUAUCGCAUCCACGUGGUAUAAUAAUUGAAGAAAAUUACCGAAUCACGUCGCCAUAUGUACCAUAAAUAGCAAAAAAUUAGCUAUGUUACGUGAAAUUACCAACAAAUUCUGAGACAACCCAAUGGAAAUCAUGAUAUUUAUCAAGGUAAAUCAAGUACCUCUCGUUUUCUAGUCAAUAAAUUCGCUCAAACAAAAACACAACGCCCGUAUAAAAAGAUCAUAGCUCUCGAAACUCCCCAAUACCAAAUUCUAAAAACCUCAGCAGGAGGAAAAAAAAAAAAAAAGAGCAAAAAAUAGGUAACAAAUCGUUAGCUGCAACAACGAAAUCUAACCAAAAACCCUAAAUACCCCAAAAUCUCUUCAAACCACGGAACUAAGAGCUACAACUCACCGAAAUCGACGGAUCCCUUCAAUCGGAACCAAAUCCGCGCGGAGCAAACCACCUCCGAGCUCCAAUCGAGCUCUUUUCUCCCUCGAUUUCACAAUCUCCCCCAAUAAUCUCCAAUGACGAGUAAGAGGAUGCUACAAUGCGAGAGCUUUUGCGCGACUCGUGAGAGGAUUCGCUCGCUUCGGGGAAGUUCCCGUUACUGGCUUCGUAUAUAUAUAUAUAUAUAUAUAUAUAUAUAAAAUAAAAAGAGAGAGCCUUUGUAAACUCUAGAGGCGUCGAGAUAUAACAUGAACCCGCGCGUAAAAGUUACGCUGUAGCCCCUGUACUGUCCCAAAAUUUCAAUGCACUCCUCUGCGUGCAAUCAACGUUGGUAAAACAAUGUAUAGGUAGCCCCUCAGUUAUAUUCUAUUUUGAUACAGGCCCUAUGUCGUCAAAUACUUAAUGGUAAUUUCAGUAAAUUUAAUUAUUUUAAUUCUUUUAGUGAAUAAAAUUUGAUUAAUUAGUAAAAAAUUCCAAAUAAAAUAAAAUUGGAAGUUGAGGGAGUCUCAAUCCCACAAAAUAUAAGUUGCAUAUAUGUCUACAUAGUGUAAACUGUUUAAUCUUUAAAUUUUUUAAAAUUGAAGGGACCAAAGUGCAGUAUAUGGAAGUCCAAGGGACAUAAUUGCAACGAGCGGAUUGGAGUUGGAGAUAAUUACGAUUAUGCCAUUGAGCUGACGUGGGCCACGUGGCCCCGACGGGUAUCGUACGAAGCGCAGUGUGGGGACCGCUAACGCGGCGCUUCGUGNAAGAAUAUAUAGAUUUCUUACUCUUUUUUUUUUUUUUUUUUUUUUUUUUUUUUUGGGAGUUUUACGCGGGGAAGGAGCGACGCAACGCCCGAUCCCACCGUCAAAUUUCGUGCGAGCUUUUUGCGUCCGUAUGAUUUGGCCUUUGUUAUUCUCACCCCCCCCUUUUUUUUCGGAGAGUACGGCUUUUGGAUUUUUAAUUAGCUUUAAAGGACGAAAAGGUUAUAUAAUCAUAUCAAAAUAUUUUAUCGAAAUAAAUAUCUGUUUAAUUUAAUUUAGUGGAUAUUUUAUUCCACAUCUAUAUAUUUACCGAUCGAAAAUUAUUAUCCAAAAAUUAAUUUUAAUUUUAUAAUUUUUUUAUAAAUUAUUGUGAAUAUCAGAUAAUUCAUAAUACCUGAUAAGUACAAGAUAUUUGCCCAUAUGUAUGGUUGCUAAAAUCUUCUUAUAAAUUUUUAUUUUUUUAUUUUUUCUUCCUAACUUUCAAAAAUCUAUAUUUUACCCAUCAAUAUUUCAAGUUGUUGCAUUUAGCCUUCCACCAUCAGGAUUUUAUCACUAUUCCGUCAAUUUUUUAUAAUUUAUACCGAAAAUAUUCUUCAAAAUAAUAGAAAUAUAUUAAAAAACUAUUUUUUCUUAUAAAAAAAGUAAGGGUAAUUUAGUCAUUUUGCCUCUACAUUAACAUCGUACCUUCGUGAAAAUAUUUUUAAAAUUUUUAGAGGACAAAAUAUAUAUUUGUGAAAGUCAGAGAGGGAAAGUAAAAAGACGGAUAUUUAUAAGGAUGUUUUCUUUAAUUUUACUAAAAAAAAAUUGUAUAUAACAAUAUUUUUAAAUGUCGGUAUAUGUCAAAAAAAGUAUUGAUGGUUAAAUUAGCAACAUUUUUUGAAAAUAUUGCUUUAUGUGGGGUCGUUAUAAGUAGGGCCGCCUUGAUAUUUGGCACCCACUCCUCCAGCGACCUGUGCCGGAGGGAUACGCGGCGAUCAUAGUCCUCUACGGUACCUGCGAUAUCCUCAUGGCCCAACUCCAACCGCAGGAACCCUGCCUUAUUGGUUGCGGCGGCGGAGGAGGAGAAUGGGAGAUAGUGAUCAAAUUUUCUUUCUUUUUUUAUUUGUAAUCGGACCGAAUGGGUUAGAUGUGGUUAGUUGAAUAGAGGAACUUUUUAAUUUUUAUUGGAUUAGGUUUUAUAUUUAAACUUUAGUAGAUUUUUUAAAAAACAAUUUGGCAUAAAUGAAACACUUAUAUAAAAAUAUUCUAAAAAUGUGUCCCUAUAAUUUAAUUCUGUUGUAGCUNGAUUUUUUAAAAAACAAUUUGGCAUAAAUGAAACACUUAUAUAAAAAUAUUCUAAAAAUGUGUCCCUAUAAUUUAAUUCUGUUGUAGCUAUCAACAUAUAAAAUAUCAAUUUAUGAGUGGCAAAGAGCUCAGGACCAUUUUAAUUGGAUGAAAAUGCCCUAUUAUAAUAAGUACAAAAGACAUUUAAAAAGAAAAAGAAAAAGAAAAAGGAAAAGAAAGAAAAAGACAUUUUGCAUGAAAAUGACUAUAGAUUUUUUUUUCCAAUUUUGCGACUUUAUCAUAUUUUUUUUUUGUUCUUUUUUGUAUUUUACUUUAAUACAUUGUGCAUUAAAUUUGUUCUCUAGUUUGCAAAUUUCUCAUGUCGCGUAUUAGUAAUUAAGUACAUUUCCUAAUAGAGUCCAAAUGUGCGAAAAGAAAAAAGAAAAGAAAAACUUUGUGAAAUGUUAACACAAAAAAAGUUUUCUUUGUACAGCGAUAUUCUUAAUGAAUUUCAUGAUUAAUUUAAUUAAACAUUGCCAUACAACUAAUAAAUAAUAUUUUCCUAUCAUUUUCUUUGCUCAAAUAUUUGUACUAUUGAUUAAUUACAUGUAUAUAGAAUAAAAUUACAUAGAAUUAUCAUCAUAUAAUGAAUUACUGCAUACAAAUAAGAUUUUUCUCCUUAUUUUGAGGCCAAUUUUUAGUUUUCUACUAGCUUUGAAAAGUUAUAAUUAAUAAGUAUUUGACAUCAAAUAUAAAAUAAUUAUUCGGUUGUUUUCGUAAAUAUUUUCGGCCAACAUUAGCAAAUGUUAAGGCACCAUGCUUUGAGAGAAAUUUUCAUUUUCAUUUUCAUUUUCUUUUGAUAGUUGAAUUAUGUUCUUAGCUUGAUUGGCUCGAAUCAUUUUUUGACUAAAUAUGAACAUUUAUUUCAAACUUUAUUAAUAAUUGAUCGCAAAUUUCCGAGGGUAUUAAAUUAUAAAUAGAGAAACAAAAAGUUAAUAUACUAUUUGUCCCUUUUCAAAUUAUAAAGCUACAUUAGUUUUUUAACCCCUUAAAUUCUAAUGCCAAUAUUUACUCUAAAUAGUUUUUUUAAAUGGUUGAAGUUAGAAUUAAAAAAUGAACAAAUGGUUUAAAUUUGUAUGUUAAUCCCUACCUGCUUUGGAAAAAAUAAAUUGUUGCAAUGUUAUGCACUUUUUAUCUUAAUUUCUCUUUUUGUUUUAUAAAACCAAUUUGGGGUGUUUAGAGCCAAAUCUUUUAAGAUAACAGUAUUUUUAAUAUUUAUGUUCAAAAUAACUUUUUGACGGGAUCAAGAGACCUCCUACUCUGAUACCAUAUUAAUUUAUGUGAAACAAUUAUUGUUCUCCAAAAACUCAAGCUAUUGAAGAGCUUUGUUUCUAAUAUUCAUAUUCAAUACUAACUAAUUAAUCAAACAACUUAAUUCAAAUGCAAUUAGAUCACAUCAUUCCUAAUAUGAAUUAAAAAUUAUUGUUGGGUUAAGUUAACAGUAUUGUUGGGUUAAGUUAAUCCUAAACCUACUUUUAUAUAUUAGAAUAAUAAUUAAGCCAAUUAUUAGAUCACAUCAUUCCUAAUUUGACUUUUAUCCUUUCAUGCAUGAAUAAAAUCUGGUUUCUUUAAUUCUUUGAUCUUUGAGCCUAAUUUCAUUGUCAUUUUCAAUUGUUUCGCAUGAUCCUUACAUUUGUUUCCAUAAAUAGGGUUCCAAAAACGACUUAAACUUUGUGCGAGAAUUAUUCUUUUGUAAACUCUUGUUGAUAAAGUAAUUAAUUUCUAUUCCUUAAUAAAUCCUUAAUAAUUCUACCAUAAUGGCUUUGUCAUUAUCUUUAUAUUUAUUGGCUUGAAUAUAUAAUAAAAUACAGCUAUAUGUUCUUUGUCUCUCUCUCUCUCUCUCUCUUUCAAUGUAGACAAGCACAUAUAAAAAAGCCAAAGCGUUAUAAUGGAACAUGAUCGAGAGGUUACACAAAAGUUUCACGUUAAUUUCACACCAUUGGCAUGUCGCAUUCAUAUGAAGUUUCAUGUGAUAUUUCUCAUGUUUAUAGUUAUAUAUAUUCCCCUAUAAUUAUAGAAGAAGCAGUGGCCUUUUCGAUGUAACCUUACAUAGGUACGUGCAUGGUUCUGAGGCCCCCACGUACAUGUGGGUCAUAAAAUGUUACACGUAUAAGAUUCCCAUAUGGAUUAAAAAUUUUCUUAAUUAUCAGGUGAUCAAAUUAGGUUCAACCAGUGCAAGUCAUAUAUGCAAAUGAUUUGAUAAGGAUUAUUAUAAUUGAUUUACUACUUCCCAUAAAGUAAGCUCUUUUUUAAAAACAAUGCACAAUGCAAAAGCAGUUCCAUUGAUAUAUAUAUAUAUGCUAGCUUGAUUAAAAAAAAAAAAUUAUUUAUGGAUAUGAAUGAUGUUGUUCAUAGUGCCUAUUUGAUAUUUCUAAAUAUAUUUAUCAAAACUUUUUAUUAUUUACUUAUAGAAUUUAAGCAAAUUAAUCUAAUAAAUUUGAUUAACUACUAUCGACGCAACAUAUGUUAGUAACAUUUGUCCAAGUAAGAGAUAAAAAGUUCAACUCGAUCUCUGCUAGUGUAUUUAUUAAUUAAUACAACGCUACAAACUUUUUGAGAAAAAAGUUUAAGUGACAGUGCUUAAAAAAGCAUGCACAAGCAUUACUGUUCUCUUUUCGUUGCUUAUUUAGGGCUUAUUUUGGAAGUAUUAUUAUUAUUUUGGUAUGAGCUCGUUUUUCCCGUUUCCCCGUACGUGACUCAUCCGUAAGGAGAAUUUAAUUAAGUUCCCCCACGUAAUUCCCUUGCACUUAAUUUUAGUAUUAUGAUAAUGAUGGGGGGAUUAACUUAACCCAACACAAGUCAAUUACGGAUACCACGAAAUAUAUCUCAAAAUAUAGUUGAUGAUCAAGUUCGACUAUCAAUAUAUGGUUUUGACGCUUACGUGUGUUGUAAAUAUGAAAAGUAUGCAGAUUAACAUAUAAGGUAAGAAAAGGCUGAUUAUACCGACCGUAUCUAACGUAGUUGACUAAGUGCUUGAUAGUUGGUACACGUGAUUUUGAGUUUUGAAACCUAAUAGCUAAGUUCAAUUUUAAGAACCGGCUGAUUAUGAUGAGCAGAUUGAGGGGGUUUGAAGUCGACUUUAAUACCAUAUUACUUGAAAGAUCAAUUAAAUAGUAAACUUUUCAAAUGGAUAUAAUAUGUACUGUUAAGUGUCGAUCUCUUCGGUCGUCGAGACUAUCUAUUGUUGUUACACUAAAACUACGGAGAGUUGAGCUAGUAUACUAUUAGAUCGAAGUAUUCACUAUUCACUUGCUAUCGACAAUUCGUAGCUCUUGCAUUCAUAAUAAUACCACCAUUAAAUAUAUAGUAAAUCCUAUGCAUGCAUUUAACGAUGAAAAGUUGAUAGCAGAUGAAUAGUGGAUACUUGAUAAGUUGAUAUGGAGAAAUGUGCUUUUACUUUUUUUUGUUUAGUAAAACUACAAAUCACAUAUCAACGGUCUUGUCCGACUUACGCGCAGAGGGACAAUUUAAUCUAUGGAAAUAAAUAAAAUAUGUUCGUUUAUACUUCUCUACUACAGGUUAUGUACUUUUUGCAAUUCCAAAAGAAAUCUAACAACGGUUAUAUAUGUGCGUAAACGACUAAUUUUUAUACAAAUAAAAUUGAAUUAUCUACUGCAGUUUAGAGAGCGGAAAAAGGACAUGUUUAAAAGGAAAUAAGAUGGAUAUUUCGAUAGUGAAUAGCGACAAUUAAUUGCGAGUGCUAUGCAGCGUGUACAACUACAUGGCCUAAUUGAGGGGCCACGCAUGCUUUCUAGUACAUGCAUAUCAAUUUAAUACGUAUAUGUGAUAAUAUAUAUUUUGUCUUUAAUCAUAUAUAUAUAUAUAUAUGUGAUAAUAUAUAUUUUGUCUUUAAUUUGAAAAGAAUAGGUAAUUAUACUCACAACUCGCACAAAUUAUUGUUAAUAGAGUAGAUUCAUUAAAUAUAUUUAGCAUAUACAUUUAUUUAAUGAAAAGUUUGUUGGUUGUGUAUGUUUGAUUAGAGAACCAAAUAAACAUAAUGUUAUCGACUGUUCCUAGUGCAGAUGGUAAAGAAACUUAAUAGUUGGUAUUCAAAGUCCCAGAUUCGAAGGCUAGUUCCUGUACAUUUUCAGCUAAAUUUAUUUUCAUAAAAAAUAAACGAAGCGGUAGCAUGCAUAUAUGGUACCAUAUUUCUACUAUUUUCAAAUUAUUUGUCAACUGCUCAGUUACAAUCUAUGACAAUUUAGAGGCGUUGUGAGAAUUAGAUUACACUUUUGGUUCCCAAUCAAAAUAUGAUUCCGAAUAUAUUAAUUAACCUAACCCACUGUUACUAACUAUUUGUUGCAUUCGAGUUAUCAUCGCCCUGAAAUACUUAAACCAAAUUAUAAGCACUAAAACAUUUUAUUUUUAUAUACCGACACAUUCGAAAGUUUCUUUUCUAUUCAAUAUGGAACUAUUGAAUUGUCACAAAUUCCAAUUUCUCCGAGCAAAAUCCCAAAUAUGAAUUGAGAAUACUAUAACCUAUUUCCAUUCAAGAAUUUAUAGUCAAAAUUCAUGUUUCUAAAUAGUUCAUGUCAUUGUCCUAUUAGAAAGUAAAUAGUGCACAUUAUUUUCCUUAAUUGUGAGUCAUUGUCUAAUUAGUUUAUUGACUAUACCUUUCACAUCAUUUUCUUUUAAGCAAAUUCUUAUAGUCCAAACUUAAAUGGAUUAAUUUCUUUCACAACGACCUUAUUAUCUUAAACGAUGUACGAUAAGGUACAGGGGAAAAUUCUAUAUAUGGUUAUGAAUAAUUCAAUAAUUUUCAACAAAAGAAAAAGGUAAAAAAAAAAUAGAACUUUUGAAAAAGGGGGUGAGAUUUUGAAUCCGAUGUUAAAAUAUAUAUAUAGGGUCCGGCUACUGUAUUAUUAUGAGUACGAUCGCCUCCGUACUCAUAAGUUGUUUUCGAUGAUAGAGCUUCCGAAUCGACGAUCCACACCGUUAAACGUUAUUUAUAGCAUUUAAAACUUCUAGAAAUCAAAUUUCAUAAUUUUUCGACAUCAUUUACCUUACGAUCAAUAGGUCGCAAAUUUGACAAUUUUUAACGGCCGGUAUGGGAUACUUGCUAGUUUAACGGUGUAAAAGAAUCAGAAUUUAUUAAAUUUUUGAUAGAAAAUUCUAUUCACUACAUAGAUAAAGAUCAAUUCUAUUCACUACAUGGACUUUAUUAUGAUUUUGAAAAUUUACCUAAAGUUCCUUGCUUGCUUGGUGCUCCUACUUUCAAUUAAUAUUCCACAACAUCAGGAAACAAGAGGUGAUGUGAAGAGUGAUAGAUGUGGAUGGUUGUACUAUAAUGCAAAAUGCCCACACAUAAGUCAAAUUUGGAAGCAAAAUCACCAGUGAGCUCCUAUACGCAACUUUCCUUUCUUGUUAUUGAGAUAUUUAAAAAACUUGUGACUCGUGAGUAGUGUUGAUGUAAGCAUAAUCCAAAUUAUUAUGAUAUCUGAUGGCUAAGUGAUAUAGAUUAUAUAGUGUUAUUAUCUACCUUUGCUACUCCUUCUAAGUCUUUUUUUCUAAUAUUAUUCUACUAUAAUAUUUUAUAAUCAUUCGCGCGAGUUAAACAAAUGGUACCAGAAUAAAUAACAGUUUCAACUUCGGGAGGAUUCUUUUAGGACAACUCAUAUUGAUUUUUCGGUACACGAUAUCUCAGCUCAAAACCUUCCGAUAUAUUUAAAAUUCAAAUUAAAAAAUCUAGCUAAUAGAACUGAAAAAAAAAAAAAAAAAAAAAAGUAAAAGUCUAAUUUUGCACCUCCUCCUAUAUCUUUUCUUUAUAUUAUUCUGCUAUAAUUUUUUAUUUUCUGAGAAAACUAGUAUAAUAUUUUAGUUGUUGAUAAUCAAUCAAGUUGGUUGAUUUGAUUGCACAUGUGUGGGGGGUGUUUUAUACAAAGGGAGCCCAGCAUAAGAUGCAUCCGGGUGUGAAGAGAAAUUAUUAUUUUUAAAAUAUUAUAUUUUUUAGGUUUUUCUCCUCUAUUAUCACAUUGUUAUAUUAUUAUUCUAUAUUAAUGUUUAUGAUGAUUGUGGGUUAGAUAAUGGAUACAGGGACAAAUGCCGAUUUCUAUAAUUAGUAUUGAGUUAAGCUAUAAUACUUUUGAAAGUAUUACUAUUCAGAUACUUCUAACUUUUCAUCAGUAUCAAAGCAAAAAAAUCGCUUCUAACGAGUGUUCUCAGAGCAAAUAUCGCUUCCAACAUAUAAGACCUUGUAAUAAUGAUUUUAUAUAUUGGUUAGUUUAUCCACCCAGCCCGAAGAGAUGUACCCAUUUGGCAACAGUUUAUGUAAUUAGGGGCCACUUUGUUUGGAUGUGUUGGUAAAUAUAUAUGCAGUCUAAAUAGAGAUGUAUGCAGUAGUUAUAACUAUAUAAAUUUUAUUUGGCUGGAUACAGUAGAAAGUUGUGCAACUAUAAAUAAAUUGUUUGAUUGCGUAUAGUCGAGAAUUUGCAUUUUACAAAAAUUUUUAUUACCUUUAUUUUAUUUAAAUAAUUUCGUAAUUAGGUAACUACAAAUUCAGUGUCAGGAUGGCCGAGUGGUCUAAGGCGCCAGACUCAAGUUCUGGUCCUCGUGAGAGGGCGUGGGUUCAAAUCCCACUUCUGACAUUUUUCCAUUUUAUUAUUAAUAAUAAUAAUAUUUUAUUAAUUAUUAAUAUAUUUAUUUUUUACUUACAUGUAAAUGAGGCAUUUAUUUAUAAUUAUUUAAGUUUCGUAUGCUGUAUUACUGUAUAGAACGAUUGCAUUAUGACUGGCAUUUCGGUUUCGAUUUUUAUCUUCGCUUGAAACUAAGUAACACUAUUUGGUUUGGAUUAUCUGGAUUUUAGUUUGGUUCGGUUACGAAAACAACUAGGGUUUGAAUCUGUUUCCAGUUGAAAACAAAUUUUCCUGAACAUGCAACUUAUCCAAUGUUUUUCUACGCGAGAAGGAGAAGGUCAAGAGUUUCCUAAUGAUAUUAAGAAGUAGGGAUAUGCAAGCUUCUGAACCAUAAACAAAUAACAAGCAGAAAUUUCAAUUUAGAGCUUUGGAUUUUAGUUAAAAGCUUAACCCAGAGAGCUCAACUUAAUCAAGCAGGUGCCCAAAAGCUUUGUCUAGAAGCUGCAGCUUUACAAGGCCAAAAGCUCAAGGAAUUGAUAUAUAAAGCCAUAUUUUGAUCACACCAAUGCACUAUCAAAGUUGCAUAUUAAUCAGCUAAUAACAGAACAGAGUUACAGUUAUUUUCAGUUUCUGUUACAAGAGGGCGAAAUCCCCCGACAAAAAUAAAACAUCGAGUCGCAGGUUUGGUAACCGGUGACUUGGAUUGUUUACUUGUGCUCGUAACCACGAGCAAUUCGUCUUUACCAAAAAAAAUAAUAGUGCUUUUAUUUAAUGCUCCUGCCUCUUUAACUCUCAGGGGCAGGACAUAAAACUGUCUCAGCUCAAGAAAACAUUAGUCUAGCAGUGGGGAAAACAAAAAAAAAAAGAAGACUACUGCUGAGUGUCGACUACUUCGAUGAGGGUCGUCUCGUAGUCGCUGGGGGCCUCAAAGCCAUGGAGAUUCAUGACGGUCGCAGCAACAUUAGCGAGGCCGCCCGUGGGUACGUCAUUGCGGAAUCUGACUCCAGGGUGGAGGCCUGGACCUCCUAUGGCAACUGGCACCUGCAGGAAAUUUAUAGAUAGGCAAUCAACAAAUUGUACAUAAGAAACUAUUUUUAUAGAACGUAGAUCACAAAAAAAGAAGAAAUAUUUAAGUUUACAUACCAAGACAUGUUAACGAUAAAAUGGAAUGCACAAGACCACCAAUAGAUAAUGCGAAGAACAUGACAUUGGAGGACUGUACACUUUGCAUGGCAGUUCAAAGGCCAUUUUGAAAUAUAAGAGAGAAAAGUAGUCGAAAAAUGUACUGAGACUUCCUCAACUAUAGGCCAAAUGAAAACGUGCUAACAAUAAAAUGUAAGUGCACAACACCGAGAGAUAAUGCAAAGGACAUGACAUUGUAUAGCAGUCCACAGGCCAUUUUGAAACAUAAAGAGUGAAAGAGAGUUUGAAAAUGUACUGACUACUGAGGCUUCCUCACUAUAGGCCAAAUGAAGGAUGAAUAACAGGCAGGUUUCUUAUUGCACGAGUGUUAAGACGAUUGUACUACCUAGUAAUAAGGUAGUUUUAUUGUGUAAAUAAAACUUUACAGUAAACUUACCGGUUGAAGAGUAUGCGAAGUAAGAAUUUGAAUGUUCCCACUUUUGUCUAGGAGAGGUUGGCCAGAUUUGUUCCGUUUAACCAUGUCCUCGGCAUUUCCAUGAUCUGCUGUGACAAGAUAUAUCCCACCAACUUGCUCUACGGCAUCCAGAAUCAUCUGCAAAACAUAUCACAUAUUGCUCACAUAACUUCAUGAAUGCACAAUAUAACUAGCUUUCUGAACUUUUAGAGCCUCUGUAAUUUGAACUCAGUACUUACCUAGUAAAAGUGAUGAACUACAAAUUAAGGAGCAACUAAAAUUAGGACAUGAAACUAGGUUCGCACCUUAACAGCAUCAUCGGCAGCCUUACAAGCCACAACAGUAGCGUCAAUAUCACCAGUAUGCCCCACCAUAUCUCCAUUAGGUAGGUUAACGCGAACCUAUAAAAAUAUUUUAGCAGUUAAUUGACUUUACACAUUAAUAGGAAGUUCAAAACAUCUAUCCUGCCAAAAGUAUAUUUCUCUACCUGGUCAUACUUGCCACUGAGGAUGGCAUCCCUAGCCUUCUCGGCGAUUUCCAAGGCCUUCAUCUUGGGUUUGACAUUGAACGUAAUUCCACUGUCGCUAGGAAUUUCAACAUACUCUUCCUUAGUCGCAUCAAAGUACCCGGACCGGUUUCCAUUCCAGAAGAAGGUGACAUGGCCAAAUUUGACAGUUUCACUGUUUCGAAAAUGUUAGGACAUUAAUGAGAACCAAUAAAACUAGCAAACAGAUAAGAUUUCUUUUCUUUUUUCCUUUUUUUUUGAGACAAAUACUAGGAAAUGAUAAAUAAGAUCUCAUAUCAAAGACAAUUCACAAAUAAACUAUAGAAUAUAGAACUAAAAUACAUGUUCAAAACUGCACCAUGCGAAGAUAAAAGUUCCUCCGCUUCAUCAAAAAAGUUCUAGAGGAACAUGUCUCAUCUCUGUGAAAUCUCCAAAGGCAAAGACUCAAUAGCAAAUAGUAAGCUAAAAAAUAAUAAAAUAGCAAAUAGUAAGCGUAUAAUAAGUAAUAAAAUACAAAACGUCAGAAACCAAUAAACUUUCCCAUGAAUAACUACACAGCAUUUCUAAUUUGGCUUUCUUUUUGUUCUUGCUUCCUUUUUGUUCUCAAACAAAACCUAUAAGUAGGGAGUUUGCAAACAAUUCAACAAUAGCAAAAUUAAAGGAAAUAUCCCCUAGGUGCCUUACAGAACUUGAGGUAAAACGGAAACAACACACGGUAACAAAGCGUAAGCGAUCACUAAUUUUAUGAUAAUUAAUACUUGCCUGCAAGCAAAAGUGCGGAUACCAUUGUGCACCAAGUAUUCACCAGAUGUCCUCUCUAUCUCUGGAGGGGAGACAAGAUAGCGGUUUGGGAGCUUCAGCUCACCAUCAUACUGAAGCAUUCCAGCAUACCGAAUCUUCGGGAAGCGAACACGAUCGAAUUUGUCGAAAUCUUCAUAUUCCAAUGCUUUGGCGAUCAUGACCAUCCGAUCAGCUCUGAAGUUGAAUGUCACAACUGCAUCACCAUCAACUAUGGGUCCCACAGCAUUGCCACUCUCGUCAACUAUAACGAAUGGGGGCAGAUAUUGAUCACUGGCUUUGGGUUCCGCCCUGAGCUUUUUCACGGCUUCAACCGCACUCUGGAAUUUGUAAGGUGCUUCACCAAGGACCUGAGCAUCCCAACCACGUUUCACAACACCCCAAUCAUUCUGCAAAAUACAAAAAUGAGCUGUUCAAUGCACAAGAUACAUGAGGAAUUAAUUCAACAGCGAGGUGGCUGAAUUUUAACAGAUGAAUGAUUCUGUAUAAUAAAAAACAGUAAAUGUGCAAGACAUUAUACCUCAUAGCGAUCCAUGGUGACAUACAUCCGACCACCACCAGAAGCAAUUCGUGCAUCAACACCUUUCUCACGUAGCGCCACAAGAUCCUUCUCUAGGGUCUCUACAAAGCCAACGCUUGAUCCAUCCAACACAUCACGGCCAUCAGUAAGAAUAUGGACACGGAUUCUUUUGGCGCCCUUCUCACUUGCACCUUUCAGAAGCAACUACAAACAAGACAACUAACAUACAUCAGACAAAAUGCAAAUAGUGCAUCUUAUUGACCUUAUUUUUGAAGGAGAAAUGAUCAAUCAUACCUGGAGUUGGUCAAGCCGAGAGUGGACACCUCCAUCACUCAAUAACCCAAUCAGAUGCAAAGUGCCUUGGUCAAAACAUUCCUUAAUGUACUUAAAGCCUUCUCCCUCGUAUAUUUUUCCAGAAGCAAGUGCAAGAUCCACCAGCUUAGCCCUACAAUAAGAAAAAGGAAAUGUAAUUUCGGCAGAUCAUAACAUCAAACAAGAACAUACAUAAACUCGGAAUUUUCCAACUCAAAAGGAAAUUUAAUUUCAGAUGAUCAUAACAUCAAACAGGAAUAUACAAUAUCCCAGAAAUUUCCAACUCAAAAAAAAGCAAGACCCAAUGACUGAACAACUGAAGUAAAAUAUUUUCAUACAACAAAACAAAAAUAUGCAACAAAAAUGAUCAGUUAAGUAGUGAAUUCUAUCUACAAGGAUAACUUUCACAGGGUUAGCACUUUACCCUUGAGCAAAAAUUCGUCCGGCACCAAGUGCGUUGUGACCUACUUCACUGUUACCCAUGUCAUCCUCACUGGGAAGGCCGACUGCUCCUCCAUGAGCCUUUACUAGCCUCCACUUCUCCGGUGCACCCUUUAUGAAAGAAAAUAAAGAGGUACAGCUAAUUAGAUUCUUCAUGGGAUAAAUCCUUCGAACCUCUGACAAAAAGAGAAACCGAAAAGCAAGGGAAAACACUCAUCCAACACCUCAAUCAGUAAUGGCUAAAUAGCAUAUCAUAUAUUCAGAAACAUCUAAAUUAUUAGUGAAUUCAGCUGCUGAAAUAAACAGCACAGUUCUGAAAUUGCACAAAUUGAAUACCGGAUUAAGUAAUAGGCGACAACCUAGCACCUCUCGGGGAUACAGUAAGAUAGAGAAGCACAAAGAAAAAUGCCCAAAGAUUCCUAGCAGAAGUUUCUUAUAACAAAACACAAGCAUAAAUCAUGCCAUACUAGAAGUUAUAUGAGAUUGCCGACCUAAGAUUACCAAAAUCAUCAAAUAGCAUCUAAAUUCGAGAGAUUUAAAUCAUCUAAUCUCUAACACCAGUUGCAUGCAAAAAUUAACAAUAUAUCGCCAUAGCGAUCAAGCCCUUAGCUUCCAAAUUAAGUCGUAUCCCUAUUAAUCAUAACAUGUAACUUUACGGAAACAUAACACAUGAAGAUAACAACUUAACAAAAGCUCGUCCAAAGAUGAAGUAGCAAACUUCACACAGAUCUAAAGUAAGAUCUUUUAAACAUAACUAUUCAUUAUAAUUCACACAACUAAGAGAAGCUAUAAAUAUGAACUCAACGGCAUCAAACUAACUUUAACAACUAAAUCAAACCCCCCCCCCCCGCCCAGAAAAGGAGCUUCUUUUGUGGGAAAGCCUGAACCUUUUUAAGCGAAUCCAUCGUCGGCGUCUCUGCGACAUGGAUGCAGUUAUACUUGUCGGGAUUCGCCUCGCCCCAUCCGUCCAAAACCACGAGGGCGAUCGGCUUCCCCUUCGGCAGCUUCGGGUGAUCCGCUAAUUUCCACGAAAAUCCGGAGCUUCCCAUAGUCCUAAUUCCCAAACAAAUCCAAUAAUAAUCAAAUCAAACCAAACCAAUCAACAAAUACUCCAAAAUUAACACCACAACAAAUACUACAAUCACAGUUUCGAUUGACCUAAAGUGGAUCAAAUCAAUCAACUAGGGCAUCCAGUAAAACCGGAUCAAAUAGGAGAAAGUUGAGCUCGAUAAAUAGAUCAAAUCGAAGCAAAGUACGAUAAACUUAUUGGAGAUUAGAACGAGUAAUAAGUGGAAGAGGGAUCGAUCAAAUACCUGUUGCGGAAAUGGAGAAAAAAAAUCGUGCUUUUUUUUUUUUUUUGAGAAAGAGAAGAGGACGAAGAAGGGGAAAUAAAUGAACCAAUGAGGCGCAGGGAGAUCCCAAGGGGUCUUAUAUCAUUAGGGUCGCUAUUUGUACCCCCGAAUAUUCGUCUCUCACCCUAGAGAAAGGGAAUUUGCAUUUUGAUCCCUAACUUUCUCAUAAGAUACAAAAUGGUACCUUUUUAAUUUUAGUUAGGUUAAAUACUUAAAUGUAUGUAUAGAUUAUUCUAAAAGAGCCCCUCAACUCCUAUUUUAGUUAGUUUUACCAAAUUUAAUAACUUCAAUUAUGUUUAGCAAAUAAAAAUAUAGAAAUUGAGGGGCGGUGUUUAAUAAUUUCUCAUAGUCGAGGGGUCUCCAUACAUUUUUUCCCCCCGCUGGGUGCUAACUAUAAAAUGCGGCGUAACUAUAUAACUUCUAAAUGCGGAGACGUCAUUGGACGGUCGGAUGAGGAGUAGCUGGCGCGCGAUGAUGCGUGCGGUGCGUCAUCCGACGGCUCAGGUCACGCGAAGGGUUUUGGACGGUUCCUCGUUCGCAUUCGCUAGAUUAGUCUCGACCGUCGAUCUGCAUUUGGGUCCCUUUCAUGGGACGGUCGCGAUCUCGUCUCACGUUUCCGUGGUCAGGAAUGUUUAUUUUUUUAAUUAAUUAACAAAUUAAUAAUUAAUGGUCACGUGAGGGGUCACGUGAUAAGUGGGAUGUGCGGUGGAUAUUCUUGGUGGUAAAAGGGCCCACUGUUUAAGCCUAACAAUGACAACGCACCUAGAUUUGAAUUUGACUACUUUUUAGAUUUUUUUUUCUUUUUUUUAUUUUUAUUUUUCCCUUUUUUUUUUCUUUUGAAUUCAGUGGGCUGAAUUUAAUUUUACAAUUCAUUGUAAUUGACUAGAUAUGAUAUUUUAAUUAUUAACACAUUAUCAAUUAUGAUCUUGCUCGUAUAUCACUCUUAUAUUAUAAAUUAAAAUUCAAGAACUAAAGUGUCACCUGUCUUAUAGUUUGAUGACCAAAAGUGCAACUUAUAUAUAUAUUUUUUUAACAAAAUUGGAACCAUUGGAUUUAAAUUCUUCAAAAUAUUGUUAAAAGACUAAACUUUAGCUCGUUUGGAAACAGACCCCUAGAUUUUUACCUUAUAAAAUAAUUCCUUAAGUCACUCUUCUCAAUCGAGCUAAAAACAGAAAAAAAAAAAAAAAAUAUGCUUCUUAUGAAGAAUAAUAAUUUUCAAAAAGUAUAAACGAUAGUUUAAUAAUAAUUUUCAAAAAGUAUAAACGAUAGUUUCUCGAUCAUGACGUUCUUGAGGAAAUCGCGCGUUAAUGCACAUUAUUAUUAUUACAAAAUUUUAAUCUUUCGCCCUUUCCCAUUCCCCGAAUUUAUUCUAGGCUUGACUUUUGUAACAAUUUUUCUUUUACAAGCAACAUUUGACACUACACAAAAAUUUUAAAGAAAAAUGAUGAGCUUUUGAAACCAAAAAGGAUAUAAGAUCUACUUUGCAACUUUUUUUGGAGUUCAUUGAGACUUGAGUUGUUCAAAGUUAAAACACAUCCCCCUUUGAAGCUUCAUAGCACCCCAAAGCCCCAAAAGCCCAAAAGCACUUCUCCAGCUUCAGAUUUUCAAAAAGAAUGAGAAAGUGCCAGCCAAAAUUGGGGAAGUUUUAUAAGAUAACAGCAAUUACAAGAAGAUCUAAAAUCAGAAAACGAAAAGAUGAGGAUUAACAUUCGCCAUAAUGUUUGCACAUCUUGAGGCAGGAAUAACAAGAAACAUAAUGUUCGCCAUAAGAUCGUUCUUGUCGACGGCAUUGAUGAAGGCAUGAGUGGCAGAACAUCAGCAGAUGGCUCCAGAAACUUCUAAUUAAACAAAACAAAGUCUGCAGAUAGAUGAAAGAAAUUGUUAGUUUUCGGAAGUAGAUUUGUGGACGAUUCUGAAACUGCAUGCGUUAUGAGUUUGACGGACAGAAUAUUUAUUAUAAAUGCAUGAAAUGGGUACUGAGAGUCUUUUAAGUUGGUUUACCUAAACAAGUUCGAUGUACGCCAUCGGUGCAUUGUCUCCCCUUCUCGGUAGGGUCCUGAUGAUUCGUGUGUACCCUCCAUUCCUUUCUCCGUAUCUAUCUUCCACCUCCGCAAACAAGGCGUGGACUAUCUGCUUCUCGUAGAUGAAACCCAGUGCCUGUCUCCUCUUAUGCAGAGACCCAUCCUUUGCCAAAGUUAUCAUCUUGUCCACAUACUUCCUCAUUGCGCUCGCUCUUGCUCUAGUGGUUUUGAUCCUACCGUGUUUCAACAGCUGAGUGGUGAGGCCGCGGAGAAGCGCUCGCCGCUGAUCGGGCGGUCUGUUCAGCUUCGGGACGCGUUUCCCGUGUCGCAUUGCAUAGAACUUGCUACCAUUGGUGAUUCCAAAAAAUCCGUGUUCAAAGCUUGCGUUAUCUGCGUAAUUGAGAAUAGAUCUUAAAACCUAGUUCUCUGGUUCGCGACAAAGAGUACUUUAUUUGGAACGCUGGUUUUUGUUUCUUGGCAGAAGGUACGAAGUUGUAUUAGAAUUUUAUUUAACAGUAGACAUGGUAUUUAGGUCACUUGACAGAUGAAGAGCUCUUUCUCUAGAAUAUUAUUUACAGCAAAGAAAAUAGUUGAAAAUAAAAACAGCCAAAAUCAUCAUACCGAAAAAACGAAGAAAAAAAAAAACAUAUAUAUGGGCAAGCAAAUGGAAUAAGCACCACUGAACUAAACUCAUAUAUGUAACUAGUAUCGGAUAUCAGCAUCAGCAGAGAACUCAAAUUUCAGAAGAAAUGGAUUUUAUGCACACCAGGAUCAAAAGAGUCUCACAGAAAUUGCUCAAACUCCAAACCUUUUUGAACCUCCCAAUGGACGAAAUAAAAUUACCGCCGUCCGGGGGGGGGGGGGGGGGGGGGGGNAAUCUUAGUACUCGUAUAUUCCAGCCAUUCAGAGUUCAAGUUGGACAUGAUCUAGCAAUAUGUUUAAAAAGAUCGAACUUUUGUUGAUACUGGCAACAAUAAUGUGUAGAUAAGUUAGAAUAUACCAAAUAAAUCCUAUUAAGGUCACAUUCGGAAGCUCAUAUAUCACAGAAACUUCGUUUGCGCAUGACAAAAAGUAGGUUCCCUGCCUCUAAUCAAUUCUAUACCAACCAUUUAUUUAGUUGUUAUUCCAGUUCAAUUCAAAAUUCAGCAACCAUAAAUUUCUCACAUUUACAAUAAAUUGCGCACCGUACAUAUGGUGAAAAUUUGGCAGAUGAUCUAAUCUCUUUUUUUUUUUACGUUAUACUUACCAAUUACCAAGCUCUCAUUCACCUCGAAUAUUUAAUCCACCACUAUAAACCACAAAACAAUUAUAUUCGAUUAAACUCAGAUUGUAAGUAUCUACUGAAACCCUAAACUUGUUUCAUCUCAUUCUAACUAAAAUAACAAUAAAAAAAAAACCUAAAUCAAUCAACUAACCCUAAAAACGAUCUCAAAACUCAACUAAAUUCACCAAAAAUUACACCCUAAACUCAAAUUGUAAGUAUCUACCGAAACCCUGCACUCGUUUCAUCUCAUUCUAACUAAAACAACAAGAAAAAAAAAACCUAAAUUAUCCAACGAAAUCCUAAAAAUGAUCUCAAAACUCCACUAAAUUCACCAAAAAUUACACAUCACGAAUGCGACAGAGGGUAUCACAACUAAAUUCACCAAAAAUUAAACCCUAAACUAAAAUUGUAAGUAUCUCCCGAAACCCAACACUCGUUUCAUCUCGUUCCAACUAAAAUAACAAGAAAAACUAAUUUAAAAUCACACAAUACAAAAUGCGAUUGAGGAGAUUACCGAGAUCGUUGGAAAGAAGAGGGGCCACGGGGGCGAGGCCGGAGAAGGACCGCAAGCGAUUGGUCGAUCCUUUGGGACUCGACACGAGCCGCGCCGAGCGAGGAUGUGGGGCGAAGCAGAGGGAGGAGUUAGAGGGGGGACAGGGGAGAGCGGAGCGGAGCGAGGCCAUGCUCCAUGGGGAGAGAGAGGAGGAGGAGGAGGAGGAGUAGGCGGAGGCGCACGAUGCCAUUAACGCCGCUAUUGGAGGAGGAGGAGGAGGAGGAGGAAGAAGAAGAUAACGAACACCCGGUUCUCGUCGGAGCGCUGGAUAAGGUGAUAGAGAAGAAUGCUAAAUUGCACUCUAGUCCAUAACCUUUUAGACCCUUUUAUUUAAGUCCUCAAAAUUUCUGAAUUUUACAAUUUAAGCCCUUAAAGUCUAAAACUCUAUUUGGAUGGAGAAAAACAAAAGAAAAAAAAUAAUUAUUAUUAUGAUUUUUUUAUUUGGACUAAAAUUUAAGAAAUUGAAAGUAAGAGAAAUGGAGUGCAAUGGAGCCAAAAUGAUUUUUUUGUCAUCCAAUUUGUUUGAUUUUAGUCGUGCCAACGAGACUUUGACUUUAAAUUUUGAAUGCAUUGUUUAUCUUUACGAAUUUAGUUAGCAUAUUGCAGCCAAAUUUUUAUAAUUAAAAUUUUAUUAAAAUAUGUAAUUAUUUUAAAUUUUAAAGUUAAAGUACCAUUGACUGGCUUACAUCAAACAAAAUAAAAUUAAAAUUUUAAAAAAUUAAACAGUCAAAUUAAAAUAGUCCAUAAUUCAAAUAAGUUCUAUAAUAGACAGCAUUUGGUUAGGGAAUGGGGAUAGGGACAGGCCCUUAUCCCCUCUUUAUACCUAAACGCUAAUUUUUCAUCCGAGAAUAGUAGUUCUGGUUAUUUCCACUAACACCUCCAUUUUCUAUAGAAAACUAUCUAAUAUUUUUUUUAUCCCCGGGAAUAAUCCAAUUUUCAUCCAAACGCUAUUUUUCUUAUUCCCAUACUUGUAUCUAUUUCUGUAAUAGCUAGUUCUUGUUUAUACCCCAACCAAACGGUACCAUAAAGUUUUACCUUUUUUUUAUAUACAGCACUUGACGACUCAAAAUGAUUUACAGUUCAGCGAAAUUUUAUACAUGUUUUUACCCUUUUUCUUUUAUCCAGCACUUGUGUGCCCAAUCAGAGCUUCUCACAAAAGCAUUUUUUUAAACUGAUCAGAACUUCUGUGAGAACUUUUCAGUUUGGUAGAAAGAAAGAUAUUCUGCUUUUGAGGUUUGACAGAGCAAAAAACAACAAAAUCUGAGCUGCUUCUGCUCCUCAAGAACACAUUACUGGAGCACCAGACGGCUUCUUCUUGCAGAUGCGAUCCAUAACAACCACAAAAGCCAUAAUCAGCCUGCAGUCGACCCCCGGCUGAACCACCAGGCUGAAAACGUCGUCUCCGAGCAGCGCCACCGCGGCCGCCGCCGUCGCAGAACCGCCUCCCGUAGCGGCGGCCGCCUUCUUUCGGCAUAUUCGCGCCGCUUCCUCGCCGUCUCUCCCUAAAAUCUUGCAGCUUCUUCGCCAGAAGCACCCCUCCACGCGGAAACUCGGCUUCGGAGGAAGAAGCACUUUCUGACGGCCAUCUGGCCACCCCAUGAACACCUCCGCGGCGUCGCCGCUCUGCAGAAUCGCGCACCGUCGCAUGGCGAAAAGCUGCAGCGGCGAAGCCAUCUUCUGCUUCUCCGCGAAGCCAUCUUCUGCUCUGUAUCCGUUCCACUGAUCAUGCAUGCUCAUCAGCUGCAUUAAUAAUAAUGCAAAUAUUUAGCUCCUUAAUCUCAAGUUUAAUAGCUAGUUAUCAGUAACACCAACUAUGCAAUGCAAUAUAGUAAAAAAUUGUUACUGACAGAGCAGAUACAGGUUUAGGCCAAACCUGGGGCCUCAGAGACAUAAUAGCCCUCCCGUCGCCAUCCAUGAGCAGAAGCUCCCCCGCGAAGCACUUUCGCCGCCUCGAAUAGUUGUCUACCCUGAAAGCCAAUCUUCCGUCGCUGUCGUAAACCGAGAAGCCGUCCGUUCCCUGGAAACCCAUGCUCGAUUUCUUCCACACCGUCCACGUCGAGGGGAGACGAUCCCCGCCGCUCGCAUUCGCGCUUUCCGCAGAUCCAGUACUCUUUCUCUCACCUGGAUGAAUCCUACCCAUAUUGAUGCAAAUAGGGAGAGAGAGAGAGAUAUAUAUAUAAAAUGUAGUGUGUUCAACACUUGGUAGGUAUUGUGUUAAGAGAAACAUGUAUACAUAUUUAUAUGAGAUGGUUUUGUGAACUUAUAUAAUAAGGAUUGGAACUUAGUGUGGUGCAUGGCAUGCAUUAACAUGGACUAGUGACUGGGGAAUUAAUAAAGUAGUACAAUGUAGAGAGGGAAUGAGAUUCCUGGAUAGGUUCGACUUGGCCGACAGGGAAAAGAGCAUGGUUUUUUCCUUCAUUUAUCACAAGUUCUAACCACCAAAUGACUUGUUCGAUGCUCAGGACAUAUUUGGUUCAGUUGUAACUUCUGCAAAAAAAAAAUUUUUUUUUUUUUUUUGAGAGAUAGGUAGCACGCGUGCUAUCCGCUUCGUUUAUUUCAUUUAAGAAUAAACUUAGCUGAAAAUGUGAAUCAACUAGGAUUCGAAUUAACUUAGGUCUCAGGUACCAACUACGAAGCCCUUUGCCACUUGCUCUAGGGACGAUCGGUUCUGCAAAAAUAUUUUUCAAAUAAAAAAAAUUUAUAAAAAAUUAAAACAUUAAAAAUAAUUUCUGCAACACAAAUGGAUUGUUUCGUUUAUAAGAGUCAAACAGUUGUAACUUUUGUUUUUUUUUUUUUUUUCCAAAACUAAAAAUAAAUAAAUAAAUAGUGGCUAUAGAAGUGCUUAACGAAUAACGAGUCAGCGUUUAGCUGGAAUAACAGUUUAAUAUUAUUAUUAUAUUAUUUAUAUAUAUUAUUUGGCAAGUUGAAACUUAUUUAAAUAUUCCACAAAAGGAAUUAAAGUGCGUCACUUUACACUUUGCUCCCAAACAAGCUAUAUAAUUAAUAGUUCUUUUUUUCCCUAACUAUGAUGUUAAAUAUAAAAAUAUUUAAACACCAUUCUCUAAUAGUUUAAGCUUUUAGAAUAUAACGAUUGUUUCACAUGAUAUCAAAACAGGAGAUACUGAAUUCGAGUCACGUCAGGUUCCUAACAUAUUAAUUUCUUCCAUUAAUUCAAGCCCACGUUAUGGGCCGACUAAGAAGUCUCGAGUCCAGACGUGCGGGUGAGUGUUAAAUAUAAAAAUGUUUAAACACCGUUCUCUAAUAGCUUAAACUUUUAGAGUAUAACGAAUGUUUCACAUAUAAUGUCAUAAUAAAGAGACCAAUGUAUCACAACUACAGUUGCAUCUUCAUUUGGGAUAAGGGAGAAUUAAAGCCUCCUAAGGAGAAUCUUAUUAGCGUACACAAUGAGCUGGGGCAUUCAAAUACAACAUGCUUUGUGCAUGCCAUUACAUGCAUGUUUCUUUUAGGGGUGGAUUUUCACCUCCCACAUUUUGUGCAUGCUAUGUAUGUCACUUUCGCAAAGAUGUUCGAAAAUAACAUUAUCCUUGUAAACCUACCUACUAACGCGAUCUCAACUGCUCAGCGUAUCGGAGUGCUGGCGAAAGAGUGGGCCGAUUUUUGUGGAGUCGGGUGGCGUCGGGGUGUGCUACACUCUUUGUUUUGACGCUUGUUUUUAUUUUUACUUUGCUUUUUAUUUUUUAGUUCUUUUUUUCUUUGAUUUUUUGUUUUUUUUUAGGUCUUAACUGUCUCACUUUAUGUAGCUAAAUUUAUUUAUCUAAUGAAUGAAAUAGAUAGCGUGCUACUUUUCUCUUAAAAAUUUAAAAAAAAGUUCGAAAAUAAGCGAGAAUGUUGUUCGCAUCCGAUGCAUCUGUACAUUCCGUGCACUGCAUAUUUGAGCACUUUAUCCUUGCCCACAAGCUUGGCAUGAAUUUGAGUCCACAUAAUGCGUGCAGUAAACUCUCGAAGCGGAUCGGAUUCGGGUCAAUGAGAGAAACGGAAAACUCGGGCCCGGCCCGGAUUUUAUCCCGCGUGAUAAAGUUUAAAAAUGCUUCAACUGUAACAAUUAAGUUCCUAACAUACCGACCGUUCCAAAAGUAAGUGGCAAAAAAUUUGAUGAUUGGUAUCCGAGACCCAAAUUCGAAUUCUAGUUGAUUCAUAUUUCCAACUAAGUUUAUUUCUAAAUGAAAUAAACGAAGCGGGUAGCAUGCUACCUAUCUCUUAAAAAAAAAAGAAGAAAAGAAAUUCAAAUUAUUGGAGGAAAUGUAUAGCAAUAUACACACCAAUUAAACACCUAAAACCAAGAAGAUUUUAUAUUAUGAAAACAUGUUUUUACAUCUUAAAUAAAUAAAUACACAUUAAACUGAGAAAAAAAGAAUUUAUACAACAGAGAACAUAACUAGAAAUAUUUGUCACCAAUUUGAAUGUUCAUAAAAUAACCACAUUAUCGCCCCCCUAAUUUUCCUAAUCUCUUUAUCUUAUACAUAGAGAGAGUUGAGCUCAUGUACUUUCAAAAGCACAGAAAUAUUUGUGCUGCACACAUGUUUCUGUGCUUUUUAUAGUGCUGCACUGAUCUUGAGGUGAUUCGACGAUUAAAAAGUUAUUUCUAUGCUUUUAAAAGNAUCUCUCAAAAAAAAAAAAAAAAAGUUCCUAACAUUUGAUUGCAUUAGCAUUUAGUCAUUAAGAUUUCAUCUUGAUGCUUCUUCUACAGUUUUGGAGAUGCAAACUGGCCGGAUCCGGAGGCGGUCUGACCAAUUUAGUCAGAAGCUCCAUCAACCCGGAUCCAUUUGCAUCCCUAUCUCUAUCGGCAGCAUAGUUAGUUAAUUCGGAUUCGGCAAAAAUUCGGUACGGGUAUAAUUCGAAUAAAAUUUGUCUUCUAAUUUUUAAAUUCGUUGAAAAAUAGGGCUAAAAAAUGGAUUAGUCAAUUAUUUGGAUACGUGAUUUAUACAGAUAUUAUGCGUUCACCAAUUAAAAAUUCGGGAUCAAAAAUUCGACUAUUAAAUUAAAGGGAAAACUUCAAACCCCCCCCCCCUGUGGUUUCGUGCAUUCUCACUUUGCUACCCUGUGGUUUAAAACGUAUCAAUUUGCCCCCCUGUGGUUUCGUUUUUAUCUUUUUGUUAUCAAUUUUAUUAUUAUUAUUUUUUAAAAUCAGUGAUAAAGUUAAAAUUAAAGGAUACUAAAGUGACUAUUCGAUAAAUAUAGAUGGUUAUCUGAAGUUUUUGUAUAUAAUUUAACGAAAUAUUAACGAAAAAGCUUCUGAAAAGAUAAAAAUGAAACUACAGGGGGGUAAAUUGAUACGUUUUAAACCACAGGGUAGCAAAGUGAGAAUGCACGAAACCACAGGGGGGGGGUUUAUGAAGUUUUCCCUAAAUUAAAUUGUUUUUCUCUCAAAAUUUAUACUAUUAGCAUAAAUAUUCAUAUUUUUAAGAAUAUAAGAAUAAAGAGCUACAAAACUAAGCUAAUUUAGUAAAAAAAUAACAAACUAUAUUAUGCCUCAAAAUAAAUAAAGGGAAAACUUCAAAUAGCCCCCGUGGUUUUGCACUUCCUAACUUUAGUACCAUGUUAUUUAAAGUGUAUCAAGUUAGUACCCUUGUGGUUUCGCACUUUCUCACUUUAGCACCUUGUAGUUUAAAGUGUAUCAAGUUAGUACCAUGUGGUUUCGCACUUUCUCACUUUAGUACCAUGUGGUUUAAUAUUUUGUUAAAUUAUAUACAAAAAAACUUUAGAUACCCUAUCUAGGUUUAUCGAAUAUUUAUUUUAGUACCCUUUAAUUUUAACUUUAUCACCAAUUUAACGAAAAAAACACCCUGAAAUAGAUAAUAAAAAGAGAAAAUUAAAACCACAGGGUACUAACUUGAUACAAAAAUGAAACCAUAGAGUACUAACUUGAUACACUUUAAACCAUAGGAUACUAAAGUGAGAAAGUGUGAAACCAUAUGGUACUAAUUUAAUACACUUCAAACUAUAGGGUACUAAAGUAAAAAAAAUAUGAAACCAGAUAUUUUUGAAGUUUUUCAAUAGAUAAAUAAUUAAGCAAAUAAAAGAUUAAGAUAGUUCAUAAACGAUUAAACUUUUUUGAUCCAAUAAAUUUUUUUUUUGGGAGGGGGUGGGGCGAACUCGCGCUUGCGAGGCCCGCGACCGCGAUCGCGCGUCUUUUUGGCCGAAUAAUUCGGCAAGCGAAUUAUUCACGAAUAAAUAUUAUUUACUAAAAAAACAUGUUUUUUUUCAAAAUUUUCAAAAAAAUUUGAAUAAGACCGUUUAAUUCGUUUCUUUAAAAAUUCGCGAAUAAUUCACGAAUUAACUAACAAUGAUCUGCAGUAGUGCCUACUUUAUAUUGUUGAAUUUAAUGGUGAUAGAUGACUUAGUUGAGAGCAUAAGAAUCAUCUAUGCAUUCCCGUUUUCGGAGAUUACCUCAAACAAUCACAUGCUUUUGCUUUAAAAGUCCUGGUACAACGAUACUGAUUAUAAACCAUGUAAAGUUACUGAUCAGCCACAGAUCACACCAAAAUUAGAUUAUAAAAGGAUACUGUCCAAAAACAAAACAAAAUUACAAGUACAAAAACCUCGGCUAGUAAUAACAGCAGUAACAAAAAUAGAUAGAAGGAAUAAGUGAAAAAGAAGGGGGAAAAAAAAAGGAGGAACUCAAUAAUAGGUUCCAAAAACCCUAAGAUCAUGAAUAUAAAUAUAAUAAUAUAAUGAGCUCUCGCCUGUUAAUACUCGAAAAGCAUUAUCAUUAGCUUCUAUGCAGACUCGAAAUGAUUUAAAGAAAAAACUCAAGAUAACUCUUAUGUUAAAAUUGCGAGGUUUCCGCUUCCGCAGAGUCAGUCUCCAGACAUGUAAGUCUUGCCCUCGUAGUACUUCCUCUCGCUCGCUUCCUUCUUCUCGUUCCGUUUCUGAAAACAGAAACACAUGCGAAACAAUGAAUAUCUGAUUAAAUUUAGGUUUUGAAGAAAUACGUGUCCUAUUAUUGAAGCUGCUGCGUACGACGGUAAUAAAUUACACCUUAACAGAGGUUACCCAAGUAACAUUGAAUUUGACCGGCGACAACUGGUAUAAGUAAACAUUUGUAGUAAUCAUUUAUUUUUGUAGUAGUAUUAAGAUCAUAUGCUAGAAAGUGAUUGUCAUCAACCGUAGAAUGCUGAAUGAUAAUGAAAGAUUAAUAUCGAGGAUGAUGGCGUGAUAAUAGUGUAGAUCUUUUGAUACUCUAAUGCAAGUGGAAAAUAAUGUUGAAACAAGACGAUAAUAUGGAAAAUUUUGAGGCUUGUAGAUUACUAGUGGUAUAGGAAUCUUAUUAGGAUAUACCUGAUAUGCCUCGUGAUUUGCAACAAUCCUCCUAAUUAUUGUACUAGUUGUGAUGUCUAAAGAGCUUUCUAGUUGCCGAUAGAUACCCAUAGCAAUUGGAACUGCAUAUGGAUUUGAUUCCUCCUGAAAAGUGAUCCGUAUGCUAUUCAGAUUUAUGACAAUAUGAAGAGGACUGCAACCUCAAAAUUUAUGACAAUUACCUUGAGAAAGUCCAUAUUUUCUGCAAUUGUUCCGUGAACAACCAAAGAGAUGUUAAACGUAGUAAUCUGUAAAAAACCACAUUCAUGAGUCAGAAUAUUCAGAAUAUCAAUACUCUGGUUGCAGCAAUAAAAUAGAAAACGAGCAAAUUCAUGCAAAAUCCAAAUUGAAUUGAAAUGAAGCAUACCAUUUAACAGCAAGUAAGAGAUCAGGUCUAACAAAAAUUAAUCAACAAAAUGUACAACCCAGAAUUGUCAAAAAGAACUAACCAUAUCUUUAGAGACCUCCCAUGGGGCACCAAUAAUAACUUCAUCUACAUAACGGCAAGCCAACACACUCAAGCUUCUCUCAUGAAGAUUCAUGAUUGGGCGGUGGGCUCCUCGAGUAGCACUGUACAUGGCAAAGCAAUAUUUAUUAUGUGUGUACUGCAAAAAAUUUUAAAUUAGAAAGAGAAGAACAAUGAGACACCCAGAGAAGCGGUCUAGGCAGAAAGCAACAGAAAACAAUAAAGAGGAAUUUCAUUGAGCACUAUUAAGGAUAUUAUAGCAAAUAAAAUUGUACAUUAUGAUGAUUCCGGAAGGGGCAGUCACUCCAUCUGCUAUGAUAUCUCACAUGAUUGUCAUCUGUAACUUAUGUAGCUGACAGUGCAAGAGCAUAAAAGGCAGAACCAAAGCAUGCGACACAUUUUGGACGAGUAGAAAUAACAAUAUAUUACCUCACAGUCUGAUCAGUAUGAAUGCCCACAAGUAAAAAAUCUCCCAGUUCUCGAGCCUUCCGCAAUAUCUGUAACACAAUAUCAAUAAGUUACAACAGAGAAGCAACAAUAUUCUGCACAAAAAGGUCGGACAUUUUAAUUCGUAAAAUAGCUUUGUGAAGCAUCACAAAUAAGCGAUAGCUCAAAGCCUAACGCAUUUGGCUGUUUCCUCAUGAUUGUCUAUUUUUUUAUGAAGUAUAAAGCAAUAUGAUUAGUCACUUUCAUAUAAAAAAGAUAACGCCUAAAUGGAUCUCAGUUGGAUGAGCAGCUUACAAGAGUAAAGAGGGUUACAGAUAAAUCCCAUUGAUAUGAGCAAUAAACAAUAUGAAUGGCAUAAAUGAAUAGAAAGUCCCUCUAAAACUCUUAUGAGCUUUUCAACAGAGUGUAUAAUAAGUAUAUUCAAAGCAGUUGAUGGUAGGAUACAUAAUGAGACACUUGUUCAACUGUCUGACUAGUGGCAAGAAAUAAACAGGUACACUUAUGAACAAGCCAUCUUCAAUAUGAAAUUGACACCACCUUGUGCGUGCGCACGCCCACGCGCGGGUGAGAGAGAGAGAGAGAGAGAUAGAGAGAGAGAGAGAGAGAGAGACCUCCACAUGUCCAGCAUGGAACAGAUCAAAUGCACCAUCUAUGUAAAUAAUGCGAGCAUCUGGACCAGGACCCUGGAUGAACAAAAAGAAGUUUCAACAUACAUUUCCCUUAGAGCAUUCUUGUGAUAGUCACAGAACAAAAAGAAGUUUCAACAUGGAAAAAUACAAAGUUUCAAAACACACAGACCAGAGCAUAUGACCGGCAUGGAACUAUAAGAAGUAUUAACAUACCUUCCCAUUAGAGAACUGCACUAUUCGUCGAGACGUAGGCAGAAAAUGGGAUAUACGAGUUCCACUUGCAGAUCCACCAUCAUCAACCUUCUGACCAUGACCGUGGCUAAACUGCCUUUGCAAAGAAGAAUGAUUAUGACUAUCACCAGUAGAUCUCUCCCUUACACAAAGAAGCAUGCGACCUAUUGAGCAACAAAGUAUAUUUAUCUAAGCAUUCUCGAAUUAGAGGAAGAAACAGAGAAGAAUCUUGAAAAGUCGAAAAGCUGAAUUCUUGAUGCCAAAAGCGGUAGUCACAGCCCACAGUACAGUCCCAUACGGUAAUUUUUAAAGCGAUUAGAAUGUCAGAAAUGCAUGCGAUAAAUUAAAAGCAUCUGCAUGCCCUGAACAAGUCGAAGUUUUAUAUUUAAGAAGGAAAAAUACUACCUAAAGUAAUCUACACACAGAGGCACAAGAUAUUAUUCAAAAAGCAACUAGAAUGUUAACCUGCAUGUUAAUGCUUCUGGAAAAGGUGCAAACCCAGAAAAAAUUUAAAAUCACAAAAACAUGUCAUUGUAAAUCCAGUAUAUUAGCCAAGCAAAAUUUUAAACCUAGAUUAAGCAGGCAGACUAACACCAAACUUUCUUGAUUAUCCAUCCCAAAUACAAGAUAUGUUGUACUCCAUUUAAUCAGGUCAAAUUUCGCAGGAACACAAACUUCCAAAAAUAGAUGGAUAAAAUCAGGGAAAAGAAGAAUAGAAUCAGUACCAACUAUGUCUGUGCUUGACACUCCUUCAGUUCUUUUAAUCUGCUUAUAACGGCCAGCCUUCUUGGCAAGGGCAUAUGCAUCAGUACCAUCAGGGAGUAGACAAGGAUCAUCCCCAUGAAUAAUAUAAUCAAUAUUAUACUUAUUGAACAGCUUAUUCAUAAACUCCUCAGUUAUGGCAUAAGGAGCAUCUGGAAUGACUUCAUCCACCCAUUUUACAGCCGCUACCAUGAUCAUUCUGUGAGCAAAUAAUUGGGAAAUCAGUUGGAACAAUUAUAUAUGGAGGGGAAAGGGUCAUAUGCGGUUUCAGUUUAAUAGUUGAUGUACAGAAGAACGCCAUGCACGUGGACAAAUUCAUGAAGAUGCCUCAUUUUUCAAUUCAUGUUUUCACUCCCCCUUCCAGAGGAAGAGCCCAAAAAUUAAGAAAGAAAGAGGGUGCCAAGAUUACACAAUAUCAUCCAAUGCUUGGGGAUUGGUAUUCUGAACAGUACUAUAAGAAUCAGUACUGAACAUCCCUCUUGCAAAAGUACAGGGUCCCGUAUGCAAUUACGUAUUUUGGUUGAGGCAAAACCUACAAUAUCCAGAAGAACUAAAAAUCGAAAAUUGAGCUACAAAAACAAUAUUAGUCAAUAUUAGAUCCCACUGAUUCUUAAUUGCAAAGAAUUACAAAUACACAUUGAGCUCCAAAACUAAGAUCUAGUAUAAUAAGGAACUUUAAGACAAAAAUACAUGUUCAAAGAGAACUAUCAGUGCAACUUGCUCCCGCAUAAGACAACUUUAGAGUUUUAGAGCUUGGUAGUGGGCGAGAAACAUGAUCUGCAAAGAAAUUUACCGGUCAUAUCUAGCGUAACAAGAUUAAACAAAAUAAAUGCUAUAUUUAAAUUGAAUAUAUAGUAUAAAUUUGGGGGAAACAAGGAAACUUUUUUUUAAGUUAGUGGAAAGGGAAACAUAUACUCAUGGAUCUAUUCAUGCUACUUACUAUCCAGAAACACAAAGAUACAAUAAGAUUCAAGAGCUACCUUUCAUGGCAUGCAAAGUAUUCCAAAAUUAUCACAACAACGUAAAAAUUGGAAUAGAAAUAUUGCUAAAAAAAUAGAAAUAGAAAAAAUAAAGGAGCAGAGAGGGAUCAAUAAAACAAGCAAUAAAAUGAAAACACAUCCUAGAUCUAAUCAUUAUAGAAACGAAGAUCAACAGGAAUUCCCAAUCAAAGUAUUCGAUACGGGGAUCGACCUUUCGUGGAGCGGGGUCACGGGGGGGCCCUUGUUGGCCGUGAUCUCGUCGUCGCUGACGACCCCGACGACGAGCUCGUCCCCGAGCGCCCGCGCCUGGCGCAGCGCGUUGCAGUGCCCGUAGUGCAUCAUGUCGAAGCACCCGUCCAUGUACACUCGCACGGGGCGCCGCCGCCGCCGCCGCCGGCCCCCCCAGAGCGGCGGCGGCAGCUGCAGCGAGGGCGGGAGCGAGAUCCCGACCUGCACGGCGAGGAGCGACGCCCCGAGCACGAGCCCGCCGAGGAAGAACGCGGCCACGAACUUAGACGGCGUCGCGAGGUCCUUCACGGCUCCGCCUCCGCCGCCGCCGCCGCUUCCGCCGCCCUCGGAAUCCAUGGCGCAGAGGAGGAGGAGGAGGAUUCGGAUCUAGGGUUUCGGAAAACCUAGGGCUCGCGAGCUCCCGCCAUUUGGAGGCUUCGAGGAGAGCACGAGAGUGGAAAAGAGAGAGAGAGAGAGAGAGAGAGAGAGAGAGAACGAAGGGUAUGGAACGGGGAAUGAGAAGGGGGUAAUUGGAUUAAUAUAGACCGUACGAUGGAGUGAGAUCACAGGUGGAUUCGUUGGGGACUAAUAAAUUAGUGUAUUAUGAGCCGUUCAUCAAAUAAAGAAUUUUUAAAAAUGCGAUUUUUUCUAUCUGGGGUAAAUUUUAAUUUGCGUAUUCAUAUGGACUUUCCCGAGAAUUUUUAAAAUAUUUGUAUUUCCAUUACUUUAAAUAUUGUUUUUGUUACUUGAAAUUUUUUAUUUCCUGUAAUUGCUUUUUGGUAUUAUUUACCUAUCACACUCGCAUAAAUACAAAAUUAUUAUAUAUAUAUUAUAUGUUUAUUUUUAAAAAAAGUUAAUGAAAAAAUAAAUUUAAAAUUGUACUUUCUACAUGAAUUUGUGAAUUACUAAUCAGUAACAAGAACUAAGAAUUCUUAUUUAUUGGUGCAUGUAAUUGUACAAAAAAUUUGAGUCUAAAAUAAUGGAAUACAAAUAAAAAUGAAAAAAAAAAUGUAAAACCAAAGGAAAGCUUUGCUUUUCAAAUUCAAAUGUUCAACGGAGAUAGAUAUAUAUUAAUUCAAAUUAUAUAUAUUGACACUCACAUGUACAAAACUAACUUAUAUAAAUAUAAUUUUGACUAUUAUUAAUGUACACAUAAAUAUAAAAAAGAAAAUCACAAUUGCAUGCGUGGGAUAUGCUAAUGCGAUGCUUGGCACCAGAUGCUGUAAAAAGCGUGUGAAUUAAAAGUACGGAUUAUGAUGCUUCUUGCAGUGUGGCCGCAUCAAUGCAAUAAAGAUUUUUCUUUAGAAAAAAAAAAAAGAAUAAAAUUUACUCGCAUAAGAUGCGACACACUUUCUGUGAGACCCCAGAUAGUCAUAUAUAUGAGAUAUAAUAUGGCUAAACUCUUAACCCGGCUUAAGCAUUUUGGGUUGUGGCAAGGCCCAAGAGGUUAAGAGAGUUAAGCGUGUUGGGACGGGAGUAAUCCUAGGAUGGGUGACCCCCUGGGAAGUCGGGGCGUCAUAGAUGGUAUCAGAGCCAAUUACCAGCCGGAAGUGUGAGAUGACUCUCGGCUGAGCCAGGGUCUGGAUGACGGGCUAGCGAGAUGAGUCUCACAUCGCCUGGUACUUGUGAGUCUGAGCCUGACGAGGACGUCAGGGCUUAAAGGAGGGGAGAUUGUGAGACCCCAGAUAGUCAUAUAUAUGAGAUAUAAUAUGGCUAAACUCUUAACCCGGUUUAAGCAUUUUGGGUGGUGGCAAGGCCCAAGAGGUUAAGAGAGUUAAGCGUGUUGGAACGGGAGUAGUUCUAGGAUGGGUGACCCCCUGAGAAGUCGGGGCGUCAUACUUUCUCUUUAGAAACAAAGGAAUGAAAUUUAUGAUAAAUAGUGUUCAGAUUAUACCGAAUCGUAUAUGAUGCAAUAAAGAUAUUUCCUUAGAAAAAAUAAAAUAAAAUUUACCUGCAUCAGAUGCGACAAACUUUUUCUUGUAGUGUUCACAUUGUAUUGAAUCGUUUUCCACUAAAUAGGUUUUGAUAGCAUAGUAUCAGAGCCAUCCUUAAGCUUCUUUCCAAGAGAAUAUUGUAAGUUUGAUUCUCUCAUAUUCAUCAUUUUGUAACAUAUAUUCCCUUCUAUUAUCACCUCUUUGUUCCUUACUUGUCAAUUAUCACUGAGGGCAUACAUAGUUCUCGAUCUGAUCAAAUUUGUUUCUUUUUAUUUCACAUAUAUUUCUGUCUCUAUUCAAAAAGGCUUGUUCACUCAGAUCGAUUUUUUGGGUAGUCGAAAAAUAUAUAUUUCUCUCAAUCCUCAUUGAGGGUUUUAGAUCUUUGAUCAAAUUUUCUCCGGUGCGUAUCAUUCUCACUAAAGGCAAUACUACCGGAAUAAGUUGUCAGAUAUUACUCACAUGCUACGAAAGUUCUGACUGCUAUGUGAUUUGAUAAUAUAGUAUAUUUUAUUUACGAAUUUUUUUGAAAAAAAUUAUAUAUAAUGGACGGCUAUAGUAUACUUUUUAGGCUGUGUUUGGUUCAGGUAUAAGUAAAAACUGUUUAUUCCAAAAGCAGAUAUAAGUUCAGAUAUAAAUGAUUUAAUACUAUAAUUAAAAUUAAAUUUAGACUUUAAUUAAACUUAUUUCCACUUAGGAAGGAACAAGCUUGUUUUAGAAAAAUGGCUGGAACAGCACCAGUUUAUUUCAGAGACCUAAAAUUUACUGCUCUCGAAUAUCAAAUACAACGCUAUCAAAGAAAAUUAUCUUAACAACAUUAAUUAAUUCAACGUAAAAGGGGAAGUGAUUAAUAGCAAUGCUUCAGUUUUUCUAAUUCUAGUUGAUAAUGCUGAAGCCUACGUACCACAGCUUCUAAUACUUUCUAAUAAUUAUAAAUAUUCUUUCUUCUAUCUUCCAUUCCAGCCAACAUUGAAAGCUGCCGGCGGCCCUUUAUGCGUUCCGGCCACCACUGACAGCCUUUGGUUAGCAUUAUUCAAGUACUGCUGCACUUGCUCUCCGGAGCUCAUGUCUGGCCCCCCGCCGACGACUCCCCCCUCUCCGCCGCCCGCCCCCGCCACCGGAUCCCUCAUGUACUGCUGCACCACCAACACCGACACCAUCAUCGCGAAGUCCGACGACGCCAACAAGUCCCCGAUCGGCCCCAGCUCCGGGCACUCGGUCCACUCCGUCAGCCCCGCCGUCAUCGCCCCCCCGGCCUCCCCCUGCCCCCUCCCCACUAUGUACAAGUCGUGGAUGCUCUCCAUGUUCCGGAUGGCCGUCACCGUCUCCUCGCUGUUCCCCACCACCUUCUCGACGUACGUCACGGAGUCGUUGCCCACGUUCUUCACCCUGAACUCGUUGACGUACUCGUCGUCGAGCUGGCGCUCGUGGCUGCCGUCGGUGACGAUGGUGAUCACGCGCGAGUCGCGGGCGGCGGCCUGCUCGUCGGGCGGGAGGAAGCGCACCACCGUGAGGGACACCACCGGGUUCUCGACCAUCCGCCAUGCGAAGGCCAGCGCCUCGCGGUCGUCGGGACCGCCGAAGAAGAGCAAUGCCACGUGGUGCGUGGCGGUGAGGCGCGACGCGGAGGCGCUGAGGCCGCGAUCGACGAGGACGCCGACCGAGCAAGGCGAUGACGAGAGGAUGUUCUCGUUGAGGGUGCGGAUGGCCGGGUUGAUCGCCUCCAUGCCGCCGUCGACAGUCUGCUGUUUGUGGAACGGGAGGACGAUGAGCGUCACGUGUUUGUCCUCGGCGAGAAGGCAGACAUCCUCGUGCAUCGUCGAGUAGGGAGAGACUGUGGUGAGCGUCUGUAUGGAGACGCCGCCGGCGUGCUGCUCGUAGCUCUCGAAGGCGGCGAAGAUGUGGUCGUUCUGGGCGUGCGAGCCUGCAGCAGAAGAUUUGGAGGAGGGGCGACGGUGAUGCUUGACGGCGGUAUUGUGGACGACGAGCAUGUUCGAGGCUCGGCCCGUGAGCUCGACGAGGUGGAGGGCGUAGACGAAGAUCGGGGAGCGCUUGGUCGGGUUGGAGAGGUCGAGGAGCGAGAUGAUGGAGGGGACGUUGCGGGUGGUGUGGACGCAGACGAGCAUGCGGAGCUCGGCGUCGGGCUUGGAGCGCUGCAGGUUUCGACGCUUGUAGCCCAGGAGGCGGCGGACCGGGUGGUGCACGGCGGUCACCACCGGCGUCACCAGCGCCGUCAUCAACGUCGAAACGAUAACCAGCACCGCAAACGACUCAUCGUCCAGCACCUGGAGGAGAGAGUUUUAUCAUUACAAUAAAAGUCGAACACAGAACACUCUGCUCUGAUACCAAAUUUUUAUAUUCAACAGUUAUGGAGUGUUUGAUAGAUAAUACCUCUUUAUCCCUUCCAAUGUUGAGUAUGAUCAUCUCGACGAGGCCUCUAGUGUUCAUCAAGAAUCCAAGCGCAAGCCCCUCGCGGAAGGGCAUUGUGUAGAACGCGGCGAUCAAAAUGGUGCCCAUGAUCUUUCCGACGCUCGCGAGAACGAAGACGAGGAUGAGAAGCCCGACGGUGAUGGAGUCUUGGAUCUUUCCGACAUCCGUCCGGAGCCCGCUGAUGGCGAAAAAGAGCGGCAGCAGAAGCCCGGUCACAAAAUCUUCCAACUUCUCAAUCAGCGCAACCCCUAAGGGGCCGUUCGGUAUCACGAGGCCGUAAACAAACGCUCCGAAGAUGGCGUGGAUGCCUAUGGCGUCGGUGGCGAUCCCGGAGAGCAUGACUCCGGUGAGGAUGAGGCAGACAUGGAAGUCGCUGACCCCUUCGCCUUCGGGGAUGCGGCGCGUGAGCCACCACAUGGCGGGGCGGACGGCGUAGAAGCAGAGGAGGACAAAGACCACGCCGGCGAGGAGGACCCAGAGGGAGGAGAGCACGCUGGCGUGCGUCUCGGAGACGGCGAUCGAGAGGGCGAGGAGGAUCCACGCGCACAUGUCGUUGACGAUGGCGGACGACAUGGCUAGGCGGCCCAGCUCGGAGUUGAGCAGCUUGAUCUCGGCGAGGAUGCGCGCGAGCACGGGGAAGGCGGUGACGGAGAGCGCGACGCCGAGGAAGAGCAGGAAUGAGGCCUGGUGCACGUUCUUCGCGAUGUGGUGGCGGAAGACGAAGGAGGUGGCGGUGCCGAUGCAGAACGGCAGUGCCAUCCCCGCCGCCGCGAUCACCAAUGCUUUCUUCCCCGACCGCCGAAUUAUCACCACGUCCAUCUCCACGCCGACCAAGAACAAGAAGUACAGCAAGCCGAGGUGCGCCACCGUCUCGAGCGUCAGAAGGCUUCUCUGGGGGAACACAUUCUCGCCCCAUUUUUGCGCCCUACCCAUCACCGACGGCCCCAAGAUUAUGCCAGACUGUACCAAAAGAAAAGGUUACAAAACAUGCAUAAUGACAUGCUCAUAGUAGAGAAAUAGUAUUUACUAUCUACUUUCUAAUUCUUAGAUCUAUAGCAGUAUCGUCACCGGACUGUAAACUCUAUGCGUUCAAGAAAUGAAAAGUAGAUAGCAGAAAGGGAGCGAAUUACGUACAACGAUCUCGGCGAUGACGCGGGGCUGGCGGAAAGGCUUGAGAAAGAGCACGAGGAGGCGGGUGGUGAGGACGAUGACGACCGUCUGCAGGAUGAAGAGCGGGAGCGCAAAUUCUAACGGAUUGACGCCCUGCCAUAUCCCGCUGGUGGUGAUCAUCGUCGGGGAGUAGCAGAUGACCAUGUUGUUCCCGGCACGGGUAACAUUCUUGAACGGAGUCAUAGUGAUGUUUCUGGAUUUCGUUGCCAUCUUCGCUCAUGGCAAUCUCCUUAGCUACUACGCUUGGUUAGAUAAAAUAUAAAAAAAAAUGUCUCCAAAAUCAAAUAGCCCUAAAGCAUUAAUUGAAGAACAUUACUUAUCAUUCUUAAGGGGACAAAAUUAGAAAUUUGAGGAGUUAAAUAGCAAAAUUUUAACUUUUUAGUAUAUGUUACAUAGAAUAGGAAAAGGAAAUGGUCAAUGAGUGUUCAUUGAUUGGUUUGACUUGUACUAGUGGUCAAUGAAGUUUUUAAAUGUUUUGAUUGGUUGUCCUAGAAUUUUGGAUUUAUGUGGUGUGGGGGGAGGAUAGAGAAACGUGGAAAGAAUUGAUGGAGAUUGUUGUUUGAUGGACCCGGUCCAUGUUCUCAGCCAAUCAGAAGUAUUAAUUUGAUUGAGUGGCCUUCAUGCUCCCCUUGUAGACUUGGUCUUGUGAUAAAUCCUUAUUUCACUCCAACCUCUUUUUCUAUUUUCCUUUUAAUUUUAAUUGGGAAAAGAUAAGUUGCCAACAUGAACUGCAACACACUUUUUGAGUUAUUCUUUUUCUUAUUUUUGAAAAUUCUAAUAUGUUAUGAUAAUAAGAGUUAAGCUGGAAUGUUGUCGGUAACAAACGGACUCUAUUGUCAUCCAUUUAUUUUCGAUAAUGGAGUUUCUAAAUCGACGAUCAACACCGUUGAAUAUAAUCUAUACCACUUAAAAUAUUUAAAAACCAAAUUUCAAAUCUUUCGACAUCAUUGACCUAAUAAUUUGGCUAAAUUACAGAAAAUCCCCCUGUAAUAACCCGCUUUUUCACUUUCCCCCCCUGACAUUUAAAAACCUACACUUUGUCCCCUUAUAAAAUGAAAAAUGUUCACAGGGGGGUUACGGUGUGUAAAAUGACCAUUUUGCCCCUCGCCAUUGUUGUCUUCUUCCUGAGCUUCCUCAGCCGCCCCUUCGAUCCGCCGGUUUUCCACCUCAAUCGGCCACGAUUCCUCUCAAAUUUCUUCUCCACCUGCUCCCCUUCUCCUCCUACACCGUCGCCGCCCAUCGAUUUCGGCGAUGGGUGUUGAUGGAGAGGUAGACAGGGACAACGAGAGCGAAGACGAGGCUGCGGAGGAGGACGAAGGGGACGUGGGCGAGGGCGAAGCAGUGGAGGACGGCGAGGCGGCGAGGCGGCGAAGCGGCGAGGCGGCGAGGCGGCGAGCCGGAGGGAGCGAAGCAUCCGAGAAGAGGCAGAGGGGUAUUUUCGGUAUAAAAAAAUAUUUUUUAACAGAACCCAUAACGGAACCCUAACGGAAGGGGUGAAGUGCACAUUUUUCAUUUUACAAGGGGGCAAAGUGUAGGUUUUUAAAUGUCAGGGGGGGAAAGUGAAAAAGCGGGUUAUUACAGGGGGGUUUUCUGUAAUUUAGCCUUAUAAUUUUAAUGGUCGAUAUGAGGCGUUUUUUCGUUUAACGGUAUAAUGAUUUUCAAAUCAAUUAAAUUUUGGUUAGAAAAUUCUUUAAACUAUUUAGAACAAAAUUUAUACUCUCCAUCUUAAUUACAAGAUUCUUAUCAUCAUUAUCAUUCAUUCUUAGCCAUUUAUUUUUAUAUCCACUUGGUAGACAAGAGAACAAUAUCGAAAAAGUAUGAAAUGCGAUUUCUAGAUACUUCAAAGAGUAUAAAUCAUGUUUAAUGGUGCCGAUCGUCAAUUUGGAGGCUUUAUCAUCGAAAAUAAAUGGGUAACAACGGAGUCCGUUUAUUACUGAUAACAUUUCAGCUCAACUCCUGAUAAUAAUAAAAUAUUUUAUUAAGUAACAGAAUAUUUUGAUUAAAUAAUAUUCUAUCAACAAAGCUAAAAUAUUAUUAAUUAAGAAGUACUUUUUAAAUAAGAAUAAUUGGUAUUUUAGGUUGUAAACCUGAUUUUUUUUUUCUUUUCUUUUUUUUUUAAUUCAUGCAUCUUGCAUGCAAUGCCUUAUAGUGUUAGUGUUAGGCACAAGGUUCAUACAAUUUAUACCUUUAAUAUUACAUUGAACAAGAGCUCCUUGAGCACCCAAAACAAAAUAGGUAUAAAUUUUACACACUCUCUAUUAAAACAAGCCAUUUUUUAACAUCAAUCUUAUUAUUUUUUUAAUAUUAAAAAUAUCAAAGGGUGUCUAAAUUUUUGGAUGGGACGAUAAAAAAUUUACAUCUAAUUUUUGAGUGUACAAAUAGUAUUUUUCCUUUAAUUUCGUUUUGUAAAUUUUGAAUACCCUUCUACCAAGCAGUAAUUUCAUCAACAUUCCUUCAGAGUUCAAACUUAAAUAUUUAUAUUGUUUUCAAAUGCCGCUACUUUUAGAAAUAUGUAUUAAUUUGAUGGAUUAGUUUUAAAAUUUUAUUUUUGCUCUCCGAAAAGCUAAAAACUUAAUUAUGAACUUACCAUCAUUAAAGCAAUUUUCACAAUUUUAAUAUUUUUUUUAAAAAAAUAAAUAAAAUAGAUAGAUUGCACACUUAGUAAGCAAUUAAAAUUAGUUUAUAAGCUACAAAAUUAAAAAUUAAAUUCUAAAUAAAAAAUAAAAAAAAUAACAUGUAUUAAUAAUUUGCCUUACAAGGAAUGGUUGACGAUAAAAUAAUCAUUUUAUCAACUUAACUAAGGGGCCGUUUGGUUGCAUAUAGUUGCAACUGCAUUGCAGUUGUAAUUACAUGUAAAUACAAAUUUCGUGUUUGGUUUGAUAUAUUUAACUCCAACUACUACAGUAGGAAUUGCAGGAGGGGGCUCAAUUGCAGCAGUUCGAACUACUCCCAAAUUGGCCGCAGUUCCAACCACAGCAGUUGGAGAGAGUAACUUUAAAUAAAAAAGUAUGCUUACCUCCUUAAUAUUUUUUUAACAAAAAUUAUUUUUUUUUAUAUUAGAGGUAAUCUCACCAUCAUAUAUAUAAAAUAAUAAAAUUUUAAAAAUUAUUUCUCAACUGCAUGCAAUCAAACAAAUUAUUUAUAUUUGCAGCCCUUUCUAUUAUAUCCAACCAAACAUAAUUUAUAUAGUUGUAACUGCUGUAUUUCCAAAUUCAUGUAUCUCUAACUACACUGCAUUUAUAAUUACAUCUAACCAAACGGCUCCUAAUAUUUAGGAAAAACUUCAAAAACCCCCCUUGUAGUUUCCAUUUUUUUCACUUUAGUACCCUGUGGUUUAAAAUAUAUCAAGUUAGUACCUGUGGUUUCUCACUUUAUCAGUUUAGUACCCUGUGGUUUAAAGUGUAUCAAGUUAGUUCCCUGUGGUUUUGCACUUUAUCACUUUAGUACCCUGUGGUUUUAAUUUUGUAUCAAGUUAGUACCCUGUGAUUUUUUAAAUUAUAGGGUACUAAAGUGAUAAAGUGUGAAACCACAGGGUACUAAAGUGAUAAAGUGAAAAACCACAGGGUACUAACUUGAUACACUUUAAACCACAGGGUACUAAAGUGAUAAAGUGAAAAACCACAGGGUACUAACUUGAUACAUUUUAAACCACAGGGUACUAAAAUAAAAAAGUGUGAAACCACAGGAGGGUUUUUUGAAGUUUUCCCUAAUUUUUAACUCUCUUUUAACCUGAGUAAGCUUAUAAAAGUUCACACUAGAAGCAUUUAUGAUUAAUCAACAGGUUGAGACUCCAAAUUCAAAUAGUCAGAAAUGAAAAAUACUAUCUGUACAUUAAAAAGAAUGAAGAGUUACAAAAAUCUUUAUAUUUGUCGUAAAAAAAAAUAAAAAUUACAAGACAAUGACUCAUUAUUGGCAUUUGCACGAGAGUUUACGAUUUAUACCUUAUUUUUGGGCGUAAAAGUAGCGGCACUUGGGCUACCAGUGGAUUAGGCCACGCAAACUCCGAACAAGAUAUGGCCCAAAAUUAGAGGAAAAAAUAAUUAUAGAGCCAAUAAGACGACAAAUUCAUUGAAGAGCUCAUUAACGAGAUCUCAACGAGAUAGUCAGAUAAGACAUAUGAUUCGCAACACAACCAAAUUUUGAAGGUCGCAUAACGAGAUCUAUUUUAUAAAAAAAGAAACCUAAAUGGCGAUCAACAAAGCUCAUUUACGAGAUCCCAACGAGAUAGUUGGAUAAAACAUACGAUUCAUAACACAACCAAAUUUUAGAGGUCGCCUAACGAGAUAUUAUUGUUGACGGAAAAAGAAACCUAAAUGGAGAGCAUCUCUUUCUUAUGCUGAAAUUUGUACAAAAAAUUGAUAGUUUAUAAUAACUUUCAAAAUUUGUGCGGAGUGAAUCCUUAGUCCCACAUAUUAGUCUCAAAAAAAGCUUGUAGAAGAUCUUCUCAACAAAGCCGCGAUCAUAUGGAAAAAAAUAAAGGAUUAAUUUUAUGCAGAUCCCUACAAACAUAGUAAAUGACAAAUAUAUUUCUAGAAAAUUUAACUUUCAUAUGUUGUCUUUACAAAUGUCCUGAUAUUUCUAAAUAUUUUCCUACCGUUAGAAAAAUUUAGUUAAUCACAGGUUAAUUAAAUACUUAACCUUGAUUGGUUUUUGACAUUUUACUUCUCUUAUAUUAUGUUGUUAUGAUUUUUAAAGAGAUAUAUUUGUGAUUGCAAAAUUGAAAAUAUAAAUAGUUUUCUAACGAUUCUCUAACGGUAACAAACCAGAUAAACAUAUUUGAAAAUAUUAAAACUUUUACAUGGACAACAUAUGAAAGUUGAACUUUGUAGAAAUAUAUUUGUCGCUCACUAUAUUUACAGGGACUUGUAUGAAAUUAACCCAAAUAUAUAUAUAUCAUAAACUGUAUCUAAUAUUUGAUAAUUUUUGUUUUAAAAUCAAAAUCUAUAUUCUAAUAUCACUUUUUGUGUUAAUUAUAGCCAUAUGCUCUAUUUCUUGUAUAAGGUCCAACUAAUAUGAAAGCUUUUAAAAUGUGCUGUGCUAGUUUCCACCAUUCAACUAAACAAGCAUUUAUUUCUUUUUUAACCAACCCCUGGCACCAUAAAUCAAAAAUAUGUGGUCAUUUUUAUUUUUAAUUAUUUUAUUUAUUUUUAUUUGUGGAAAAAAAAAUGUGUGGUCAUUUUUAUUUUUAAUAACUCUAUUUAUUUUUAUGCGUGGAAAUUAGUUAGGUGUAAUGUGAGAGGUUGUCCACAUCACAAAUCACCAAAUUAAAAGUGGUAGAUGACCCAUUUGAUCUAUAUAAUUCAUUUGCUCUGGUAAUAACUAUUUGGUCUAAAUUAUAUUUUUUGUCCUCAAAUUAAGAAGCUUGUAACACUUUAUUCUUUAAAUUUUAAUUUAUUAUGACUUCUUAGCUUGAGUUUUUUAAAUUAUUAUUAUAAUUAAGUCCACGUACAAUCUUAUUCAGUUGAGUAAAUAUUAAUGUGUCGCCAAUAAUGGUUAAAACGCCGCACCAGUUUUAGUCAAUUACAUUACGUUGUGGGACGUAUUUACAGUAAUUUGCUAUGUUAAAGCCAAGAUUAGAACGAAUUAAAAACUUAGUUUGAGGACCCAAAUUAUAAUUUAGCCUAAACUAUUUUCAUUCUAUUCAUGUAUAUUGCAUGUUCAAUUAGGAAGCGUAUUAAGUGCGUGCAUUGCCAAUCGAAUGAUAGUCGGGUCGGUAAAAAGCUGUUUUGUUUUUGGAAAAAGUAUAAAAUAAAAUUUUUCGAGAAAAAAGUUUUUCACAAACUCGGGCAACGAUCGAGCCUCCUCCGAGGCACGUACCGUCACCCACCGCAAGGGCACAAUAGAACCGUAGACUACAACGUCUUUGCACACCCGAAGAUUCGUCUUUGUCGGCCUUUCCUAAACUAAAGUGAAGAGUCGGAUUUUCGAUCGGAUUGCGUCAGCACGUUCAGCACGACUGGGGCAUUGAAUCUACAAUUUCUUUUCGUCCGAUUAGGUCGCCGAUUCACGACGGAACUUAUCCUCUCACCAAAAAGGCAAAACUACGCACAAAUACAUAAAUUAUAUGUAUCUCUAGUUUUCUCGAAAAUCGUACGUCAGAUCUAAAAUCUGUCAGCGCCAAAGAUUUCGGAAUAGUUGAAUCAUUGAAAACGAACUAUUGGAGUGCUAUGAACGGAGUCCGAUACGUAUCAGAAGUCAUCUCCAUUGAUCGGCCUCUCCGAAAAACCGAAGAUAGUUCGUCUAACUUUCUCGAUUUUGCAUUUUUAUCCGAAAAAGACGGACUCUUAUUCCAUUUCUAUAUGCUUUCUAUAGAUCCAACUUUUUUUUCAAUCUCACAUCCUUUGGUUCUAAAAAUAUAUAUAUCCUCUUUUUUUUCAAAUUUUUUUAAGGAAAAUGUGUUUUUAUUUUUUUUAUUUUUUUUCCUGAAAAAUGGGGGACAGAUAAAUAAGCUUAUUAAAUUUAUUUAUUAUCUGGUCUAUAAUUGGAUUGGUAUUUUGAUUGCAAAUCAACAGGUUGAAAGUUCGAUCCCCAAUAUGUCCCUAACAUUUUUUAAUUUCUCAUUUGGGUGCCUAAACUUUUUUUUUUUUGUUUCAAAUGUGCGCGCUUGUCCUAUCAACCUAAAUCUCGUUAUUCUCAAUAUCUUCCUUGGCACUUACGACUAUCUUAUCUUUGCGCAGGAUAUCUAUUGUCUCUUUUGCAGCAUCUGACGAUAUCUUUAGCGUCGAGUCAGAAGUGCUACCAGUUUUUUAAACAAACUGAUAAAAAAUUAGUGGCGAAGAUUGAUUAUGGCUGUCAAGCGACGACAAUAAUUUAUAUGACUAGGUAGAAUUUUCUUUUUUUACUAGAGUUAAUAUGGCUUAUUUUGUCGAAAUUAUCAUGAAUUUGAAUAGUUCAUACCUAAUUAAUUGAAAAUAAAAAUUAAAAUAUUAAUGACAUAAUAGUAAAGAAAAAGAUUUGGACUCCAAAGUGCAAAAUUGGUAAAUGUUAGGUACUCUUGGUGCAAUUAACCCAAAAACAUAAAAAAAAAAUUAAAAAAAAAUUAGAAUCGAAUACUAAGGUCAACAUCAAACGUGUAGUCUAAAAUAUAAAAGAUAUCCAAGUCAAAAUAUAAAUCAACUGCAGGUCUUCUUCGCAAUUUGCACGGGCCCAACGGUCAAAGAGAACCGUUGGGUUUGAAUUUUGACGUGCCCUGUUUUUUUCUCUUUUUUUUCUUUAAUUUAACAGUUAAUAUUUUUUCUAAAUUAAUUAUAUUGAUAUGCAAAUGGUGCGUGAUUCAAAUAAAUUUUGUACGUUUUUAAUAAAUAAAAAAUAAUAAUCUAAUUAAAGAAUAAUAUAAUAAUGUUAUAUUAAAUUAAAAUAUAUUUUUAUAUUUUUAAAUAAAAAGAAAAUUUUUAAUUGAAACGUGGUUCCUCUUGCAUUAAGUAGAUGUUAUGUGACUGAAAAGACCCUCAACUAUCCUGAUGUUACACUUUGAUCUGCUUCUCACCUGUAGUUCUUAAAUAUUUUUGUAUAUAUAUAUAUAUAUAUAUAUAUAUAUAUAUAUAUAGAGAGAGAGAGAGAGAGAGAGAGAGAGAGAAUGCUAUCGAUAACAAACGGGCUCCGUUGCCACCCAUUUAUUUUCGAUGAUGGAGCCUUCAAAUCGACGAUCGGCACCGUUGAAUAUUAUCUAUACCACUUGAAGUGUUUAGAAAUCAAAUUUCAUAUAUUUUCGAUAUUGUUCUCUUAUCCAUCGAGUGGACAUAAAAAUGAACGGCUGAAAAUGAAUAUUCUUUAAAAAAUGAUAAUAGGAGUCUUGUAAUCAAGAUCAAGAGUAUAAAUCUCGUUUUAAAUAGUUUAAAAAUUUUCUAACAAAAAUUCAACUGAUUUGGAUAUCUUUACGCCGUUAAACGAGAAAACGCCUCAUAUCGAUCAUUAAAAUUACAAAUUUUAAAACCUUUUGAUCACUAGGCAGAUGAUGUCAAAAAGAAUUGAAAUUUGAUUUCUAAACACUUCAAGUGGUAUAGAUCAUGUUCAACGGUGCCGAUCGUCGAUUUGGAGGCUCUAUCAUCGAAAACAAAUGGGUGGCAACGGAGCUCGUUUGCUGUCGAUAGUAUUCUAGCUCAACUAUAUAUAUAUAUAUAUGAAAAAACUUCAAAUAUCAUCUAUAUGGUUUCAUAUUUUUUCGUUUUAGAACUCUGUGAUUUAAAGCGUAUUAAUUUAAUGUCUUGUGGUUUUACCGUUAUCUUUUUAUUAUCGAUUUCACUAGUUUUUUUCAUUAAAUUAAUAAUAAAGUUAAAACUAAAAGGUACUCAAGUAAAUAUUUGAUAAACUAGGUAAAAUAAUUGAAGCUUUUUGUAUAUAAUUUAACGAAAUAUUAACGGAGAAACUGACGGAAAGAUAAAAAUGAAACCAUAAAACACUAACUUGAUACACUUUAAAUCAUAGGGUAUUAAAAUAAGAAAGUGCAAAAUUAUAGGGGUGGUAUCUGAAGUUUACCUAUAAAAUAUAUGAUACAUAAAUUUUUGUCAAAAUUUUUUUUUUUUUAUCGUGUUUAAACUAAACUGCAUGUAAUAAGUAAUUGUUUAUGAUAAGAAAAAUUAGAUUAACACAUAAAAUAGUUAUACAUUUCACGCCCUUUUUUGUAAAUAAAGAAAAGAAUUUGCAAUACCUCAAUUUUAUUUAUUUAAUUUUUUUUUAUCUUGGUCUCCAAAAAACAUAAAAAAAGAAAAAUCUAACCUAUUUUUUGAUUUGACAAGUUCGAUCGACAUAUUUUUCUCUUUACAAUUUUGAAUUGAAAAUUCACUUUUUCUCACCUCUUUUGUUGACCUGGGAAAAAAUCAAAAGUCAAAAAAAGAAUUUUUGGCGGAGGCGCAACGUAAGCGCCAAACGAAGCAUUUACAUUGUUUGAACAUGUGAAGAAGUCAAAAAUAGUAGCAGCAUGAGAGAAGAAGGUUUUUUUUUUUUUUUUUUGAGAGAUAAGUAGCACGCUAUCCGCUUCGUUUAUUUUUAGAAAUAAACUUAGCUGGAAAUAUAAAUCAACUAGGAUUCGGAACUUAGGUCUCGGGUACCAACCACUAAUCCCUUUGCCACUUGAUCUAGAGACGGUCGAUCAUGAGAAAAGAAGUUGAGAUUGGAAAAGUAGCUUCAAGGUGUGAUUUGUUGAACGUAGUAGCUCAAUUUUUUUUUAAAAAAAAUAGUUAAUUCACAUAAUUUAAUAUGACAUCAAAGCAAUAGAUCAUGGGUUUGAGUCCUGCCACGCUUCGUUAUUUAAUUUUCUUCUAUUUAAUUCAAAAUUCACAUACUGUAUCUAUCCGAUAGUCUCAAACUAUAAACAAUUAUGGUAAAAAUGUAUAAAGUUUCUCUAAACUGUCGCCUGUACAUUUUGAUUCAACUACUUGACUUUUAUAAGUUUGAUUUUGAUACCCAAUAUUUCGAUUUAUCUUAUAUAAGCCAUUUGAUUACUUUUUCGGUGCAAGUUUUAAGCCAAUUACUUAUUCUAAUAAAAUUAUAGUUACAUAAAUUAUAUAAAAUACACUAAUUAGACCCGUAAAAAUAAAACGAUACAUUCAAAUUUUAAAGUUUAUCAGUCAUAAACAGCUCAAAUCAAAUGACUUAAACAAUUAGAUAGCUGGAUCAAAAUUGGUCAUAGUUCAUAUAUGUUCCACACAUUAAAUUAGAGCAAAAGCUUUAGCACAAAACCUACUUGAUUCGAGAAAGAGGUUAAAAUUUUUUAAAAGAUUUUAAUUAUUUGCUAAUUAACAACUAAUUAACUGAUAUUUUUCAAGUGGAAAAUACAGAGCAAUUUUGCAACAUUCUAAAAAGAAAAAUUGUGAAAUUUAAUGUUCUCACAAGUUUAUGCGCUUCAUCAUCAAUUAAACAAAAGGCACAGCACAAAUACUACGUGACCCUUUUAGACACCAUACACUAUUGCUUCUAUUUUUGCCUAAACUUUGUACUAAAAUUGUACUUGUUAAGUAGAUGACAUAUUUAAUUAUGCCUAUUUAUUUUUGUCCACCAUUUCACAAUUUCUCACAUUCCAACAAACAUAAAAUUGAAUAGAGAAUAUAGUACUCUAAAGUUGAGGAUAAAAUUCACAAUUUUUUUUUGACUUGGUAUGCAGUUACUUUUGUUUUAAAAAAUAGGGUUAAUUUCAUACAGGUUCCUGCAAAUAUAAUGAAUAGCAGAUAUAUUCCUACAAAGUUCAACUUUUAUAAGUUAUUCCUGCAAAAGUUCUUAUGUAUUCAGAUAUGUUCCUACCAUUGAUCUCCGUUAGAGAAAUCUAGUUAACCACAAUUAAAAUACUUAAUCAUGAUCAGUUAAAAAGGUAAAAUGAUAUUUUUACCAUUCUUCAUCUUCCUCUCCUGCUUCUUCUUCUUUUUCCGCUUCCUCUCCUGCUUCUUCUUCUUCCUCUUCUUCUUUGUAUCUUCAUUUUCCUCCUUUUCUCCUCUUUUUUCUUCUUCGUCAUCGUCGUCGAUGAUCCGAUCGUCGUCGCUGUCGUGGUGCCCGCGUGGGCCGUUGU